UAGAUUGGAGAAUCUACGGCGAAUUGCGCUUGUACUUUUGUAGCCUGUCCAUGGUCUGGAAUUUUUGUCUUUUUCGUCUACUCGCGAGAUGGUAUACGAGUCUGUAAUAUUAGUUUUGUAGUGCGUGAGGUAAAAUGAAAUGUAUUGCACACUGUAUUCGUUUUUUGAAUAAGAAAUAAAUUAUGAUCUAGAUGUCAUGCUGCUGCGAGUGGAGGAUCUUGGGCAUGCAAGCUAGUAGUAGUAUAGGAAAGGAGGCAGCAUUCCCUCGCACAUAACUGAAUGCUUGAAAGGUAAUACUGAGCCUAAAUGAAACAAUUCAGGUACGGAUCUUACUAGAAGCAUAUGCACGCUUUGCCCCGCCGUUUUUCAUUUACAUGGCAAAUAUACAAAGUUGUUUAUUUGCACAGUCAUGGUGAUCGAUAUGACAAAUAGUCCCGAUGUCUUAGUAAAAAAAAAUCAAUAGUAUUGUAUUAGUAAUAACCAUAAGAGGGCUAUUACCUUAUCUUGGUCCAUCCAUGUAAUAUCAAAGGAUGCAUGCAAACAAAGUAAUGCAAUCCUUAUACCACAAUCAUUUGUCUUUUAUAUGGCAAACUGUGAUAAACCACAAUCAUUUGUCUGUACCUCAUUACCAAACUAUUUACACAUGUCGAAGAAAGUAAAGCGAACUAACAGAGGAAUUUGGCAAGAAAAACAAUCUUUGGUAAGAGGUCACAAACUAAAUGAAAAGACUCAUGGCAAUUCAAGCAUGGGUUUCUUCAAUACGGGGAGAGCAAAUGGGUCUACAUGUUGUCUGUCUCGCAAGCUCUGCAUGUCGUCUGUGUCACAUAGUGACUUAUGUCCUGCUCAUUUACAUGAAUUAAACAAAUUAUAUCCAGCAAGCCAGGCCCUGCAAAACAGAGUCCCCUAAAAGACAGUACAUUCCAGAAAAACAUCAGAACAGCUAGAAAUUGAAGCAUGUUUAAUUUGUUGUCUUCUGAAAACUAUCAUUUUUUUUUGAAUUACAAAAGAACUCUAUUUGAAUAGUCAUGAUUAUAAGUUUGAGAACUGUCGAAAUACAAAAUGUACUACGACAUGAACAAAGCAUACGGCAAACUUAAAACAAAGAAAACCAAAUUCAGGUUAAGAGUUAUUUUAAUACAAAAAGACAUGCGUAUGAAACAAUGCAUUGUAUCUGGUAGAUCAUUCUAUUUAUUGGUCAUGGACAUCUUAAGUAUUGUCAAUGAAUGACCAAACUAUAACUGUUCUUUGCCUAUUUUUUAUGAUCAGUUGCAAUAUCUUCGACUUCGAGAACUCUAAACUAAAUAUUUUUUUUGUUCAUUACUGAUUCUACAAAACCGACAUGACAAGCUCCUAUUGCUGAUGAGAAAUUCAGUAACAUAACCAUUAUGUACACAAGCAAAACCAAGGCCUACAACUCUUUUUGCCUAGCUUAAACCCAAAUUUAAUCAUGGGCAAAUAACUUUGAAAUUGUGCCUUCACCUGACAGUUGAUGGAUAAAACUGAACUCCGACGGUGCUAUUCCGAAGCAGAAAGAAUCAGGUGUGGACUGUGGAGGAGGGGUGGUACUGCGCGACCACAACGGCGUCCUUCAGGCGGCGGCGACUUACUCCUACCUGGCGACGUCAAGCCCGGAAGUUGCUGAAAUCUUAGCUUGCCCAUCAGGUCUGCAGUUGGCUCAGGAGCUAAACAUACAAAAAGUUCACGUGGAGCUAGACUACAAGGGUGUAGUGUUGAUGUUGAAUUGUCAUGCAAAUGAUCAAGGAAAGGCUUUGGACAUUUCAGGAAUCAAAGGUGGACUGGGUAAAACGUUCAGCAAAUGAGGCUGCACGUAUAUUUGCUAGCUAGAGAGGGACUUUGUUUAGAUGGCUGAAUGAUUUGGGACAAUGGCCCCCCAGACUCUAUUGUGCGUAUUAUUGUCUCAGAGAUUUCUGAGAACUUUGUUUAAAUAAAGCACUAUUUUCCCUUAAAAAAAUAGAGGAAAGAGUACAAAAACUGAUUCAGCUGAAAUGGGAUUAUAUGUUUAACCAUCAUCACUAUUUACAUGUUUCUUUUGUAGUAAAACCAAACCAUCUAAGGAGCACAAUAGUACAAUAUAAGUAAAAGACAAUUCACCCCAUAUUUCAUCUGUACAGUCUGGCAACUGCCGCAUAUGCUCACAAGGCAUUAUGAACUUCACAGUUCCACAUUGGAGGUACACAUGACCUAGUUUGUUUGCCUAACUCAAUCUAAGCAAUGCCCAAGAGUAAAAUUUCGCAUUAUUAUAAGCGGCAAUGUCAGGAGGCUCCUCAGAAAAUAAUCCAAGUAAUAUGUAAACUGUCUCCGUGUCCCGUAGAGUCCUUGUAGCAUUCUACCAUUGCAACUAUCAACAAAACUAACUUAUCCUAAUGUCCCACUGAAGAUUGUGAAAUGGUAAAUGGUAUGACAACCCUAUUUUCUUAUUUCGAAGAAUUAGACCAUGGAUAAAUUCAGUGACACAUUAUUAUAGUGCCUGAUUUCAGAAGCUGCAUCUGUGAACUAACUAAAUGAACUAUCUCUUUCCACCACAACAUAGGCUAGAGUAAGGUACUACCUUUCAGAACAUGACAUAAAAAACAAUAGAUUUAUUGUGUGUUGUCAUCUAGGAGUUAUUGUUGGAAAUAUGCCCUAGAGGCAAUAAUAAAUGGUUAUUAUUAUAUUUCCUUGUUCAUGAUAAUUGUCUAUUGUUCAUGCUAUAAUUGUGUUAUCCGGAAAUCGUAAUACAUGUGUGAAUACAUAGACCACAACAUGUCCCUAGUGAGCCUCUAGUUGACUAGCUCGUUGAUCAACAGAUAGUCAUGGUUUCCUGACUAUGGACAUUGGAUGUCAUUGAUAACGGGAUCACAUCAUUAGGAGAAUGAUGUGAUGGACAAGACCCAAUCCUAAGCAUAGCACAAAAGAUCGUGUAGUUCGUUUGCUAGAGCUUUUCCAUUGUCAAGUAUCAUUUCCUUAGACCAUGAGAUCGUGCAACUCCCGGAUACCGUAGGAGUGCUUUGGGUGUACCAAACGUCACAACGUAACUGGGUGACUAUAAAGGUACACUACGGGUAUCUCCGAAAGUGUCUGUUGAGUUGGCACGGAUCGGGACUGGGAUUUGUCACUCCGUAUGACGGAGAGGUAUCUCUGGGCCCACUCGGUAAUGCAUCAUCAUAAUGAGCUCAAUGUGACUAAGGAGUUAGCCACGGGAUCAUGCAUUACGGUACGAGUAAAGUGACUUGCCGGUAACGAGAUUGAACAAGGUAUUGGGAUACCGACGAUCGAAUCUCGGGCAAGUAACGUACCGAUUGACAAAGGGAAUUGUAUACGGGAUUGAUUGAAUCCUCGACAUCGUGGUUCAUCCGAUGAGAUCAUCGUGGAACAUGUGGGAGCCAACAUGGGUAUCCAGAUCCCGCUGUUGGUUAUUGACCGGAGAGGCGUCUCGGUCAUGUCUGCAUGUCUCCCGAACCCGUAGGGUCUACACACUUAAGGUUCAGUGACGCUAGGGUUGUAGAGAUAUUAGUAUGCGGAAACCCGAAAGUUGUUCGGAGUCCCGGAUGAGAUCCCGGACGUCACGAGGAGUUCCGGAAUGGUCCGGAGGUGAAGAAUUAUAUAUAGGAAGUCCAGUUUCGGCCACCGGGAAAGUUUCGGGGGUUAUCGGUAUUGUACCGGGACCACCGGAAGGGUCCCGGGGGUCCACCGGGUGGGGCCACCUGUCCCGGAGGGCCCCAUGGGCUAAAGUGGGAGGGGAACCAGCCCCUAGUGGGCUGGGGCGCCCCCCUUGGCCCUCCCCCUGCGCCUAGGGUUGGAAACCCUAGGGGUGGGGGGCGCCCCACUUGGCUUGGGGGGGAAGCCACCCCCCUUGGCCGCCGCCCCCCCCUCAGAUGGGAUCUCCAGGGGGCCGGCGCCCCCCAGGGCCCCUAUAAAUAGUGGGGGGGGGAGGGAGGGCAGCAGGAGCACAGCCCCUGGCGCCUCCCUCUCCCCCUGCAACACCUCUCCCUCCCGCUUGCGGUUGGCGAAGCCCUGCCGGGAUCCCCACUACUUCCAUCACCACGCCGUCGUGCUGCUGGAUCUCCAUCAACCUCUCCUUCCCCCUUGCUGGAUUAAGAAGGAGGAGACGUCGCUGCUCCGUACGUGUGUUGAACGCGGAGGUGCCGUCCGUUCGGCACUCGGUCAUCGGUGAUUUGGAUCACGGCGAGUACGACUCCAUCAACCCUGUUCACUUGAACGCUUCCGCUCGCGAUCUACAAGGGUAUGUAGAUGCACUCCUUUCCCCUCGUUGCUAGUAUACUCCAUAGAUGGAUCUUGGUGAAGCGCAGAAAAUUUUAAAAUUCUGCUACGAUCCCCAACAGUUAUAACUAUCACUGGUGGGAAAUCAAACAGAGGGAUUGUUGAUGGACCAAAUGAUGGUGCAAAAGUUAGUACUGAUUUCGCAGUCGGUUGCUAGUAGAUGCUAUUUGGAGAUUCAACUCUACUUUCAUGAUUGUGUGUACCGGUAUAAAGCCAUUUUUCCUCUACUAUAAUUAUUACAUUAUCUGAAUAACUUUGACACAUACUAUUACUACCUGAGUUAGUUUAUUAAACUUUGAUACUGGAUGGGCAUGCCAUUGCACAUGGUCUCAGUUCGACUUUUUUAUUUAUAACAAAGGAACAUAUUGUGGUGCUGCAGUGCAAGUAAAUAUGUGCAUAAUGGAGUUUCUUGGCUCUUAAUUCAGUGUGUGAUCACUAACACCAAAUGACCAAUUUGGUGUUGUGGGAGGCACUAUCUCUCCCUUCAUUGCAAAUGGAUCAUUCGGUGUUAUUAUAAAGGGCAUAAUCACUAACACGAAAAAACCCCAUUCGCAAUUACUUAUGACCCUCUUUUUUCCUUAACCACAAGCUGCUCCUAGUUGCUAGGCACUACCAAGCGUGGUCCUCGGUAAGCCACCCGCUAUAGAGAACAGCAGCACUCCGGAUGGAACCCUUCUCUACGUCUUUUUAGUACGUGUCUCCCCAAAAAUUGUGCAUAGUGCUGUACUUGAUACAAAAUUUGAUCCACAUAUUUUCUGUUCAACAUGAGAAUCGCCUGAUGGAUCUGAGAACAUCAAAAUUAUACAUCUCAUGGACACACAAGGAAAUGAUUGAAAAUAGAUUGGAAACUCCUGACAAUCUCUCACAACAAGCUCACAGUUGACACCAAAAAAAUCCCCUCCGUCCGAGUGAAUUGCAAAAAACAUCAACAUUGAAGGCUAGAGUUGCAGAAACCAUAAUUCUUCAGUUUUGUGCCAAAAAUCACUAAUUCUGAGCCUAAUUUUUUGCAAAUAACACUAGUUGGCCUCUUUACGUGUUUUGAUGACAAUUAUGACAGACGGGAUCCACAUUUUGCCGACGUGGCGUACCGAUUCGCGAUAGAUUGACGUUAGACUGGGUAUUUUUCUAAAAAACUCCUCCCCCCUAGCAAUAUCUCCCUCCCCUGCCCAGGGUCGGGAUCGGUCGUCGUUCCCCGCACACCAUCGGCCUCGUGUCUUCUAACGUCGUCGCCGGCGGAUCGCCGGCGGUGUACCCGUGCGCCCAACAGUACCGCCGCCGCGGCCUGGCCAAAGGUGCUCGCCGCCCCCUUCCUAUCGGGCGCUCUCGUGGCCGUCUUCCCUGUGGCCGUCGAGUGCACGUCGAGAUGGACAACCUCCGCUACGUGGCCGCCGGCGACGUAGAUCCGCCCUCGCGCGGCUGCCGCGGCUCCCUUCCACGGCAUCCCGCGGCAGCGGGACUUGAGCACCUGGUUCCCGCUACGGCUCCCGCCUCUUUCCUUUGCAGCUGCGUGGGAUGAAGCCGUCGUCGCCAGGCCGACGAGCUACAUCGACCCAGCCGGUGCGCCCGAACAGCAGCAAGACGACUCGCGCGCUGCCGUACGUGGCCGCCACCAUGAGCGGCGUUCGCGGCUUGUAUGCCUUGCUCCGGCCAUACCAUAGCCCAACGUCAUUAGGCGCUCCCGUCUUGGUGGAUGUCGAGCGCGCCGGCGUGCGCGCCAACAGCAGCUUCACCGCGCCUCCCUGCGCCGUCCGGGGCACGAGCAACAGCAGCUCCACCGCGCCUCCCUGCGCCGGUCGGGGCACGAGCAGCAGCAGCUCACCGCGCCUCCUUGUGUCGACCGGGGCACGAGCAGCAGCAGCUCACCACACCUCCUUGUGCCGGCCGGGGCACGAGCAGCAGCAUCGCACCACGCCUCCCCUGCGGAUGGGGUUGAUUGCUUUUUCUAUUUUUGAUUGAAGGGUCUCUAAGCAAAAAGUCAGGGACUCUUCUGUAAAUUUAGAACUAACGCUGUCUGACGCGAACAGUUCUGCCACGUCAGCAAAAGCGGGACCCACCUGUCAUAAUCGUGGUUGAAAUGGACUAAGUCGCCAACUAGUGUUAUUUGCAAAAUAUUAGGCUCAGAAUUAAUGAUUUUUGACACAAAACUAUAGAAUUAUGGUUUCUGCAACCCUAGCCUUCAAUGUUGAUGUUUUCUGCAAUUCACUCCCUCCCGCCCCAUCCGUCCCAAAACCUAGCUAAGGCUUGAUGGAAUUGCACACAACCCGUGUGAUGGAACCAGCAAACACACAAAAAAAACUAAAGAGGAUGGAACCUUACCUCGCGGCAGGUUCACUGGUCAGCAGGGACGGUGAAGCCGGGAGUGGAGGGAGGCAUGUGAGCUCUACUGGAAGGCAGCAGCUGGUGGGGGUGGGGCGCCGGAGGCGGCGCAGGAAGCCGGGGACGGGAAUACACGGGGAGGACGGCGCCGGGUUGCGGAUCGCCGGCGUGGAAGCUACACAAGAUGCGGCGGCGGCGGGAAGAGCGAAGAGGCGGCGAGGGGAAUGUUUUUUUUCGGUGGGACGGCGAGGAGAGGUCAACGCGAGACCGACCGCCAGGAUUACCGAGGAGGCCCACACAAAUUUACGAAGAGAAACAAAGGCUUUCAAUUGGGCUCAGAACCGACCUUAAACACUCGAGCCACCCCAGGCCAGCAUUUCCUGGGAGCUUAGAAACUGUACAGAUGUGAGAUCCGACGGUGGGAGAGCAUGCCACUGGCAUAAAAGAUCGAUGUGCGCUGUCGUUGGGUUGGGGAGCAAGUACUAUAGAAUCUGAGCCUGUGAUGCAAAAAUAGAAAGAAUGGAUCUGUACCAUAGGAUGGUAGAUUGAUGGUCCAGAUUCGGGUGAGAUGCUCUGCACGCAUAGUUUGCAAAAAGUCCAUCUCUGCAAGCUAAUUUUGUCCCCGUGCCCUCCCCGUCAAACCCAAAUCCCGUACGCAGCUGCAGUGCACAAACUAAAUCUCCCCCGACGGCGGCACAAUGUGGUUGGGCAGCAAUAUUGCAAAGGGAGAGGUAUGGUACUAAGACAUGAUACUAAGACUCUUUCCAUUUCUUGUGAAAGAACUGAACCAAUUUGUAUGCUAUAUUCUCCAAGAACCUUUGACAUCAACAUGUGCGCCAAGUCUCACAAAUAACUCAAUAGAGAAUACUUCAAAAAAAUCCAACCAGAUACUAGAUUAGUCAAACUUUUGAAGCAAAAGCUUGCAAUCUAUCUAUUUUGAGUCGCAGGUUGUAUUCUGGUUCUCAUAUUUGCAGUUGCUAAAAAUGACAUAGAAACUAAACAAAAGAGCAUGCUUGGAAAUUAGAAUGGAAGGCAUGCGAACUCGAGUUUGUCUCAACUCUAUAUUUAAAUAGUUGCAAUGCCCGAUUCCACCGGUUGUUUGCGAAUCUCGCUAUAUGAAAUAGGAUGCACUGGAGUGGUUUUUUCUUGUACAAGAUAACUAAUGUUUACACAAAUGUUUCAUUACUGGCAAGUAGUACUUCAGAUGUUUUUGGGAUGAAUGUGAUUUCUUCUUUAUUUUCCCGUCAUGUGAUAUGUGCAUCACACAGUAGAUGGUAUUGUUGAUGCAUAUUCAUUUAAUUAGCUCGUGAGUAAAUAAAUAAAUAAGUGUGAACAUAUGAUUCUUACACAAACAUGUGCUAAUUGAAUCAUAUUGGUUAGGUAUGAUCUCUCCCAACACAAGAAGCUUGAUGAACGAGAAGCACUAGAACUGGAGGCAAAGGUUGCAGCUUUUCUGUUGUGUACCAUCAGGCUUGCCAAGUUGAUGCAUUUUUAAUGACAAUGCUUGUUGAGCUAUGAUUAUUAUAGUCGUUCAUAAUUAGUCUUGCCCGUGUUGUACCCAAAAAUGACCCUCUCAUGCAAUGUAACACUUCAUAUGUAUGUAUCUCUUCUGUUGUCUUCUAGGACCAUUGCAGUUUGAAAUGUAUGUUUAGUUGUGCUUGAAGUGGAUGGAUUAACUCUCAUGUACUCAAAUAUUUCUGAUGAUGUUCACACACUCAUUUUAGUGACCACCAUGUUCAGAUUCUUUCAUGAUUCGUGAUGUAGCACAAGGUACUAACGAAAUCAAAUAUGUAGAAGUUCCGUGCAGUCCAUAUGGGCAGAUUUUUUGGAAACCUAAGAGACGAGGGGCAUAUGUACAGAUCUGAAAAGUGGCCUUAUUAAUGAAGGACUGAUUGAUUGAUACAUCAAAGCUUUGAGGUGGUUACUACAAAUCUAUCUUCUAUAUGUAAUUAGUUAGGGGGUUUCCUGAAAUUUGCAUUGAGAAGCCUCCACCUCAAUCUGUACCACUGAUGCUGAAUCCGACGACUCUGGUUCGUUUUUCUAUUUUUGCACCAUAGGCUCAGAUUCUAUAGCAGUUCUCCCCGUUGUUGCAUUAUGUCGUGUUGAGAAGAAGACGAGAAUGAUCAACAGUCCGCUCAUGUACAGGACAGAACACAUACAGUGCUGCCCCCUAUGGGAUUCAAUCUAGACCACCCAUUUUGACCCAAUGGUACAGUGACUUUGAGACUUUCAUGCUCGAAAUCGCUGAAUCUCGGUCCCAUGUCGGGAUGUGCAUAUCUUGGGUUAGAGAGUGUCACUUCACCAUCCCGCGGGGAUUGUAUUUGCCUCUUGCGAUUGCUGGCCCGCAAAUGUCUCUUCCUAUUCGGGACGAUCGCUAUCUCCUUUACCAGGUGAGGUGGGAGAAAUAAAUUGGUUAAUUGACUCUGCCUCGUCACCAUAAAAUCGUUCCUGGUGCCUUUCAAGCCUACACAAUUCACCACAGAUGCUUUCCACUAUCCAGAUAUAUGGGCGAUCUCUCGUUGCUAGAGGAAAUAGGAACUGAAAAUGAGAGGGUGAUCUCCGUCCAUCGUUGCUAGAGGAAACUAGAAUUGGAGUCAGAGAGGCAUGGGAGAUACUGAUAUUUAUUAGUUGAGGUAUGAUGACACGAAGGUGCCACACUGGCCCACCGCAUUGCAUUUCUUUUGUGUGCUUUCAAUACUAUUUUAGCACAUGGGUUACGCUUCUCCAAUGAUAUAUCAUUUGCUAUCUUCACCUUUAUGCGUAGUAAAUCAUAAAUUCAUCGGCUCACAGACUCUCACUGGGUGCACGCCUCCAUGGCUAAAUCAUCGGUCAUCAAACAUGCUACAAAAUCCGGUACAUAGGGAAACCACAUAGCAUGGCUUCCGUGGACGGCACCAACACACAAAGUCACCCUAAUGGUUUACUCCAAUCACAAGGAUAAAUCACCCUAAUGGUUUCAUUAAUUUGAAUGGAUUGAUGUGUUGUACCAUUGUAGGGUCCUCAUCGAAUGUAUGAAUUCCCUCGAGGGAGUGGGAAACAAAUCAAAUUAUUUUCUAUUGAUCGGAGCAGUGGAAGUAUCGAGGGAAAGUGUACCUCUUCACUCAUAAACUUCAUGCAAGUGAGGAUUGAUUUCUGUUAUUUAUAUAAUUCAAAAUAGGAAGAUCAUCUUCUUCAAGGAAGAUUGACCUUCUCGCUCUCGGCACAUCUGCGCCUCAGAUUCUUCUAUAUGUUCUUGCGUUGAGAAAUUAUUAUUAUGACUAGUACGAUGCAAUGCAAUCUUACACCGCACACAAAAUUUUAAGAACCAAUCAACAUUGAAUAAUUUCAGUAUGUGAGUAUUGCAUGAUCUAUCAGGGAUUGGCGCUAAAGAUGGAAUAAUUUCACAGGUUAAGCUCUCUGGUUCCAUCAGCAGUCAAUACUUGAGUUCCUCGUUGAUGGUUGCUCCUUUGGCUCUUGGGGAUGUAGAGAUUGAAAUUAUUGAUAAACUGAUCUCCAUUCUUUAUGUUGAAAUGGCAUCGAAAUUGAUGGAGCGUUUUGGCAUGACUGUGGAGGACAGAUUCUACAUCAAGGGAGGACAAAAGUACAAGUAAGUUCUACAUUGCUUUACUUCUGAUAGUGGAGUACAAAAGCAUGAUUCUAGUUUUCUGUCUACCCAAAUAUUUAUAGACGCACCCCCAUUUGAAUUAUUGAUAAACUAGGAAAUAAAUAUUGUACAAAAUCUGUCGACUUCUCAGUAGCUUUGGAGGCGCACUGUACUAGGAAACCAGUGUCUACUACCUAGGCAAUCGACCCUGCUACCUACAAUGCAUUGCACAGUUCUAUUUUCUGGACAUAUACUCGAUCACACCAGAAGUAUCAUCCAUCUUAAAAUUGGACUGAAAAUAGAGAACAUCGGCAGUUGUUUGGCAAUGAUCAUCUAUGCAGAUGAUUCUUGAUUUUGCUUCUUUUAUCUUAUGCCUUGCUGCCAUAUGGCCCAUCAGGAUACACAUCCAUGCUUUUACUGAACAUACUCUUAUGUGCUUGGAAACUGUUAGUUUAAACUUCAUAAAAGUUGGAGUAAACAUUUCCUAAACGAUCCAUCCGUUCUCUGGAAUCGACAGGUCCCCUGGAAAUGCUUAUGUCGAAGGUGAUGCCUCAAGUGCGAGCUAUUUCUUGGCUGGUGCUGCCAUCACCGGAGGGACUGUGACGGUCGAAGGUUGCGGCACCACCAGUUUGCAGGUAAAAUUUUACUAUCCAUUUUUACCCUUUUGGUUGAGCAUACUUGACAUGUUACAUUAUUGAAUGUAUACCAUUUUCAACCAAACAUGCUUUAAGUGGAUAUUUGUAGCUGAAUCUGUCAAACUGUUGUAUUCUAUAAGUGAAAGUGCGUUAUAUCGACUAGGGGGGGGGGGUGAAUAGGCGAUUUUUAUGAAUUCUUCACUGAGGAAUUUGCCGGUGAGGAAAUUCCUUAGCGAAGAACUACUAGCAGCGGAAUAAGUACUCAAAAGUAAACAUAACAGAACACAAGCAUGGUCAUCAUGAUGAAAUUAAGACAAGCAUAGAGUACAAAAAGCGUAAUCACAGGAUAACACAGGAUGAAGACAAACAGACUGAAGAAAUUGAACUGAGGAAAUUGAGAAAGUCUUCAGUCAAAGUCUUCAAACACAGAUACGAACAAGCACACAACAUAGUAAUGAGGAAAUGAAAGAGUUGAGGAAAGAGAACAAGUAGGCUUGGUGAAGACAAUGAUUUGGUAGACCAGUUCCAACUGCUGUCUCAGUUGUACAUCUGGUUGGAGCGGCUAGGUAUUUAAACAUGAGGACACACAGUCCCGGACACACAGUCCUCACCGUAUUCUCCUUGAGCUAAGGUCACACAGACCUCGCCCAAUCACUCGUGGUAAGUCUUCAGGUGACUUCCGAACCUUCACAAACUCGGUCACUCGGCGAUCCACAAUUCCUGUUGGAUGCUUUAGACCAUGACGCCUAACCGUCUGGAAGAAGCACAGUCUUCAAAGGUAACAAGCGUCGGAUCCACGCAUGAUCAAUCUCUUUAGUGAUGCUCAAUCACUUUGGGUUUGUAGGUGUUUGGGUUUGGGUUUUCCUCACUCGAUGAUUUUCGCUCAGAGUCCUCGGAGGAUGGGAUGCUCUCAAAUGACAAGUGUCAGUUUCUCUCGGAGCAGCCAACCAGCUAGUGGUUGUAGGGGGGCGGUUAUUUAUAGCCUAGGGAGCAGCCCGACAUGAUAAGACACAAAUGCCCUUCAAUGAUAUGACCGUUAGGUGGGUAGAUAUUUUGGGACAGCUGGCGCGUAGCACAGCAACGGUCGGAAAUUUGAGUAUCAAAUUCCUCAGGGCUAUCAUGUUCCUCACAGUGUAGGCAAUCCGCACUGGCGAAUUCCUAACUCCUCAUUCAGAACAAAUUCCUCAGAAACCAGAAGAACUUCGUCUCUGUCACUGAAGAAUAUGACUGAACUGUAUGAGAUUUCCAAUGGCUUCACUCGAAGGGAUUGGUAGGUGUAGGAUUUUGAGUUGAGCAUCACAUGGAAAUUUUUUCUUAGUAUUUCCUCGACCCCCUUUAACAGUACGGUGUUUCCUAUUACUCAAGAAAGAGAAAAUGAAACUACGAAAACAAAAGUCUUCACGCUUCAUGUUCCUCGAAUGAAUACCAAGUCUUCAAGGUCACACCAAUUUCUUCACUUUCAAAGUCUUCAGAAAUCCAAAGUCUUCAGUCGAAGAACUUCAUUUUAGGGGUCGACUUUCUCUGUAAAUAUCAAACUCCUCAUAGACUUAUAGACCUGUGUACACUCAUAAACGCAUUAGUCCCUUAACCUAUAAGUCUUCAAUACACCAAAAUCACUAAGGGGCACUAGAUGCACUUACAAUCUCCCCCUUUUUGGUGAUUGAUGACAAUAUAGGUUAAGUUUUCAACGGGGAUAAACAUAUGAAGUGUAAAUAUUGAUAUUGAGGAAUUUGAUUACAAGAUAUAGAAGAACUCCCCCUGAAGAUGUGCAUAGUGAGGAAUUUGCUUUUGAAGCAAUGCACACUUGAAGAGUUGAAUCAUGGAGAUCUCCCCCUAUAUCUUGUAAUUCAUACACGCAUUUGACAUAAAAUAUGAAGAAUUUGAAAUGCAUGAUGAAAUAUGGUGCUGAUGUAAUUCAGCAUGCGUGCAUUAACAUUAACGAGGAAUAAGCAUGUAGAAGAAACAACAAAAGUAUCAGGCCGCCAUAGAGUUUAAGUUUACAACUCGAUCCAGCAAAGUCAUCAGAAGAACGAGAGUUGUAACUUAGCAAAAAAACGCCCAUAUAGAUAGACCCGCUUGAAGACUAACUCAAAUUUCUCCCCCUUUGUCAUCGAAUGACCAAAAGGAUCGAAAAUGAGGACUAACGCCCCUGAAGAAUAUCAAGUUGAUGAAGGAGCGCCAACGUUGUUGGGGUCGUUUGUCGUAGUAGGGCCUGUAGUUUCGCGCGAUGAAGAAUAGGAGCUGGCCACCAAGGAAGGAACCUUGACCUUCUUGUAUUUCGGUGGAGGUGCAGACCAGUCAAAGUCUUCCUUGAGACCCAUGUUCUUCAGAUCUUCUUCACUAUAAAUGUGAGACAGAACAGCCCAGGUGCGAUCGAAGACUUCAUGGAGGUAGUAAUGGUUUUUCUUCACUGCAUUAUGUGUAGCAGUCAUGUUGUGAAGAAUUGAACCAAACUGACGCUUAACCCAUUUAUGGUUUCGAUCCACCUUCUGGUGAAGACUUAGCAGAAGCUCACGGCCAGUCAUCACAUGAGGAGCAGUGGCUUGAGGAUUUGGCUUGGAGGCAUGGGCAGCAGAAUCAUGAGUGGCAGAGUCGUCAUUGGUGGAAUAAGAUGCAGCCUUGCGAAACUGACCAUCCAAUGGACGAAUGCCUUCAUCUAUAACAGCUGGUGCCUUUCCUUUUCGUCAGCUGAGGAAUAGGUCCGCUUGAGGACUUCAAUCGGGGGCAAGUAGCUGAGGUGAUUCUGAAAAUCAGCCUUGUAGUUGAGUGAAGACCUUGUUCUGAGGAAUCUCAUAAUCCACGGUGCAUAAGGCUUCAGCUCAAACGGUGAAAGUGCAAAAUUUGCCAGAGUCCUCAUGAAGAAAUCGUGAUAAUUGAUAGGAAUGCCAUGAAUGAUGUUGAAUACCAGAUUCUUCAUGAUGCCAACAAUUUCCUCAUCAGAUGAGUCGUGGCCUUUGAUUGGACUCAUAGUCUUCGUCAGAAUGCGAUAGACUGUCCUUGGUACAUACUGCAAUUCCUUCACGAGGAAUUUUGUCCUUGAGGCUUGACCAGGUUUCAAUGGCUUCAUCAGCACUUGCAUAUAAUGAGCAGUGAGCUCAGGCUCUUGGUACAGGCAACGAGUGAUACGUCCAUUUUGCAUCAUGCUUUUAUAUCGAUAUUUAUCGCAUUAUGGGCUGUUAUUACACGUUAUGUCACAAUACUUAUGCCUAUUCUCUCUUAUUUUACAAGGUUUACAUAAGGAGGGAGAAUGCCGGCAGCUGGAAUUCUGGGCUGGAAAAAGAGCAAAUAUUAGAGACCUAUUCUGCACAACUCCAAAAGUCCUGAAACUCCACGGAAGUUAUUUUUGGAAAUAACAAAAAAUACUGAGCGGAAGAAAUACGCCAGGGGGGCCACCACCUGUCCACGAGGGUGGGGGCGUGCCCCCUGCCUCGUGGGCCCCCUGUUGGCUCUCCGGUGGCCAUCUUCUGCUAUAUGAAGUCUUUCGUCGAGGAAAAAUCAUAAGCAACCUUUCGGGACGAGACUCCGCCGCCACGAGGCGGAACCUUGGCGGAACCAAUCUAGGGCUCCGGCAGAGCUGUUCUGCCGGGGACACUUCCCUCCGGGAGGGGGAAAUCAUCGCCAUCGUCAUCACCGACGCUCCUCUCAUCAGGAGAGGGCAAUCUCCAUCAACAUCUUCACCAGCACCAUCUCCUCUCAAAACCCUAGUUCAUCUCUUGUAUCCAAUUCUUGUCUCCAAGUCCGGGAUUGGUACUAGUAGGUUGCUAGUAGUGUUGAUUACUCCUUGUAGUUGAUGCUAGUUGGUUUAUUUGGUGGAAGAUCAUAUGUUCAGAUCCUAUAUGCAUAUUAAUACCCCUCUGAUUAUGAACAUGAAUAUGCUUUGUGAGUAGUUACGUUUGUUCCCGAGGACAUGGGAGAAGUCUUGCUAUUAGUAGUCAUGUGAAUUUGGUAUUCGUUCGAUAUUUUGAUGAGAUGUAUGUUGUCUAUCCUCUAGUGGUGUUAUGUGAACGUCGACUACAUGACACUUCACCAUUAUUUGGGCCUAGUGGAAGGCAUUGGGAAGUAAUAAGUAGAUGAUGGGUUGCUAGAGUGACAGAAGCUUAAACCCUAGUUUAUGCGUUGCUUCGUAAGGGGCUGAUUUGGAUCCACAUGUUUCAUGCUAUGGUUAGGUUUACCUUAAUAAUUUUGUUGUAGUUGCGGAUGCUUGCAAUAGAGGUUAAUCAUAAGUGGGAUGCUUGUUCAAGUAAGAACAGCACCCAAGCACCAGUCCACCCACAUAUCAAAUUAUCAAAGUACCGAACACGAAUCAUAUGAAUGUGAUGAAAACUAGCUUGACGAUAAUUCCCAUGUGUCCUCGGGAGCGCUUUUCUCCAUAUAAGAGUUUGUCCAGGCUUGUCCUUUGCUACAAAAAGGAUUGGGUCACCUUGCUGCACUUUAUUUACUUUUGUUACUUGUUGCUCGUUACAAAUUAUCUUAUCACAAAACUAUCUGUUACCACUUAUUUCAGUACUUGCAGAGAAUACCUUGCUGAAAACCGCUUAUCAUUUCCUUCUGCUCCUCGUUGGGUUCGACACUCUUACUUAUCGAAAGGACUACGAUAGAUCUCCUAUACUUGUGGGUCAUCAAGACUCUUUUCUGGCGCCGUUGCCGGGGAGUGAAGCGCCUUUGGUAGGUGGAAUUUGGUAAGAAAAAAUUAUAUAGUGUGCUGAAAUUUACUGUCACUUGUUACUAUGGAAAGUAAUCCUCUGAGGGGCUUGUUCGGGGUACCUUCACCCCGACCAGUAGAGCAAAGAGUUGCUCCUCAACCUACUGAACCUACUGAAAAUGAAAAUGAGAAUGAAAAUGUUCACUUUGAGAUUCCUUUGGGUAUGUUAGAAAAACUGCUAGCUAAUCCUUUUGCAGGAGAUGGAACAAAGCAUCCUGAUGAGCACCUAAUAUAUGUGGAUGAAGUUUGUGAAUUAUUUAAGCUUGCAGGUGUACCCGGUGAUGUUGUUAAGAGGAAGGUCUUCCCUUUAUCUUUGAAGGGAGACGCAUCGACAUGGUAUAGGCUAUGUGAUGAUACGGGAUCAUGGAACUACAAACGAUUGAAAUUGGAAUUUCAUCAGAAAUUUUAUCCUAUGCAUCUUGUUCAUCGUGAUCGCAAUUAUAUAUAUAAUUUUUGGCCUCGCGAAGGAGAAAGCAUCGCUCAAGCUUGGGGGAGGCUUAAAUCAAUGUUAUAUUCAUGCCCCAAUCAUGAGCUCUCAAAAGAAAUAAUUAUUCAAAGUUUUUAUGCUCGGCUUUCUGAUAACAAUCGCACCAUGCUCGAUACUUCUUGUGCUGGCUCUUUUAUGAUGAAGACUAUUGAAUUCAAAUGGAAUUUAUUGGAUAGAAUUAAACGCAACUCUGAAGAUUGGGAUCUCGACGAAGGUAAGGAGUCAGGUAUGACACCUAAGUUUGAUUGUGUUAAAUCUUUUAUGGAUACCGACGUGUUCCGUAAAUUUAGCACUAAAUAUGGACUUGACUCUGAGAUAGUAGCUUCAUUCUGUGAAUCUUUUGCUACUUAUGUUGAUCUCCCCAAGGAGAAGUGGUUUAAAUAUCAUCCUCCCAUAGAAGUAAAAGUAGCUGCACCUACUAAAGUUGAAGAAAAGACCAUCACUUAUAAUGAUCCCGUUGUUCCUACUUCUUAUGUUGAGAAACCACCUUUCCCUGUUAGGAUAAAGGAUCAUGCUAAAGCUUCAACUGUGGUUCGUAAAAGCAAUAUUAGAACUUAUACACCUCCUGAGCAAAUUAAAGUUGAACCCAAUAUUGCUAUUGUUAAAGAUCUCUUAUCUGAUAAUAUCGAUGGGCACAUUAUUUAUUUCUGUGAGGAAACUGCUAGAAUUGCCAAACCCUGUGCUAAAGAUAAACAUAGAUCUGUGGUAGGCAUGCCUGUUAUUUCUGUUAAAAUAGGAGAUCAUUGUUAUCAUGGCUUAUGUGAUAUGGGUGCUAGUGCUAGUGCCAUACCUAUUGGCUUAUACAAAGAAAUGAAGCAUGAUAUUGCACCUGCUGAGUUAGAAGAUAUUGAUGUCACAAUUAAACUUGCCAAUAGAGAUACUAUUUCACCAAUGGGAAUUGUUAGAGAUGUUGAAGUCUUGUGCGGGAAAACCAAAUAUCCUGCUGAUUUUCUUGUUCUUGGUUCCCCACAAGAUAGCUUUUGUCCCAUUAUAUUUGGUAGACCCUUCUUGAACACCGUUAAUGCUAAGAUAGACUGUGAAAAGGAGUUGUUACUAUUGGUUUGGGUGAUAUGUCUCAUGAGUUUAAUUUCUCUAAAUUUAGUAGACAACACCGUGAAGAGGAAUUACCUAGUAAGGAUGAAAUUAUUGGUCUUGCUUCUAUUGCCGUACCUUCUAGUGAUCCUUUAGAACAAUAUUUGCUAGACCAUGAAAAUGAUAUGUUUAUGAAUGAAAGAAGGGAAAUAGAUGAAGUGUUCUUUAAACAGGAACCUAUCCUGAAACACAAUUUCCCUGUUGAAAUCCUAGGGGAUCCUCCUCGACCCAAGGGUGAUCCCGUGUUUGAGCUUAAACCGUUGCCUGAUACUCUUAAAUAUGCUUAUCUUGAUGAAAAGAAGAUAUAUCCUGUUAUUAUUAGUGCUAACCUUUCAGAGCAUGAAGAAGAGAGAUUAUUGAAAACUCUGAAGAAGCACCGUGCCGCUAUUGGAUAUACUCUUGAUGAUCUUAAGGGCAUUAGUCCCACUCUAUGUCAAGAUAAAAUAAAUUUGGAAGAAGAUGCCAAACCAGUUCGUGAUCAUCAACGAAGGCUGAAUCCUAAGAUGAAAGAAGUGGUAAGAAAGGAAAUACUAAAGCUCCUUGAGGCAGGUAUAAUUUAUCCCGUUGCUGAUAGUCAGUGGGUAAGUCCUGUCCAUUGUGUCCCUAAGAAGGGAGGUAUUACCAUCGUUCCUAAUGAUAAAGAUGAAUUGAUUCCGCAAAGAAUUAUUACAGGUUAUAGGAUGGUAAUUGAUUUCCGCAAAUUAAAUAAGGCCACUAAGAAAUACCAUUACCCCUUACCUUUUAUCGAUCAAAUGCUAGAAAUAUUAUCCAAACAUACACAUUUUUUCUUUCUAGAUGGUUAUUCUGGUUUCUCUCAAAUACCUGUGUCAGCCAAUGAUCAAUCAAAGACUACUUUUACUUGCCCUUUUGGUACUUUUGCUUAUAGACGUAUGCCUUUUGGUUUAUGUAAUGCACCUGCUACCUUUCAAAGAUGCAUGAUGGCUAUAUUCUCUGACAUUUGUGAAAAGAUUUGUGAGGUUUUCAUGGACGACUUCUCCGUCUAUGGAUCUCUUUUGAUGAUUGCUUGAGCAACCUUGAUCGAGUUUUGUAGAGAUGUGAAGAAACUAAUCUUGUCUUGAAUUGGGAAAGUGCCACUUUAUGGUUAAUGAAGGUAUUGUCUUGGGGCAUAAAGUUUCUGAAAGAGGUAUUGAGGUUGAUAAAGCCAAGGUUGAUGCUAUUGAAAAGAUGCCAUGUCCCAAGGACAUCAAAGGUAUAAGAAGUUUCCUUGGUCACGCCGGAUUUUAUAGGAGGUUCAUUAAGGACUUCUCAAAAAUUUCUCGGCCUCUGACUAAUUUAUUACAAAAAGAUAUACCCUUUGUCUUUGAUGAUGAUUGUGUAGAAGCAUUUGAAAUACUUAAGAAAGCAUUGAUCUCUGCACCUAUUGUUCAGCCACCUGAUUGGAAUUUACCCUUUGAAAUUAUGUGUGAUGCUAGUGAUUAUGCUGUAGGUGCUGUUCUAGGGCAAAGAGUUGAUAAGAAAUUAAAUGUUAUUCAAUAUGCUAGUAAAACUCUAGACAAUGCUCAGAGAAAUUAUGCUACUACUGAAAAAGAAUUCUUAGCAGUUGUAUUUGCUUGUGAUAAGUUCAGACAUUAUAUUGUUGAUUCUAAAGUGACUAUUCACACGGAUCAUGCUGCUAUUAAAUAUCUUAUGGAAAAGAAAGAUGCUAAACCUAGACUUAUUAGAUGGGUUCUCUUGCUACAAGAAUUUGAUUUGCAUAUUGUUGAUAGAAAGGGAGCUGAGAACCCCGUGGCAGACAACUUGUCUAGGUUAGAAAAUGUUCUUGAUGACCCACUACCUAUUGAUGAUAGCUUUCCUGAUGAGCAAUUAAAUUUCAUAAAUGCCUCUCGUAGUACUCCGUGGUAUGCUGAUUAUGCUAAUUAUAUCGUGGCUAAAUUUAUACCACCUAGUUUCACAUACCAGCAAAAGAAAAAGUUUUUCUAUGAUUUGAGACAUUACUUUUGGGAUGACCCACAUCUUUAUAAAGAAGGAGUAGAUGGUGUUAUUAGACGUUGUGUACCUGAGCACGAACAGGAACAGAUCCUACGCAAGUGUCACUCCGAAGUUUAUGGAGGACACCACGCUGGAGAUAGAACUACAGAUAAGGUAUUGCAAUCCGGUUUUUAUUGGCCUACUCUCUUCAAGGAUGCCCGUAAGUUUGUCUUAUCUUGUGAUGAAUGUCAAAGAAUCGGUAAUAUUAGUAGACGUCAAGAAAUGCCUAUGAACUAUUCACUCGUUAUUGAACCAUUUGAUGUCUGGGACUUUAAUUAUAUGGGACCUUUUCCUGCCUCUAAUGGUUACACACAUAUUUUAGUUGCUAUUGAUUACGUUACUAAGUGGGUAGAAGCUAUUCCAACUAGUAGUGCUGAUCGUAACACCUCUAUUAAGAUGCUUAAAGAAGUUAUUUUUCCGAGGUUUGGAGUCCCUAGAUAUUUAAUGACUGAUGGUGGUUCACAUUUUAUUCAUGGUGCUUUCCGUAAAAUGCUUGCUAAGUAUGAUGUUAAUCAUAGAAUUGCAUCUCCUUAUCACCCACAGUCUAGUGGUCAAGUAGAAUUGAGCAAUAGAGAGCUCAAAUUAAUUGUGCAAAAGACUGUUAAUAGAUCUAGAAAGAAUUGGUCCAAGAAACUUGAUGAUGCAUUAUGGGCCUAUAGAACUGCAUAUAAAAAUCCUAUGGGCAUGUCUCCGUAUAAAAUGGUUUAUGGAAAAGCAUGUCACUUACCUCUCGAACUAGAACAUAAGGCAUAUUGGGCUAUUAAAGAGCUCAACUAUGAUUUCAAGCUUGCCGGUGAGAAGAGGUUAUUUGAUAUUAGCUCACUUGAUGAAUGGAGAACCCAAGCUUAUGAAAAUGCCAAGUUGUUUAAAGAAAAAGUUAAAAGAUGGCAUGACAAAAGGAUACAAAAGCGUGAGUUUAAUGUAGGUGAUUAUGCAUUGCUAUACAACUCUCAUUUAAGAUUUUUUGCAGGAAAACUUCUCUCUAAAUGGGAAGGCCCUUACGUUAUCGAGGAGGUCUAUCGUUCCGGUGCCAUAAAAAUCAACAACUUCGAAGGCACAAAUCCGAAGGUGGUGAACGGCCAAAGAAUCAAACAUUAUAUCUCAGGUAAUCCCAUAAAUGUUGAAACCAAUGUUAUUGAAACCGUAACCCCAGAGGAAUACAUAAGGGAUACUUUCCAGAACGUUUCAGACUCCGAAAAGGAAUAGGUAUGUGGUACGGUAAGUAAACCGACUCCAAAACAGUUUUUAUGGCAAUAUUUCUCCGUUUUGGAAUAUUUAGAAAAAUAGAAAAAUAAGAAGCAUUCCGGGAAGGACACGAGGGCUCCACGAGGGUGGAGGGCGCCCCCCCCUACCUCGUGGGCACCUCGUGUGCUCUCCGGACUCCGCUUUCUUGCACGAUACGUAUUUUGGUCGGUAAAAAUUCAUUAUAUAAUCUCCCGAAGGUUUUGACUAUCGUAUCACGCAAUUGUCCUCUGUUCUUGUUUCGAGCUGUUUCCUGUUAGGGUUGUCAAGGCCAGGCAUCAUGUCGCCCCCCUACUCCAACAAUGGUGACAACGAUGCUUGGCUAAUGAAGAUAGAGCUGAAGAGGGAAGAACCCAUGGAGAUCAACAAGGAUGAAGGGAUCAAGAAGGCCAUGAAGGAUCAAGCUCCGGCAGCAGAAGACAUUCUUCAACUUGAUCACAAUCUUCUUACCCCAACUGAGAUCGAAGCUUUCAAGAUGAUUGAGUUAGCUCGUAUACAGAACAAGUAUCUCACACGUGAAAAUAUUUUGUUGAAGGAGCAUAUCGUUGCACUCAAGGGCAUUAUCCGCAAGCUAGAGGACCUCUUACAUUCGAUGUGCGACUAUCCAUCAUCACCUCCACCUUCUUCACCAGCAAAGGAGACAUAAUCACAUGGGUAUGGGCACUCCCCUUGGCGACUGCCAAGCUUGGGGGAGAUGCCCCGGUAUCGUAUCACCAUCACACUCCUAUCUUUACCGUUUUUCUUAGUUCGAUCCUAUUAGUAGUAUCUUGAUCUAGUAGAAUAAAGUUUAUGGCAUGAUUUAGUUUUGAGUUUUGCUUUAUGAUCUCUCUAUGUAAUCGAGUCCGUGAGCUAUAUAAUAAAGAUUAGUGUUGAGUCAAGGGCUUGAUUAUUUUGCCAUGAUCUUGAGUGUAUAAAGAAAAGAAGAAUAAAAAGAAGUAAAGAGAUCAUAUUGAUCUUAUUGAGAGUAAUGACUUCACAUAGAAAGAGUAUGAUGAUUAAAAAUUGUUGAGAGUUGGCAAACAUAGAUUUGGUCAUCGUUGCAAUUAAUAGGAAGUAAUAAAGAAAGAGAGGUCUCACAUAUAAAUAUACUAUCUUGGACAUCUUUUAUGAUUGGGAGCACUCAUUAAAAUAUGACAUGCUAAAGAGUUGAUGUUGGACAAGGAAGACAACGGAAUGGGUUAUGUUUUCUUAUAUCUGAGAUAAAGUAUAUUGUCAUGGAUCAUCCAACAUGUUGAGCUUGCCUUUCCCCCUCAUGCUAGCCAAAUUCUUUGCACCAAGUAGAGAUACUACUUGUGCUUCCGAAAACCCUUAAACCAGUUUGCCAUGAGAGUCCACCAUAUCUACCUAUGGAUUGAGUAAGAUCCUUCAAGUAAGUUGUCAUCGGUGCAAGCAAUAAAAAUUGCUCUCUAAAUAUGUAUAAUUGAUUGGUGUGGAGGAAAUAAGCUUUAUACGAUCUUGUGAUGUGGAAGAAAUAAAAUCGACGGACUGCAUAAUAAAGGUUCAUAUCACAAGUGGCAAUAUAAAGUGACGUUCUUUCGCAUUAAGAUUUUGUGCAUCCAACCCUGAAAGCGCAUGGCAACCUCUGCUUCCCUCUGCGAAGGACCUAUAUUUUAUUAUUAUCUUCUAUCUUAUGCAAGAGUCAUGGUGAUCUUCACCUUUCCUUUUUAUAUUUUAUCCUUUGGCAAGCACAGGGUGUUGGAAAGAUCCUGAUAGAUAUAUCUAAUUGGAUGUAAGUCAGCAUGAGUUAUUAUUGUUGACAUUACCCUUGAGAUAAAAGGUUGCAGGCGAAACUAUAAGCCCCUAUCUUUCUCUGUGUCCGAUUAAAACUCCAUAACCACAAGUAUUGCGUGAGUGUUAGCAAUUAUAAAAGACUAAAUGAUAGUUGAGUAUGUGGACUUGCUAGAAAGCUCUGACAUAGACUCUUUCUGAUGUUAUGAUAAAUUGCAAUUGCUUCAAUGACUGAGAUUAUAGUUUGUUAGUUCUCAAUAAAGUUUCUGAUUCAUACUUUGCAUUGUGAAUAUAUUAUUACUUGAGCAUAAGAAAUCAUAUGACAAUAUUCAUAUAUGUUGCUGUUAUGAUAAUAAUCAUGAUGCCUUCAUGUCCGUAUUUUAUUUUUAUCGACACCUCUACCUCUAAACAUGUGGACAUAUUUAUCGUUAUCGGCUUCCGCUUGAGGACAAGCGAGGUCUAAGCUUGGGGGAGUUGAUACGUCCAUUUUGCAUCAUGCUUUUAUAUCGAUAUUUAUUGCAUUAUGGGCUGUUACUACACGUUAUGUCACAAUACUUAUGCCUAUUCUCUCUUAUUUUACAAGGUUUACAUAAGGAGGGAGAAUGCCGGCAGCUGGAAUUCUGGGCUGGAAAAGGAGCAAAUAAUAGAGACCUAUUCUGCACAACUCCAAAAGUCCUGAAACUCCAUGAAAGUUAUUUUUGAAAAUAAUAAAAAAUAUUGAGCGGAAGAAGUAUGCCAGAGGGGGACCCACCUGGCCACGAGGGUGGGGGGCGCGCCCUACCCCCCCAGGGCGCGCCCCUGCCUCGUGGGCCCCCUGUUGGCUCUCCGGUGGCCAUCUUCUGCUAUAUGAAGUCUUUAGUCGAGGAAAAAAUCAUAAGCAACCUUUCGGGACGAGACUCCGCCGCCACGAGGCGAAACCUUGGCGGAACCAAUCUAGGGCUCCGGUAGAGCUGUUCUACCGGGGACACUUCCCUCCGGGAGGGGAAAUCAUCGCCAUCGUCAUCACCAACGUUCCUGUCGUCGGGAGAGGGCAAUCUCCAUCAACAUCUUCACCAGCACCAUCUCCUCUCAAAACCCUAGUUCAUCUCUUGUAUCCAAUUCUUAUCUCCAAGUCCGGGAUUGGUACUAGUAGGUUGCUAGUAGUGUUGAUUACUCCUUGUAGUUGAUGCUAGUUGGUUUAUUUGGUGGAAGAUCAUAUGUUCAGAUCCUUUAUGCAUAUUAAUACCCCUCUGAUUAUGAACAUGAAUAUGCUUUGUGAUUAGUUACGUUUGUUCCUGAGGACACGGGAGAAGUCUUGCUAUUAGUAGUCAUGUGAAUUUGGUAUUCGUUCAAUAUUUUGAUGAGAUGUAUGUUGUCUAUCCUCUAGUGGUGUUAUGUGAACGUCGACUACAUGACACUUCACCAUUAUUUGGGCCUAGAGGAAGGCAUUGGGAAGUAAUAAGUAGAUGAUGGGUUGCUAGAGUGACAGAAGCUUAAACCCUAGUUUAUGCGUUGCUUCGUAAGGGGCUGAUUUGGAUCCACAUGUUUCAUGCUAUGGUUAGGUUUACCUUAAUACUUUUGUUGUAGUUGCGGAUGCUUGCAAUAGAGGUUAAUCAUAAAUGGGAUGCUUGUUCAAGUAAGAACAACACCCAAGCACCGGUCCACCCACAUAUCAAAUUAUCAAAGUACCGAACGCGAAUCAUAUGAAUGUGAUGAAAACUAGCUUGACGAUAAUCCCCAUGUGUCCUCGGGAGCGCUUUUCUCCAUAUAAGAGUUUGUCCAGGCUUGUCCUUUGCUACAAAAAGGAUUGGGCCACCUUGCUGCAAUUUAUUUACUUUUGUUACUUGUUGCUCGUUACAAAUUAUCUUAUCACAAAACUAUCUGUUACCACUUAUUUCAGUACUUGCAGAGAAUACCUUGCUGAAAACCGCUUAUCAUUUCCUUCUGCUCCUCGUUGGGUUCGACACUCUUACUUAUAGAAAGGACUACGAUAGAUCCCUUAUACUUGUGGGUCAUCAACGAGCUCCUUCAGGUGGAGGACUGAUGGGCAGGGCAUGAAGUAAUUCAGAGGCCGGUGCCUUAUAGUGAGUGUUCUCGGUCAUCUAGUCCAAAACCCAGGAGUUCACAUCGUUAGCAUCUCUUGUGAUGUGUAGUGUUGCAUAGAAUUGAAGAAUGAGCUCUUCAUUCCAAUCAACUAUGUCUGUGCAAAAGUUGAGGAGGCCUGUGUCAUGAAGCACACUGAGGACAGGUGUGAAGCAUGGCAGAGAUUCCAUGUCCACAUGAGGAAUAUGCUCGUGUUCAAAGACUUCGUCCUUGUUGAAGAGCACUGAGGAAUGGAAAUUUGCCUGGCUGGCGGUCCAGAAGCGCUUCCUUCUAAGACGAGCAGAAUCAUAGGGAUUGUAGUCAGUGAAGAACACGUGCUCGCCGAAGAAAUCAUCAGCCUUGAAUUUCUGCUUCUUUGAGAAUGGAUCCUUUGGCUUGGGCUGAGGAGUAUCAGUCAAUUGCAUUAUUACCUCAGGAAUCGCAAUCUCAGGUUCUUCAGGCUGAGGAAUUUCAGCUUCUACUCCAGUGACAGCCUGGGUCUUCAAUUCUUCAUUUAAAUUUUCUUCAGCGCUAGUGGCUGGAAUUUCUUCAUGGACAAACGAUGUGGCAUCUGGUUCAUCAGAUCCCAUUUGAACUGUAGUUGCUGGGGACUGAGGAAUUUGUUGCAAUGGUGUGAAGAGUGGAGAGUUGGGGUGCUGACUUUCCCAAAAGUCAUCAUUCAGCACAGGUGUCGUACAACCAAUGUCCACAUCUUCAUCUUCCAUUUCUUCAACGCCAGCCUCUUCAGUAGUAAACUGAGGCAUAGGCGAGGAAACUGCUGGAGUUGAAGGGAUUUCAUCCACUUCAAUUUCUUCAUCCAUCUGCUCCGACGUAGCAGCAGAAGGAUUUUCUUCAUCAGAUCCGCUAGGGAUCACAUAUUCUUCAUCAAAAGGGACGAUUUCCUUUGAUGGCAUGGUUGAGAUAGGAACAACAUCAAUGGGGUUUGCAAAUGAGCUGGUCAUAGACUUCAUCUUCUUUGGAGCUGAAGAAUCUGAAGAAGAUGAUGCCUUCCUUUUCUUCACUGCUGCACGCUCUGCAGCCUUUGUCUUCUUCAUAUCUGAUGCACAUGGAAGGAUUGGAGUUGGAGUAGGCGCAGGAGGAGCAGAGGAAUGUGGUUGAUUUUCUUCAGGCACAACUGAUGCAGUUGCCCUGACCUCUUCAUUUUCUUCAGGCGCACCACUAGUGGAUGCCCUGGCAAUUUCAUCAGUGGCUGGAAUGCAGUCAUCAGCCCUGGAACUCACAUUUUCUUCAGCAGCCUGAACGUCAUUAGCGGUGCUGGCAUGUUCUUCAGUCGGCUGAGCAGAUGCUUCAGCCUGAGGAUUUUCUUGUUGCGUUGAGGCUGCGACAUUGGAGGUGAACUUUUCAGACAAUUUCACAAACCUGACUUUGGCUCCAAGCCAGUCAGCAUGGUAUGCGUCAAAUUCAUCACUGAGUUUCUUGAUCUCAGAUUGAAUAGUGACAAGUUCUUCAGUUGUCAUAGAGACAACAUUUUUCUUCAGAAAGUGCUCCUUUCUGUACUGAGCUUUCUUGAUCUGCCUGGCCUUCUCAUACUUCCAUUUUUCUUCUUGGAUGAAGGCAGUCAGCAUAUGACUUUGGCCAGGAGUCAGCUUGAAAUCAAGCAUAGGAGUAUUUGGGUCCUUGUGCCAGAGAUCAAUGUAGUCGAGGUUCACCUUUGGAUCCAAAAGCAGAGGCACAUUUGUGCCCUUGGCUCUAGCGGCCCUGACUUGCCUAUCUCUGAUGAUUUCGGCAAGUUCCUCAUCAUCAGCUUCGUCUUCAUCAGACAACACUUGGAAGGCGACCUGCUUCUUGUGAGGACUUGGGCGAGAACCUCGUCCAGCAGUGGCCUUUGUCUUCAGCAGAGAGGGUUCCGUUGAAGAAUUUGGUGCAGCUGAGGAACUACCAGAAGCUCCUGAGGCAAUAGAGAUGCCUGUCGUCCUUUGGCACGUGGCAAGAUGCAUAGGUGCUGAGGACUUGGUCGGAGCAGCUGAGGACUUUGGCGGAGGAGCUGAGGACUUUGGAGGAGCAGGAACAGCGUGAGGAAUUGGCCAUGAGGGCUUUGAGGAUUCUGGCCGUGAUGGCAUAGCUGAGGAACUUGGCCUUGAGGACAUUGACGGCGAAGCACUUGGCUUGUGCGCAGGCUUCUUUGAGAUGGCCUUCUUAGGCUUGACAGAGGCCUCAGCGGCAGCAGCAGCAGCAGAGUCUUCAUUGAAUUUCCUCACUGCUUCUCUGGCUUGUCUAGCCAACUUGGGCCUGGCGCUUGGUCCAUUCAUCAGGAUAAUCCUCACCGCGCUUGAGGCUGGUGGGAUCUGCUAUUUGGCCAGGUGCCAAUGGAGGUCUUGGGCAUGGAGGAUUGAGUGAGAAUUUCUUCAUGUAUUUGGGAGUAACAUAUCUGUACUCCCUCCACUCUCUUGCCCAUCUCCUCUCAAUCCUUUGGAUGCGCACCUUGUGCUGAUUCUUGUCCUCUUUUCCAAACUUGGCCUCAUCAGGAGUGCAGUAAUCUUUGUAUAUGUCAUCAGGGAUUUCAAAGGCAGUAUUGAUUUCAGGCCUCUUUCCUCCUUUCUGUGGCUUCUUUCCAUCAGCCAUUUUCUUUAGAUCAGGAAUUUGAACAAUUGAGUUCUCUAAAGAAGUAUGCAACUUUUCUUUGAGGAACGCUGCAAAUGAGUUAAGUUGAUGAGAACCUAGUGAUUCAGCAGCGGACAUGAGUACCUGUGAACAGAGUAUAGUUGCGAGGAAUUUGGAAAGGUCAUAUGCGUUCUCAGAAGGUUUUGUAAAAAGAACAAGUUUGAGGAAUUUGACCAGACGAGUCUUGAAGAAUUUCACUAAGCGUUCUUUGUCUUAUGUUCCAGAGUUGUAUAGAUCGAAGAUCCACACAAUUGAGGAAUCUUGAAGAAAAGUUAUUGCUUAGAGAAACGAAUCAAGAACAGAUGACAUGUGAGGUGUUUUAGUGUGUGAGGAUUUGAAGAAAAAUACCUUUGAAGAUUUUGUAGUAAUCAUUUGAAUCAAAGAGGGCAGUAAAAGUAACUUUUAAUUACCCUGGACAAAGAACACGACGAACUGGGAUGAAGAGAUGAGAAGUUCGUCUGUGCAGAUCUUCCACGCCCUAACUCGGCGGAGGAAGACAACUACGGCGGCGGCGGAGGGAAGAUUUCCGCGGCCGGCGCGAGUACGGCGGCGACGAGGUCGAGGCAGUGAAGCUCUUCCUCACCGGCGACGAUGAAGUAGCGGCGGCGCUAGGGUUUGAGAAGCUCGAGAUGGAGAGAGGUCGAGCGGAGUAAAGGAAGUGAGGAAGGGGAGGGGGGGUAUUUAUAGCCACGGUGAAAAACUGUUCGCCCGAAGAUUUUGGACGAACAUACCCCUGACCCUUCUCAUUCGCUUGACAUGUGUCACCCAUGUACUGAGAAGUGGAGAUCGUGUGCGAUCAUGGGUGAAUAGAUAAGUAUUCCGUUGGAUGCAGAACGGUUUGAGCGGCAAAACCGAAAAUUUGGAUAACAUAAGUUUUAACAUUCCGUUCGCAAAUUCUUCAGCUGACAAGGACACAGUGAAGAUUUUGAACGAGUUUCAAAUAGAACACACAUGAAGAAUUUGUGAAUAGAUUGGGUUGAGUUUAGCAUAGAGGGGAAAUGGUCCGAUCACAUUCACUUAGCAGAAAAAGCAACUUGAGAAUUAGCCAUAANNNNNNNNNNNNNNNNNNNNNNNNNNNNNNNNNNNNNNNNNNNNNNNNNNNNNNNNNNNNNNNNNNNNNNNNNNNNNNNNNNNNNNNNNNNNNNNNNNNNNNNNNNNNNNNNNNNNNNNNNNNNNNNNNNNNNNNNNNNNNNNNNNNNNNNNNNNNNNNNNNNNNNNNNNNNNNNNNNNNNNNNNNNNNNNNNNNNNNNNNNNNNNNNNNNNNNNNNNNNNNNNNNNNNNNNNNNNNNNNNNNNNNNNNNNNNNNNNNNNNNNNNNNNNNNNNNNNNNNNNNNNNNNNNNNNNNNNNNNNNNNNNNNNNNNNNNNNNNNNNNNNNNNNNNNNNNNNNNNNNNNNNNNNNNNNNNNNNNNNNNNNNNNNNNNNNNNNNNNNNNNNNNNNNNNNNNNNNNNNNNNNNNNNNNNNNNNNNNNNNNNNNNNNNNNNNNNNNNNNNNNNNNNNNNNNAGCCAAUGAAGAGAAACGACGGAAACAGUGAAGACAAUGCAAAGUUGAAGAAAAUGAACAACUGAGGAAUUUCAAAACUGAGGAAAAACUCAAAUAGAAAAUUUUCAACUUUGGUGGUGGCGUGACCCACCGUAUAAGAGUGAUGAUUUCAGACACCGCGUACAAUUGUCGUAGGGUUCUGAGAAUCAAAUUCUUCGUUAAUUUCUUCACACUUAGAGUGUUAUUCUUCAUUGGUUGAAGAAAAACGUUUCUUCAUGUGUUGCACAUCUAAGUCAUCAAGUUUGCAUAAGUGUUAGGAUGAGUGUCCUUUUUCAAAGAACAUUCGAAGAUUCUAAGAUAUUUAGCUCACACCGCAACUUGCUAAAUCUCUUCUCAUCCAAGGGCUUUGUGAAGAUAUCGGCUAGCUGUUCUUCAGUCUUCACAUGCUCAAUAGAAAUGUCUCCCUUCAACACAUGAUCACGAAGAAAAUGAUGACGAAUUUGAAUGUGCUUUGUCUUCGAGUGCUGAACUGGGCUGUGAGCAAUCUUGAUGGCACUCUCAUUGUCACAGAAGAGAGGCACAUUCUUCACGUUGACGCCGUAGUCCUUGAGAGUUUGCUUCAUCCACAGCAAUUGAGCACAGCAAGAACCAGCAGCAAUGUACUCAGCUUCAGCAGUAGACAGUGAUACACAGUUCUGUUUCUUCGAGGACCAACAGACCAAAGAUCGUCCGAGGAAAUGACAUGUACCAGAUGUUGACUUACGGUCCACACGAUCGCCAGCAUAGUCAGAGUCAGAAUAUCCAAUGAGAUCAAAAGCCGAGCCCUUGGGGUACCAUAAUCCAAGUGUUGGUGUGUGAGCUAGAUAUCGAAGAAUAUGCUUCACAGCCUUAUGGUGUGAUUCCUUCGGUGUAGCUUGAAAUCGGGCACACAUGCAAACACUAACCAUUAUAUCUGGCCUAGAUGCACAUAAGUACAAUAAAGAACCAAUCAUGGAGCGGUAUACCUUAUGAUCGAAGUCAAUACCAUUUUCAUCAGUGCACAGAUGGCCAUUUGUGGGCAUAGGAAUUUUGACGCCUUUGCAAUCUUGCAUGCCGAAUUUCCUCAGUACAUCCUUGAGGUAUUUCUCCUGAGAUAUGAAUAUGCCAUUGCGCUGUUGACGAAUUUGAAGACCUAAGAAGAAUUUCAAUUCUCCCAUCAUAGACAUUUGAUAUUCUUCACUCAUCAUAUAGGCAAAUUCAUCACUAUAAUGUUGGUCAGUACAACCAAAGAUAAUAUCAUCAACAUAUAUUUGGCAGACUGAUAACCCACAAGUAUAGGGGAUCGCAACAGUUUUCGAGGGUAGAGUAUUCAACCCAAAUUUAUUGAUUCGACACAAGGGGAGCCAAAGAAUAUUCUCAAGUAUUAGCAGCUGAGUUGUCAAUUCAACCACACCUGGAUAACUUAGUAUGUGCAGCAAAGUAUUUAGUAGCAAAGUAAUAUGAUAGUAGUGGUAACGGUAACAAAAGUAACGGAAGCAAAAGUAAUAUUUUUGGUGUUUUGUAGUGAUUGUAACAGUAGCAACGGAAAAGUAAAUAAGCGGAGAACAAUAUGUGAAAAGCUCGUAGGCAUUGGAUCGGUGAUGGAGAAUUAUGCCGGAUGCGGUUCAUCAUGUAACAAUCAUAACAUAGGGUGACACAGAACUAGCUCCAAUUCAUCAAUGUAAUGUAGGCAUGUAUUCCGAAUAUAGUCAUACAUGCUUAUGGAAAAGAACUUGCAUGACAUCUUUUGUCCUACCCUCCCGUGGCAGCGGGGUCCUAAUGGAAACUAAGGGAUAUUAAGGCCUCCUUUUAAUAGAGUACCAGAACAAAGCAUUAGCACAUAGUGAAUACAUGAACUCCUCAAACUAUGGUCAUCACCGGGAGUGGUCCCGAUUAUUGUCACUUCGGGGUUGCCGGAUCAUAACACAUAGUAGGUGACUAUAGACUUGCAAGAUAGGAUCAAGAACUCACAUAUAUUCAUGAAAGCAUAAUAGGCUCAGAUCUGAAAUCAUGGCACUCGGGCCCUAGUGACAAGCAUUAAGCAUAGCAAAGUCAUAGCAACAUCAAUCUCAGAACAUAGUGGAUACUAGGGAUCAAACCCUAACAAAACUAACUCGAUUACAUGAUAGAUCUCAUCCAACCCAUCACCGUCCAGCAAGCAUAUGAUGGAAUUACUCACGCACGGUGGUGAGCAUCAUGAAAUUGGUGAUGGAGGAUGGUUGAUGAUGACAAUGGCGACGAAUCCCCCUCUCCGGAGCCCCGAACGGACUCCAGAUCAGCCCUCCCGAGAGGUUUUAGGGCUUGGCGGCGGCUCCGUAUCGUAAAACGCGAUGAAUCCUUCUCUCUGAUUUUUUUCUCCCCGAAAGUGAAUAUAUGGAGUUGGAGUUGAGGUCGGUGGAGCGUCAGGGGGCCCACGAGGUAGGGGGGCGCGCCCUAGGGGGGCAGGCGCGCCCCCCACCCUCGUGGGCAGGGUGUGGGCCCCCUGACGUGGAUUUUACUUCCGGUAUUUUUCUUAUUUUCCAAAUAGAUGUUCCGUGGAGUUUCAGGUCAUUCCGAGAACUUUUGUUUCUGCACAUAAAUAACACCAUGGAAAGUCUGCUGAAAACAGCGUCAGUCCGGGUUAGUUCCAUUCAAAUCAUGCAAGUUAGAGUCCAAAACAAGGGCAAAAGUGUUUGGAAAAGUAGAUACGACGGAGACGUAUCAACUCCCCCAAGCUUAAACCUUUGCUUGUCCUCAAGCAAUUCAGUUGAUAAACUAAAAGUGAUAAAGAAAAACUUUUACAAACUCUGUUUGCUCUUGUUGUUGUAAAUAUGUAAAGUCAGCAUUCAAGUUUUCAGCGAAGAUUAUGACUAACCACAUUCACAAUAACUCUUAAGUCUCAUGUUUACUCAUAUCAAUAGCAUAAUCAACUAGCGAGCCAUAAUAAUAAAUCUCGGAUGACAACACUUUCUCAAAACAAUCAUAAUAUGAUAUAACAAGAUGGUAUCUCGCUAGCCCUUUCUGAGACCGCAAAACAUAAAUGCAGAGCACCUUUAAAGAUCAAGGACUGACUAGACAUUGUAAUUCAUGGUAAAAGAGAUCCAAUCAUAGUCAUACCCAAUAUAAAUUAAUAGUAAUGGAUGCAAAUGACAGCUGCGCUCUCCAGCUGGUGCUUUUAAUAAGAGGGUUAUGACUCAACAUAAAAGUAAAUAGAUAGGCCCUUCGUAGAGGGAAGCAGGGAUUUGCAGAGGUGCCAGCGCUCGGUUUUGAAAUAGAGAUAAAUAAUAUUUUGAGCGGCAUACUUUCAUUGUCAACAUAACAACCAAGAGAUGGCGAUAUCUUCCAUGCUACACACAUUAUAGGCGGUUCCCAAACAUAAUGGUAAAGUUUAUACUCCCCCUACACCAACAAGCAUCAAUCCAUGGCUUGCUCGAAACAACGAGUGCCUCCAACAAGCAACAAUCCCAGGGGGAGUUUUGUGUGCAAUUAUUUUGAUUUAGUUUGCAUAAAGCAUGGGACUGGGCAUCCCGGUGACCAGCCAUUUUCUCGUGAGUGAGGAGCGGAGUCCACUCCUCUUGAGAAUAACCCGCCUAGCAUGGAAGAUAAGGGCAGCCCUAGUUGAUACAUGAGCUAUUCGAGCAUGCAAAACAGAAUGUUUAUUUGAAGGUUUAGAGUUUGGCACAUACAAAUUUACUUGGAACGGCAGGUAGAUACCGCAUAUAGGAAGGUAUAGUGGACUCAUAUGGAAUAACUUUGAGGUUUAAGGGAUUGGAUGCACAAGCAGUAUUCCCGCUUAGUACAAGUGAAGGCGAGCAAAAGACUGGGAAGCGACCAACUAGAGAGCGACAACAGUCAUGAACAUGCAUAAAAUUAAUAGACAUUGAGUACAAGCAUGAGUAGGAUAUAAUCCACCAUGAACAUAAAUAUCGUGAAGGCCAUGUUGAUUUGUUUUCAACUACAUGUGUGAACAUGUGCCAAGUCGAGUCACUUAAAUCAUUCAAAGGAGGAUACCACCCCACUAUACCACAUCACGACCAUUUUAAUAGCAUGUUGGCACGCAAGGUAAACCAUUAUAACUCAUAGCUAAUCAAACAUGGAACAAGCAACUAUGAUCUCUAAUUGUCAUUGCAAACAUGUUUAUUCAUAAUAGGCUGAAUCAGGAACGAUGAACUAAUCAUAUUUACAAAAACAAGAGAGGUCGAGUUCAUACCAGCUUCUCUCAUCUCAGUCAGUCCCUCAUAUAUCGUCAUAAUUGCCUUUCACUUGCACGACUGAACGAUGUGAAUAAUAAUAAGAGUGCACGUGCAUUGGACUAAGCUGGAAUCUGCGAGCAUUCAAUAAACAGGAGAAGACAAGGCAAUAUGGGCUCUUGGUUAAAUCAACAAUAAUGCAUAUAAGAGCCACUUCAACAAUUUAAUUAUGGUCUUCUCCUAUCAACCCCCAAAGAAAAGAAAAGAAAUAAAAGCUAUUUACACGGGAAAGCUCCCAAUAAGCAAAAAGAAGAACAGGAAAUCUUUUUGGGUUUUUCUUUUUAAUUAUUACCACUACAGCAAGAAAGGUAAACUAGCUAAAGCUACAGCUAUUUUUUUGGAUUUUCUUAAGGUUUAUCUUGUUGGAAAUAUGCCCUAGAGGCAAUAAUAAAUGGUUAUUAUUAUAUUUCUUUGUUCAUGGUAAUUGUCUAUUGUUCAUGCUAUAAUUGUAUUGUCCGGAAAUCGUAAUACAUGUGUGAAUACAUAGACCACAACGUGUCCCUAGUAAGCCUCUAGUUGACUAGCUCGUUGAUCAACAGAUAGUCAUGGUUUCCUGACUAUGGACAUUGGAUGUCAUUGAUAACGGGAUCACAUCAUUAGGAGAAUGAUGUGAUGGACAAGACCCAAUCCUAAGCAUAGCAUAAAAGAUCGUGUAGUUUCGUUUGCUAGAGCUUUUCCAACGUCAAGUAUCUUUUCCUUAGACCAUGAGAUCGUGCAACUCCCGGAUACCGUAGGAGUGCUUUGGGUGUGCCAAACGUCACAACGUAACUGGGUGACUAUAAAGGUGCACUACGGGUAUCUCCGAAAGUGUCUGUUGGGUUGGCACGGAUCGAGACUGGGAUUUGUCACUCCGUGUGACGGAGAGGUAUCUCUGGGCCCACUUGGUAAUGCAUCAUCAUAAUGAGCUCAAUGUGACUAAGGCGUUAGUCACGGGAUCAUGCAUUGCGGUACGAGUAAAGAGACUUGCCGGUAACGAGAUUGAACAAGGUAUUGGGAUACCGACGAUCGAAUCUCGGGCAAGUAACAUACCGAUUGACAAAGGGAAUUGCAUACGGGAUUGAUUGAAUCCUCGACACCGUGGUUCAUCCGAUGAGAUCAUCGUGGAACAUGUGGGAGCCAACAUGGGUAUCCAGAUCCCGCUGUUGGUUAUUGACCGGAGAGGCGUCUCGGUCAUGUCUGCAUGUCUCCCGAACCCGUAGGGUCUACACACUUAAGGUUCGGUGACGCUAGGGUUGUAGAGAUAUGUGUAUGCGGAAACCCGAAAGUUGUUCGGAGUCCCGGAUGAGAUCCCGGACGUCACGAGAGGUUCCGGAAUGGUCCGGAGGUGAAGAAUUAUAUAUAGGAAAUCAAGUUUCGGCCACCGGGAAAGUUUCGGGGGUUACCGGUAUUGUACCGGGACCACCGGAAGGGUUCCGGGGGUCCACCGGGUGGGGCCACCUAUCCCGGAGGGCCCCAUGGGCUGAAGUGGGAAGGGAACCAGCCCCUAGUGGGCUGGGCGCCCCCCCAUGGGCCUUUCCCCAUGCGCCUAGGGUUGGGAACCCUAGGGGGGCUUCCCACUUGCCUUGGGGGGCAAGGCACCCCCUUCCCCCCUUUGGCCACCGCCCCCCCUUGAGAUCCCAUCUCCAGGGCUGGCGCCCCCCCAGGGGGCCUAUAUAAAGGGGGGGAGGGAGGGCAGCAACCUUACACCCUUGGGCGCCUCCCUCCUCCCCUGCUACACCUCUCCGUCUCCCAGAAGCUCGGCGAAGCCCUGCCGAGACCCGCUACAUCCACCACCACGCCGUCGUGCUGCUGGAUCUCCAUCAACCUCUCCUUCCCCCUUGCUGGAUCAAGAAGAAGGAGACGUCACUGCACCGUACAUGUGUUGAACGCGGAGGUGCCGUCCGUUCGGCACUCGGUCAUCGGUGAUUUGGAUCACGGCGAGUAUGACUCCGUCAUCCACGUUCAUUGGAACGCUUCCGCUCGCGAUCUACAAGGGUAUGUAGAUGCACUCCUUUCCCUCGUUGCUAGUAUACUCCAUAGAUGCAUCUUGGUGAGCGUAGGAAAAUUUUAAAAUUAUGCUACGAUUCCCAACAGUGGCAUCAUGAGCCAGGCCUAUGCGUAGUUACUAUGCACGAGUAGAACACAAAGCAGUUGUGGGCGUUGAGUUUGCCAAUUCUUCUUGCCGCUACUAGUCUUUUCUUGUUUCGGCGGUAUUGUAGGAUGAAGCGGCCCGGACCGACCUUACACGUACGCUUACGUGAGACAGGUUCCACCGAUUGACAUGCACUAGUUGCAUAAGGUGGCUAGCGGGUGUCUGUCUCUCCUACUUUAGUCGGAACGGAUUCGAUGAAAAGGGUCCUUAUGAAGGGUAAAUAGAAAUUGGCAAAUCACGUUGUGGUCAUACGUAGGUAAGAAAACGUUCUUGCUAGAAACCUACAAACCACGUAAAACUUGCAACAACAAUUAGAGGACGUCUAACUUGUUUUUGCAGCAAGUGCUAUGUGAUGUGAUAUGGCCAGAAGAUGUGAUGAAUGAUAUAUGUGAUGUAUGAGAUUGAUCAUAUUCUUGUAAUAGGAAUCACGACUUGCAUGUCGAUGAGUAUGACAACCGGCAGGAGCCAUAGGAGUUGUCUUUAUUAUUUUGCAUGACCUGCGUGUCAUUGAAUAACGCCAUGUAAAUUACUUUACUUCGUUGCUAAACGCGUUAGCCAUAGAAGUAGAAGUAAUCGUUGGCGUGACGACUUCAUGAAGACACAAUGAUGGAGAUCAUGAUGAUGGAGAUCAUGGUGUCAUGCCGGUGACGAAGAUGAUCAUGGUGCCCCGAAGAUGGAGAUCAAAGGAGCAUGAUGAUAUUGGCCAUAUCAUGUCACUAUUUGAUUGCAUGUGAUGUUUAUCAUGUUUUUGCAUCUUAUUUGCUUAGAACGACGGUAGUAAGUAAGAUGAUCCCUUAUAAUAAUUUCAAGAAAGUGUUCACCCUAACUGUGCACCGUUGCGAAGGUUCGUUGUUUCGAAGCACCACGUGAUGAUCGGGUGUGAUAGAUUCUAACGUUCGAAUACAACGGGUGUUGACGAGCCUAGCAUGUACAGACAUGGCCUCGGAACACACGCAAUACACUUAGGUUGACUUGACGAGCCUAGAAUGUACAGACAUGGCCUCGGAACACGGAGGACCGAAAGGUCGAGCAUGAGUCGUAUAGAAGAUACGAUCUGUUGGAAAUAUGCCCUAGAGGCAAUAAUAAAUGGUUAUUAUUAUAUUUCUGUGUUCAUGAUAAUAGUCUUUUAUUCAUGCUAUAAUUGUAUUGUCCGGAAAUCGUAAUACAUGUGUGAAUACAUAGACCACAACCUGUCCCUAGUAAGCCUCUAGUUGACUAGCUCGUUGAUCAACAGAUAGUCAUGGUUUCCUGACUAUGGACAUAGGAUGUCAUUGAUAACGGGAUCACAUCAUUAGGAGAAUGAUGUGAUGGACAAGACCCAACUUAAGCAUAGCAUAAAAGAUCGUGUAGUUUCGUUUGCUAGAGCUUUUCCAAUGUCAAGUAUCUUUUCCUUAGACCAUGAGAUCGUGCAACUCCCGGAUACCGUAGGAGUGCUUUGGGUGUGCCAAACGUCACAACGUAACUGGGUGACUAUAAAGGUGCAUUACGGGUAUCUCCGAAAGUGUCUGUUGGGUUGGCACGGAUCGAGACUGGGAUUCGUCACUCCGUGUAAACGGAGAGGUAUCUCUGGGCCCACUCGGUAAUGCAUCAUCAUAAUGAGCUCAAUGUGACUAAGGCGUUAGUCACGGGAUCAUGCAUUGCGGUACGAGUAAAGAGACUUGCCGGUAACGAGAUUGAACUAGGUAUUGGGAUACCGACGAUCGAAUCUCGGGCAAGUAACAUACCGAUUGACAAAGGGAAUUGCAUACGGAUUGAUUGAAUCCUCGACACCGUGGUUCAUCCGAUGAGAUCAUCGUGGAACAUGUGGGAGCCAACAUGGGUAUCCAGAUCCCGCUGUUGGUUAUUGACCGGAGAGGCGUCUCGGUCAUGUCUGCAUGUCUCCCGAACCCGUAGGGUCUACACACUUAAGGUUCGGUGACGCUAGGGUUGUAGAGAUAUAUGUAUGCGGAAACCCGAAAGUUGUUCGGAGUCCCGGAUGAGAUCCCGGACGUCACGAGAGGUUCCGGAAUGGUCCGGAGGUGAAGAAUUAUAUAUAGGAAGUCAAGUUUCGGCCACCGGGAAAGUUUCGGGGGUUACCGGUAUUGUACCGGGACCACCGGAAGGGUCCCGGGGGUCCACUGGGUGGGGCCACCUAUCCCGGAGGGCCCCUUGGGCUGAAAGUGUAAGGGAACCAGCCCUUAGUGGGCUGGGGUGCCCCCCUUGGGCCUCCCCCAUGCGCCUAGGGUUGGGAACCCUAGGGGGGGGGAGCUUCCCCCUUGCCUUGGGGGGCAAGGCACCCCUUCCCCCCCACUUGGCCGCCGCCCCCCUUGGAGAUCUGUUCUCCCAAGGGCUGGCGCCCCCCAGGGGUCCUAUAAAUAGUGGGGGGGGGGAGGGAGGGCAGCAACACACAGCCUUGGGCGCGUCCCUCCUCCCCUGCAACACCUCUCUCUCUCUCGCAGAAGCUUGGCAAAGCCCUGCCGAGACCCGCUACAUCCACCACCACGCCGUCGUGCUGCUGGAUCUCCAUCAACCUCUCCUUCCCCCUUGCUGGAUCAAGAAGGAGGAGACGUCGCUGCACCGUACGUGUGUUGAACGCUUAGGUGCCGUCCGUUCGGCACUCGGUCAUCGGUGAUUUGGAUCACGGCGAGUACGACUCCGUCAUCCACGUUCAUUGGAACGCUUCCGCUCGCGAUCUACAAGGGUAUGUAGAUGCACUCCCUUCCCCUCGUUGCUAGUAUACUCCAUAGAUGCAUCUUGGUGAGCGUAGGAAAAUUUUAAAUUAUGCUACGAUUCCCAACAGUGGCAUCAUGAGCCAGGCCUAUGCGUAGUUACUAUGCACGAGUAGAACACAAAGCAGUUGUGGGCGUUGAGUUUACCAAUUCUUCUUGCCGCUACUAGUCGUUUCUUGUUUCGGCGGCAUUGUAGGAUGAAGCGGCCCGGACCGACCUUACACGUACGCUUACGUGAGACUGGUUCCACCGACUGACAUGCACUAGUUGCAUAAGGUGGCUAGCGGGUGUCUGUCUCUCCUACUUUAGUCGGAACGGAUUCGAUGAAAAGGGUCCUUAUGAAGGGUAAAUAGAAAUUGGCAAAUCACGUUGUGGUCAUACGUAGGUAAGAAAACGUUCUUGCUAGAAACCUACAAACCACGUAAAAAACUUGCAACAACAAUUAGAGGUCGUCUAACUUGUUUUUGCAGCAAGUGCUAUGUGAUGUGAUAUGGCCAGAAGAUGUGAUGAAUGAUAUAUGUGAUGUAUGAGAUUGAUCAUAUUCUUGUAAUAGGAAUCACGACUUGCAUGUCGAUGAGUAUGACAACCGACAGGAGCCAUAGGAGUUGUCUUUAUUAUUUUGCAUGACCUGCGUGUCAUUGAAUAACGCCAUCUAAUUUACUUUACUUUGUUGCUAAACACGUUAGCCAUACAAGUAGAAGUAAUCGUUGGCGUGACGACUUCAUGAAGACACAAUGAUGGAGAUCAUGAUGAUGGAGAUCAUGGUGUCAUGCCGGUGACGAAGAUGAUCAUGGUGCCCCGAAGAUGGAGAUCAAAGGAGCAUGAUGAUAUUGGCCAUAUCAUGUCACUAUUUGAUUGCAUGUGAUGUUUAUCAUGUUUUUGCAUCUUAUUUGCUUAGAACGACGGUAGUAAGUAAGAUGAUCCCUUAUAAUAAUUUCAAGAAAGUGUUCACCCUAACUGUGCACCGUUGCGAAGGUUCGUUGUUUCGAAGCACCACGUGAUGAUCGGGUGUGACAGAUUCUAACGUUCGAAUACAACGGGUGUUGACGAGCCUAGCAUGUACAGACAUGGCCUCGGAACACACGCAAUACACUUAGGUUGACUUGACGAGCCUAGCAUGUACAGACAUGGCCUCGGAACACGGAGGACCGAAAGGUCGAGCAUGAGUCGUAUAGAAGAUACGAUCAACAUGGAGAUGUUCACCGAUCUUGACUAGUCCGUCUCACGUGAUGAUCGGACACGGCCUAGUUAAACUCGGAUCAUGUUUAGAUGAACUUAAUUAUCAUGAACUUAGUCUAAAAUCUUUACACUAUGUAUUGUAGAUCAAAUGGCCAACGUUGUCCUCAAUUUCAACGCGUUCCUAGAGAAAACCAAGCUGAAAGAUGAUGGCAGCAACUAUACGGACUGGGUCCGGAACCUGAGGAUCAUCCUCAUAGUAGCCAAGAAAGAUUAUGUCUUAGAAGCACCGCUAGGUGAAGCACCAAUCCCAGAGAACCAAGACGUUAUGAACGCUUGGCAAUCACGUGCUGAUGAUUACUCCCUCGUUCAGUGCGGCAUGCUUUACAGCUUAGAACCGGGUCUCCAAAAGCGUUUUGAGAAACAUGGAGCAUACGAGAUGUUCGAGGAGCUGAAACUGGUUUUUCAAGCUCAUGCCCGGGUCGAGAGAUAUGAUGUCUCCGACAAGUUCUUCAGCUGUAAAAUGGAGGAGAACAGUUCUGUUAGUGAGCACAUACUCAGAAUGUCUGGGUUGCAUAACCGCUUGUCUCAGCUGGGAGUCAAUCUCCCGGAUGACGCGGUCAUUGACAGAAUCCUCCAGUCGCUUCCACCAAGCUACAAGAGCUUUGUGAUGAACUUCAAUAUGCAGGGGAUGGAAAAGACCAUUCCUGAGGUAUAUUCAAUGCUGAAAUCAGCUGAGGUAGAGAUCUGAAAAGAACAUCAAGUGUUGAUGGUGAAUAAAACCACUAAGUUCAAUAAGGGCAAGGGUAAGAAGAACUUCAAGAAGGACGGCAAGGGAGUUGCCGCGCCCGGUAAACCUGUUACCGGGAAGAAGUCAAAGAAUGGACCCAAGCCCGAGACUGAGUGCUUUUAUUGCAAGGGAAGUGGUCACUGGAAGCGGAACUGCCCCAAAUAUUUAGCAGACAAGAAGAAGGCCGGCAACACCCAAGGUAUAUGUGAUAUACAAGUAAUUGAUGUGUACCUUACCAGUACUCGUAGUAGCUCCUGGGUAUUUGAUACCGGUGCGGUUGCUCAUAUUUGUAACUCAAAGUAGGAACUACGGAAUAAACGGAGACUGGCAAAGGACGAGGUGACGAUGCGCGUCGGGAAUGGUUCCAAGGUCGAUGUGAUCGCCGUCGGCACGCUACCUCUGCAUCUACCUACGGGAUUAGUUUUAAACCUCAAUAAUUGUUAUUUAGUGCCAGCUUUGAGCAUGAACAUUGUAUCUGGAUCUCGUUUAAUUCGAGAUGGCUACUCAUUUAAAUCCGAGAAUAAUGGUUGUUCUAUUUAUUUGAGAGAUAUGUUUUAUGGUCAUGCCCCGCUGGUCAAUGGUUUAUUUUUGAUGAAUCUCGAACGUGAUGUUACACAUGUUCAUAGUGUGAAUACCAAAAGAUGUAAAGUUGAUAACGAUAGUCCCACAUACUUGUGGCACUGCCGCCUUGGUCACAUUGGUGUCAAGCGCAUGAAGAAGCUCCAUGCAGAUGGACUUUUGGAGUCUCUUGAUUACGAAUCAUUUGACACGUGCGAACCAUGCCUCAUGGGUAAGAUGACCAAGACUCCGUUCUCCGGAACAAUGGAGCGAGCAACCAACUUAUUGGAAAUCAUACAUACUGAUGUGUGCGGUCCAAUGAGUGUUGAGGCUCGCGGAGGAUAUCGUUAUGUUCUCACUCUCACUGAUGAUUUAAGUAGAUAUGGGUAUGUCUACCUAAUGAAACACAAGUCUGAAACCUUUGAAAAGUUAAAUUUCAGAGUGAAGUCGAGAAUCAACGUGACAGAAAAAUAAAAUUCUUACGAUCAGAUCGUGGUGGAGAAUAUUUAAGUCACAAAUUUGGUACACACUUAAGGAAAUGUGGAAUAGUUUCACAACUCACGCCGCCUGGAACACCUCAGAGAAACGGUGUGUCCGAACGUUGUAAUCGCACUCUAUUGGAUAUGGUGCGAUCUAUGAUGUCUCUUACCGAUUUACCGCUCUCAUUUUGGGGCUAUGCUUUAGAGACUGCCGCAUUCACUUUAAAUAGGGCUCCGUCGAAAUCCGUUGAGACGACACCGUAUGAAUUAUGGUUUGGGAAGAAACCUAAGCUGUCGUUUCUAAAAGUUUGGGGAUGCGAUGCUUAUGUCAAGAAACUUCAACCUGAAAAGCUCGAACCCAAGUCGGAAAAAUGCGUCUUCAUAGGAUACCCUAAGGAAACUAUUGGUUAUACCUUCUACCUCAGAUCCGAGGGCAAGAUCUUCGUUGCCAAGAACGGGUCCUUUCUAGAGAAGGAGUUUCUCUCGAAAGAAUUGAGUGGGAGGAAAGUGGAACUUGACACUACUAGAAAAAGGGCUAUAGAUGGGAUUGACACUAAUGGCGCACCAGACAAGCGGUGCGCCAUUAGUAUAUACUAAUGGCGCACCACCUUCUGAUACGCCAUUAGAGUUGAAACUACUAAUGGUGCACCUGGCCCAGGGUGCGCCAUUAGUAUCAAUUUUUUUUAACUAGUGCGCCUGUCCAAACAUACUAAUGGCGCAUCCAGACACAGUGCGCCAUUACUAGUUGUAACUAGUAAUGGCGCACCUGCCGGAAAGUGCGCCACUAAUGUUGUUUUUUCUAUUAUAUUUUUUAUUCCCUUUUUUGCAAAACUACUAAUGGCGCACUUUUCCACCGUGCGCCAUUACUAGUUUAAACUAGUAAUGGCGCACUGUGGAACAGUGCGCCAUUAGUAUGUUUUUUUUGCAAAACUACUAAUGGCGCACCACCAGAAGGUGCGCCAUUAGUAACCUGGAUUACUAAUGGCGCAUUUAGAGUUGGUGCGCCAUUAGUAAGUGGGCAGCAACAAGAUAUUUUGGACAGCCUCUCCUACCCACACUCACUUUCUCCCCACUUCAUUCUCUCCACCUCCUCCUUGUCUCGGGUGCCUCCUCUUUUUCACCUCAUUUCCACCAUAGAUUCAUUCAAUUUAAGUGGUUAAAUUACCUUGUUUCGAUAGGUAAGUAAGGGGGGAAGCUAUAUUUAUGUUGUUCUCCCUACAACAAUGUGCACAUGCACUUUUUAUGGCCUAGCUAGAUCUAUGUAUGUUCGUGGUGUUGCAUAUGUUUGUGGUGUUGCAUAUGUGUUUGUGUUUGGAGGUGUACCGGUAUUUGAAAUGCGAUAGUUGCCAAUAUUUUGCCGGAAUGUUGAUUCAUUUCCGUUUCGGCGAGAAUUUUGGCAUUAAGCAUUCUUUUUGGUCCUAUUUUUAGGGAAAGUCAUGCCAAUUUUUUUCUUGGUUCUAAAAUAUCGUUUUGCUCUACCCCGCAGGCGACCAUGGUCCGCAUGAUGACCGAAGGCAUCGUGAAUAGGUUUUUGAGGUCCGCGAAGGCCGAGAUGCUUCAAAAGAACGAGACGGAGAUAAGAUGUCCGUGUCGAAGAUGCAAGCUUAAGAGCCUUAUUGCGGACCCGGAAUCCGGGCAGGUGCGGGACCACCUGCUCUUGCGUGGUUUCAUGGAUGGCUAUCGGUGGCAAGGUGAUGAAGAUGACUAUGAAGUCGUCCAUGGGGGCCGGGCAAGAAAUGAGGAAGGGCAGCAAGACAACCACCGCGGCUCGGGCGGGCGAGAAGACGAAGAAUCCCCAGGAGAUGAUCACGACGGUGAUGCUGUACACAGUCAUCAUGUAGAAGAUGCAGGACAUGAUGAUGAGGAAGAUACCGGAGCAGACGACGGGCAUGAUCAUGAAGAUGAUGAUGCCGGCGGAGCAGACGACGCUGGACCAUCGAUGGGCUGGGUGCAGGACCCUCAUAUUCAAGAGCUGCUUCUCAAGCAGACAGAUAACGCAAGAGCUGCCGCCCGAGAGAAAGCCAAGAUGGAUCAACUUGAGUUAGACGCGGUUACUCCAUUGUAUGAAGGAUGCAGGCCCGAGGAUACCCGCCUGAAAGUAACGCUCAUGGCUCUGGAGAUGAAGGUAAAACACAAAAUGACCGACGCAUGCUUCGACGAGAACAUGUCAUUCUGGCACGAACGUCUUCCCAAGGGGAACAAGUGCCCGACCAGUUUGGAGGAGGCGAAGAAAAUCGUGUGUCCUCUGGAUUUACCGCACGUGAAAUACCAUGUGUGCAUGAACAAUUGCAUCAUUUAUCGGGACGAGCACGCGGAGUCUACCAUAUGUCCGGUGUGCGGCGUCACUCGAUACAAGAAGAGGAAGAAAGCUCCUCGAAAAGUGGUGUGGUACUUUCCGAUCACUCCUCGUCUGCAGCGGUAUUUCGCGGACCCUAAGGUAGCAAAGCUCCUGCGUUGGCACGCGGAUAGGGAGGAGAAGAAGCGAGAAGAUGCCGCAAAUGAUCCGGAGAUAGAUAAAAAAGACAAGAUGCUGAGUCACCCUAAGGAUGCGAGCCAGUGGCAAGCGUUGAACUUCGAAGACCUAGAAUUUGGGAACGAUCCAAGGAACAUCGUGCUGGGCGCGAGCACCGAUGGAGUCAAUCCGUUUGGCAGCCAGAGAAGCACACAUAGCACCUGGCCUGUGUUUGUGUGGAUGUACAACCUUCCCCCCUGGUUGUGCAUGAAGAGGAAGUACAUUCACAUGAGUAUGCUAAUUGAAGGACCGAAACAACCAGGGAACGACAUCAAUCUGUAUCUGGGGCUGCUGAAAGAGGAGCUUGACACGCUGUGGAAAACUCCAGCCAAUACGUGGGAUGCCGCAGAGAAAGAAUAUUUCCCUAUGAGAGCCGCGCUGCUCACGACGGUGCACGACUAUCUCGGUUACGGAUAUGUCGCGGGGCAGGUGGUCCAUGGAUUUUCUGGAUGCGUCAGGUGCAUGGAUGACACAACGUAUCGCCAGCUAGAUAGAGAUCCCGGGUCUUCGAAAACCGUGUUCAUGGGACAACGAAGGUGGCUUUGCGACGAUGACCCGUGGAGAAAACGCAAGGAUCUAUUCGAUGGUGAAACCGAACCCCGAGGACGCCCGCGUACGAGGAGCGGCGAGGAAAUAGACGAGCUGUUGAAAAAUUGGAAAGACUGCCCACUGCCGGGAAAGAAGCAAAAGGCACCAGAGCCGGGAAAGAAGCGAAAGGUGCCAGAGCCGCUGCUGAAGGUAUGGAAAACGAGGUCUGUUUUCUGGGACUUGCCGUACUGGAAGAUCCACCGUGUGCCUCACAGCCUUGAUGUCAUGCAUAUCACGAAGAACGUGUGCGAGAGUCUGCUUGGUACCCUGCUCAACAUGCCAGAGAGGACCAAAGAUGGGCUGAAAGCAAGGGCAGACUUGAAAUCAAUGGGCAUCAGGCAGGAGCUUCACGCUAUAUAUGAUGAUGAUGAUGAUGAUGAUGAUGAUGAUGAUGAUGAGGCAAAGCAGGACACGGAAAGUCGUCGCAAAGGCAAAAAGGCCAAGAAGACCGGAAAUGACUACCCUCCCGCGUGCUUCACUCUAAGUCAGGAGGAGAUCGAGCAGUUUUUCACCUGCCUUGUACGAGUAAAACUUCCUUACGGUUACGCGGGGAAGAUAAGCAGAUACCUAGACCUAGCGAAGCUGAAGUCCAGUGGGAUGAAGUCUCACGACUGUCACGUGCUAAUGACGCAGAUACUUCCAGUUGCAAUCCAUGGGAUCAUGGACGCGCACGUCCGUGAAACGCUAUUUGGCCUAUGCAACUUUUUCGACGUCAUCUCUCGGAAGUCUGUUGGCGUGAGGCAACUCAGAAGGCUACAGGAAGAGAUCGUGGUGAUACUAUGCGAGCUUGAGAUGUACUUCCCGCCCGCAUUCUUCGACGUUAUGGUGAUCUGCUGGUCCAUAUCGUGGACGAUAUCAUCCAACUCGGGCCGACGUUCCUGCACAGCAUGAUGCCGUUCGAAAGGAUGAAUGGUGUCAUCAAAGGAUACGUUCGCAACAUGUCACGUCCAGAGGGAAGCAUAGCCAGGGGCUUUCUGACCGAAGAGUGCAUCUCCUACUGCACGAAUUAUCUAGGCAUCGAGAACCCCGUUGGUCUGCCCGUCAACACGCACCUCGGCAGGCUCGCUGGAUGGGGUCACCGUGAGGGUCGCCGCGAAAUGCAUGUCGACUUCGAGGGUCGACUCGCCGACUUUGAAAGAGCAAACCUAGUCGCGCUACAACACAUAGACGUGGUCGAUCCUUGGGUGGUAGAGCACAAAACCUUUAUUAAGAAGACGUACAAUGACCGAGGCCAACAGAGGACGGACGGAGAUAUACUCAAAGAGCACAACUCAUGUUUCACGCGUUGGUUCAAGCAGAAGCUUCUGUCGUACCCUUUACAUGAGGAUUCUUCCGCGGAAGAACAACUCAUAUUCGCCUUGUCACAGGGCGCCGAGCACAACCUGAUGACCUAUGAGGCGUACGAUAUCAACGGCUACACAUUCUACACCGAGGCGAAGGACAUGAAGAGCGAUGGUUAUCAGAACUCCGGGGUAACGAUGGAAUCCUACACCGGUAAUGACAAGGACAGAUACUACGGAAGGAUCGAGGAGAUCUGGGAGCUGAGCUACGCUGGAGGGAAGGUCCCGAUGUUCCGUGUCAGAUGGGCCAAGAGCGUCCUAAAAGAAGACCGGUAUUCCACCACCAUGGUUAUACCCGAAGCCAAAUCCAAGACCGCAGGCGCAAACGUCACCGCGAAAAAUGAGCCAUGGGUACUGGCUUCCCAAGUGGACCAAUGCUUCUUCAUUACCGACCCGUCAAAGCCCAGUCGUGUUGUCGUGAGGAGAGGCAAAAGGAAGAUCAUCGGAAUGGAUGGAGUAGCCAAUGAGCAAGACUUCGACAAGUACGGCGACCCAAGAAUCGAACAUGACGACGAUGAUGAAGUAGCAGCAUACACCACAAGAAGAAGCAGGACCACCCUACCUAAAGGACGUCCGUUCCACAGAAGAACUCCAUUUGCGAAAAAGAAGGGCAAGAAGAUUGUGAACAGAUAGCUAGCUAAGAUCGAUUGUAUUUAAAUCGUAGCCUUCAUUUCUCGAUUGUAUUUCAUGGGCACUUUUUGAACUAUCAUGAAUAUUUUUAAAUUUCAUGGACACUCGAUCUCGAUCCCCCUCCAUCUCGAUCNNNNNNNNNNNNNNNNNNNNNNNNNNNNNNNNNNNNNNNNNNNNNNNNNNNNNNNNNNNNNNNNNNNNNNNNNNNNNNNNNNNNNNNNNNNNNNNNNNNNNNNNNNNNNNNNNNNNNNNNNNNNNNNNNNNNNNNNNNNNNNNNNNNNNNNNNNNNNNNNNNNNNNNNNNNNNNNNNNNNNNNNNNNNNNNNNNNNNNNNNNNNNNNNNNNNNNNNNNNNNNNNNNNNNNNNNNNNNNNNNNNNNNNNNNNNNNNNNNNNNNNNNNNNNNNNNNNNNNNNNNNNNNNNNNNNNNNNNNNNNNNNNNNNNNNNNNNNNNNNNNNNNNNNNNNNNNNNNNNNNNNNNNNNNNNNNNNNNNNNNNNNNNNNNNNNNNNNNNNNNNNNNNNNNNNNNNNNNNNNNNNNNNNNNNNNNNNNNNNNNNNNNNNNNNNNNNNNNNNNNNNNNNNNNNNNNNNNNNNNNNNNNNNNNNNNNNNNNNNNNNNNNNNNNNNNNNNNNNNNNNNNNNNNNNNNNNNNNNNNNNNNNNNNNNNNNNNNNNNNNNNNNNNNNNNNNNNNNNNNNNNNNNNNNNNNNNNNNNNNNNNNNNNNNNNNNNNNNNNNNNNNNNNNNNNNNNNNNNNNNNNNNNNNNNNNNNNNNNNNNNNNNNNNNNNNNNNNNNNNNNNNNNNNNNNNNNNNNNNNNNNNNNNNNNNNNNNNNNNNNNNNNNNNNNNNNNNNNNNNNNNUUUCUUGUCUUGUUUGUUUCGGUUGCCUUUUAAAGAGAAUGGGGUUAGCAAGAGAAAUCAGCUUGUACACUAUGAGUAGCUUAUGCAUGAGUCCUGAUGGAAUCACUAUAAACACCAGGUCAUUAUAAUUGUUUUCGAGGAGUAGUUUUGAUGGUCAAGAUCAGCAUAAAGGAAUACAACUUUAUAUCUGGUUUACCUUGGAUUGUUUUACCUUGAGAAAAUGCAUUCCACUCAAAGACAGCCCAUUUUGUACACUUUUUCGUUUGAUAGAUCUAAGGAGGCAGAAAAGUUCUCUUUUAGUCAUCUUUAUUGCAGUCAAUGUCUCCACCACUCUGAUAUCCUCAGUAUCAUGGUUGUGCUCUGAAUCUCCAAGCAAAUCAUAUUGGUUGUGAUGAUUGACUGAAACAUAAGAAGUUUUCAGGUGGUUGCAUUGUUUCUUGCUACCAACACCCGUAGUUUCUUUCUUUGUUUAGUUGGAGGUUUGUUAUACUGAUAGAGUGUGCAUGGGGAGUAAACGAAUUCCUGCAAAACGAAUUUUGUAUGAGUUUUUUAGAUCUGAAUUCAUUUAUGUUCAUGUGCGUCUGUCUGGCUGUGUAUCCCAACUUGUGUUGAUGCUCUGAAGUAGGUUUUCACUAAGAGAAUUCAAAACUAAGACAUGUUCUUAAACUGAAGCAGUAUUUGUAUCACAGAAAAAGUUCUGAAGCUGUUGAACCUUACCUUAUGUAUCACAAAAAAGGCAAGGAACAUCAUGAACAACUCUCCAUGACUUAAUUUUCCUAUAUGCAUUGGCCUGUACAGCAGGUUCACUUUUCCUAUAUGCAUUGGCCAGUACAGCAGGUUCACUUUUCAAAACAAAUUAGAGCAGACCUCAUACACCCAAGAAAACCUGAAAAAAAAUGAAGUUCAACCCCUCACUUUUCCUAUAUGCAUUGGCCUGUAUAGUUGGAUUUGUUUUUGAUUUUAGUGUUUUCAGUCUAUUUUUCUAUUUCUGCUUUAACAUAACGGAAUAACUAAUGGUGGCUGCCUAAUGAUGACAGACUAAGUUUCUGAUUUAUUUUGUUAUAGAAGUGUAGAUUCAUUGGUAGCAAUUGUUUUCAGUGUCUCAUGUUGCUUGUAGUGUUUUGUCCAAAAUGUUGAAUGAUACUGCUUGGAGAUGCAUAUAUUGUUUCACCUCUUCACAUGCCAAUGUAUUUUCCAUGUUGUGAUGGAGGCCUUUUUUGCCUUGUCCACCCGAGAGGCCCUUGAGUUUGCCGGAAUGUCGAUUAACUUCCGUUCCGGCAAAUUCGGGUACUCCAUAUGUCCUAUUUUCAGCAAAGGUCAUGCUGAAAUUUUCCGUGAAUUUUAGCAUGACUUUGCUAAAAAUAGGACAUAUGGGGUACUUGUGACUAAUGCAUGGGCCGGUGUAUCUUAGUAGUAAAUUAAGUAGGAUCAAGUGCCCCGGCGUACUUGUGACUAAUGCAUGGCUUUUAGGGUGCCUCGGUGUCGAUAAAAACUGAAAUGAUGAAAGCUUAGGCUUUUAGGGUGCCUCGGCGUCGAAAAACCCUCAAUGAUAAAAGCUUAGCUUUUAGGAUGCCUCGGUGUCGACAAACCCUAAAUGAUGAGACCAUGAUCUUGUUCCUUGACAAUAACCAACUUUUUGACCAAACUUUGUUCCUAUUUAGAGAGAAACAUGGCCAACAACGAUGAGGCCGGGGGUUCGGGCGUCAAGGCAUUCUGGAAGCUGUCCCAGGAGAUGGAGGAACAACCUCACUUGUAUGAGGACGCCGCCUUCCCCACCGAUCUUGAGACCACUGAUGGUACCGCCGAGGAUGACCCCACUGAUGCCACCACUGAUGGUGCCGCCGAGGAUGCCACCACUGAUGAUGGCGGCGCACGCACAGAUGGCAGCCAACCGAAGAGGCAACGGAAGGACCGGCGCCCGACCGUGCUCCGCACCCUCAAGGAGGAAGUUACUGAAGUGGACUCCGACGGGAAUCCAACGGCGCCCGAACGAAUAGUCAAGGGGUACUCGCUUCAGCUCGGGUGCAUUCUACGGAGCACCGUCUCGAUCAACACCGAGAACCUGAGGCAUCCUGACCGAGGGAAUUUGCGCAACCUCCUCUUCACGAAGCUGCACGAACGAUACAAGUUCCCCGCUGAAUUUGAAAACACAAGCCUCAAAGGGAAUAAAGUGAACAAUGCUGCCCUCACGAAGAUGAGCAAGGCCCUGUCUACUUGGAAAAGCAAUCUGAAGAGAAUGAUCGAGAAAGGUGAGAGUUAUGAGAAGAUCAAGGAGAAAAAUCCUUCGAUCACCGAAGAUGACUACAACGACUUCAAGAUCAAUUGCUCGAGCACCGCAAACUCCGAAUCAAGUAAGUGGGGGAAAGAAAUGCGGGAGCUGAACUUAGGGGAACACACACUCGGUCCCGACGGUUACAGAGUGGCGGAGCCUAUAUGGGACAAGGAGGAGGCGGACCGUGCCGAGCAAGGCCUACCGCCCCUCUUCGAUAAAUACGGUGACAAGCAGACCAGGAACUUUGUCAGGGCCCGGUACAAGAAGGACCCGAAAACAAAGGAGCUUACCACGGAUCCGAAGACCAGGGCGCUUGAGCUUGUUCUGGUAAGGAAUACACCCCCGCGUAAUUAGCUCCAUAUGGUUGCAUUCUAAUUAAUGAAGCCAAAUUUCUAAAUGGUUCACAUUCCUUCCGCAGGCGACUGAAAGCAGUAGCGCGGGGUCGACUAAGAGCAACCCUUGGGACACCACUCUAAAUAGGGCGUGGAAUGUAAUGAAGAACAAGGAUAAGCUCAGUAAGCCGACGUCAGCUGGUCGUGUGGCCGGCAAAGGCUUGUCGACAAAAUGGUCGUCAUACUAUAACACUGGUGGGCGAAAGGAGAAAAAGACCAGCUCAGAAAGCCAGGCGCGCGAGGUUCAAGAACUCAGGGCACAGGUGGCGCGGAUUCCGGAGAUUGUCCAAGAGCAAGUGCAACAACAACUCGGAGUGACGAACACCGCCAUUGUGCCUACCUUGAUCCAGGGGAUUAGUGCGUGGAUUGCGGGCGGCCAACAGGGGCCGCCCCCGAUUCCUAGCUUCACGGCCAGCAACUCGCAGAACGCGAUGGCGGGGCCAUUGGUGUCUCCGGUGGAGGCGGCAUUGGUGUCUCCGACGCCGGCACGGGAGCUUAAUGCACCCGGGUGUACGCCGGCCGGCACCUCUGCAGCAAGCGGGCCCUCCGUCAACUACACGCCCGCCGUUGGCGGUGCCUCGACAUUAGCCGAGCUCGACGCCAUCAUCAUGGUAACUAAUUAAGCCUCUCUCGGCCGAGGACUUCAUCUCCUUGCCUUUUGACUGGGCAUCCCUAACGCCCUACAUGUUUUCGCAGGGCGCCGCCGACGUUCCGUGCACUCUCCUGCACUUCGUGAACAACGAGUUGGUCGAUGUCGCCAAGGGCAAAAUCGUUCAACCGGGCAACCCCUUGUUCCACGGUACCCAGAUGCCACCCAACUUGUUUAGGGUUCAACUGGUUCGGGUGCUGCCAGGCUGCGACGAGUUGUUACCUCUGAUUCGACCCAUCUGGGCCGACGAUGAUGACGUGAUGACCCUCAGCGCGUGCCUGAGCUGGCCCCUGCUUUGGCCGAAGAGCCAGAUUCGUUUGGGGGCGGGGGACACCACCCCAAAGACAACACCGCCAGUCGUGCCGGCGCCAAGUAGGCCCCAUGGCAAGACCGCCGCAACGGUGCCGGACAUCCCUAUGCCACUGGAUCCAAACAUGCAUAUGGCACAGGAUCAGAACGACGACGACGACGAUACAUUAGCCAACGUCGAUCAGUACUUUGCCGAUCAUGGGUACGGUGGCGACUUCAUGGGGCCUCCUUCUCAAGAACCCAACCCAACAAAAGACGUGCGCGAUCUAGCUGGUACCGUGGAGAAGCCAAGUUGCAAUAGGCGUCGUCUGCAGUUCAGCUCUCAGGAGACGCCUCCAGCUACCGACUUCACCGAGCCUCAGAUAGGCGAGGUGCGAAAUAUGAUCAGCCCCAACACACUCAAGAAGGCGGUCUGUGAGCAGAACUCGGUCCCAUUACAGGAGAAGAAGAAGGCACGCAAAAGAAAGACUAACAAGGGUGCGGGCCAGCUAGCACCGAGUACGAUCCGUGCUCAGGACGGGCCACCUUCAACUGAGGAUAUCUCGAGGAGGGUGCAUGUGGCGGGUAAGCCGAUGCUACCGAGAAAUAUGCUCGAUGUUGCAACCGGUGCUAUGCGGAGUCUGCAUGACAGUGUUCUUUCUUUGGAGAAGCGGCGUCUCGGAGAGAAGGAUGUGGCAUACCCGGUUUUCGCGGCCAAGGUGCCAGAGGGCAAGGGCUUUGUGGAUAACUCCAUCGGGGGUACGAUCGUCCUGCGGUUUGAUGACAUCCACGCUAUGUUGAACCUUCAUCCGCUGCACUACACCUUCGUUCGGCUAUUUUCGCUGAGUAUGGAGAUGCGGAUCAUUCGCGACAAGACCCCGGACAUCGUGAUAGUCGACCCCUUCUACAUGCGUGCCAAGAUCUUGGGCAGCGCUGGGGACCGGCAAGUCGCGAGUUCUUACCUCGAAGGCGUCAUUCUGGCAAACCAAGAUAAGGAUAACUUCCUCGUGCCUUACUUUCCCGAGUAAGUCCUCCCCUCAACCGCCCCGUAACAUAUGAAUUCUUAGAUUUCGAUCGUUUUUCUUUUAACAUUCCGUGUUUUCUGCAGUGACACACAUUGCACGCUCAUCCUCCUAAGCCCCAAAUAUUCCAUGGCCACGUAUUUCGACCCGGACCGUCAGUCGAACGUAGACUACACAAAUGUCAAGAAGGUUCUUGAUGAUGUUCUCCCCAGCUACGUCAAAUCUGGAGGCACCUUCACGAGGCCUAUUCGUAAGUACGGCAAGCACGUGUUCUCCCACAAUACGACGUUCUGCUGCGUCAAGCAGCCGCCUGGCGGUCAGAAGGGUGCCUACUACGCCAUCCAUCACAUGCGGGCGAUCGUACGGGACCAUCAUCAACUUCUGCUACCGAGUAGACUCAAAGAUUGGGCCGCGAGCGUGUCGGCAAUCCAGGACGCGGACAUCAGACAAGAAUUCUUUCGCAUCCAGUCGGAGUUUGCGGAAAUCAUCCAUCAAGAUGUCCUUCGUACCUCGGGGCAGUUCUACCUCAGAAAUCAACCGUCCAACAGUGACAUCGACACAAUCCUACAAAUGCAGGCUGACAACGCCCGUUGUUUCAUGACUCCCACGAUAGACGGCGGCUUCAUCCACGCUCCGGUCCCUUGAGUCGAGUCGAAAGCAGUGAUGCUGUGUCUAGUUCUGAAACAUCAAUUGGCUCAUGUUGUAAUUAAACUUUAAUGAACUUGUAGUAUGUCUCUUUGGUUUCGAGAGUCCUUCAACUUAGAUGUAAUCGAUGCUAUUAAUGUCUUGCUUUUCUCUUCCGAUCGUUCUGUUGCAUACUUAUAUAUUGCUUAUGUAUUGUCUGUGAAUUGGUACUAACGUUUCGUUUGGCUACUGCAUAGCGAUGCCGUGGUAUGUCGUGUACAAGGGUAAGGUUCCCGGAGUCUACGACGACUGGGAGGAGUGUCGGAGACAGGUUCACCGAUUCAGCGGUAACAGUUACAAAGGGUACGCCACUAGGGCCGAGGCCGAAUCUAGAUACGCCCGCUAUCUAGUGGGAGAGGGGAGGGAGCGUUGGAGGAACCGGAUGAAGACGAGUUUCAUCGUGAUGAUGCUCAUCGUGAUGACCGCAGCUCUCUUCUAUGUGAUGGUAGUUUAGAUGAUCGAUAUCGACUUGUAAUGUGAAGACAAACUCGCGGUCUCGAGACUUGUAAUAUAAUGUUCUAUCUUUGUUCGGUCUUUUCAAUUCGGAGACUAAUAUGAUGAAUUGUAUUCGGAGACUAAAAUGAUGAAUUGUAUUCAGAGACUAAUCUUCUAUUGUAUUCGAUGAAUCUGUUGUUGAUGUGUGCUGUCUAUAUUUUGUCCAAUUAUACAUUUUGUAACCUGUGCAAAAAACAGAAAAUAAAAAAAUAAAAAAACUAAUAUUCAUACUAAUGGCGCAUCACAUCAUAGUGCGCCAUUAGUAUGCCAAAGUAUACUAAUGGCGCAUCACUAAACAGUGCGCCAUUAGUAUGCCGAAGUUACUAAUGGCGCAUCCUGUUGUUGUGCGCCAUUAGUAUGCCAAAGCACCUGGGUAUAGAUGCCCCCCUGGGAGGCAUACUAAUGGCGCACUGUUGUAUAUACUAAUAGCGCAUCUGGGGUGCGCCAUUAGUAAAAUAUACUAAUGGCGUGGCACUAAUGGCGCACCACUAAUGCGCCAUUAAUGGCCAAAUUAGGUGCGCCAUUAGUAGGCCUUUUCCUAGUAGUGUGAUGAGGUGAUAGUCACCCCUUCCGAACCGGAAAGUAGCGCAGCGCGGGAAAAUGUUCCUGUGGUGCCUACACCGACUGGGGAGGAAGUUAAUGAUGAUGAUCAUGAAGCUUCGGAUCAAGUUACUGAACUUCGUAGGUCCACAAGGACACGUUCCACACCAGAGUGGUACGGCAACCCUGUCCUGGAAAUCAUGUUGUUAGACAACGGUGAACCUUCGAACUAUGAAGAAGCGAUGGCAGGCCCGGAUUCCGACAAAUGGCUAGAAGCCAUGAAAUCCGAGAUAGAAUCCAUGUAUGAAAACAAAGUAUGGACUUUGACAGACUUGCCCGAUGAGGGGCGAGCCAUAGAAAACAAAUGGAUCUUUAAGAAGAAGACGGACGCAGAUGGUAAUGUGACCAUCUACAAAGCUCGACUUGUCGCUAAGGGUUAUCGACAAGUUCAAGGGGUUGACUACGAUGAGACUUUCUCACCCGUAGCGAAGCUGAAGUCCGUCCGAAUCAUGUUAGCAAUUGCCGCAUACUAUGAUUAUGAGAUAUGGAAGAUGGACGUCAAAACGGCAUUCCUUAACGGCUUCCUUAAGGAAGAGUUGUAUAUGAUGCAGCCGGAAGGUUUUGUCGAUCCUAAGAAUGCUAACAAAGUAUGCAAGCUCCAGCGCUCAAUCUAUGGGCUGGUGCAAGCAUCUCGGAGUUGGAACAUUCGCUUUGAUGAGAUGAUCAAAGCGUUUGGGUUUACACAGACUUAUGGAGAAGCCUGUGUUUACAAGAAAGUGAGUGGGAGCUCUGUAGCAUUUCUCAUAUUAUAUGUGGAUGACAUACUAUUGAUGGGAAAUGAUAUAGAAUUCUUGGAAAGUAUGAAGGUCUAUUUGAAUAAGUGUUUUUCAAUGAAGGACCUUGGAGAAGCUGCUUAUAUAUUAGGCAUCAAGAUCUAUAGAGAUAGAUCGAGACGCCUCAUUGGUCUUUCACAGAGUACAUACCUUGACAAGAUAUUGAAGAAGUUCAAUAUGGAUCAGUCCAAGAAGGGGUUCUUGCCUGUAUUGCAAGGUGUGCAAUUGAGCACGGCUCAAUGUCCGACCACGGCAGAAGAUAUAGAAAAGAUGAGUGUCAUCCCCUAUGCCUCGGCCAUAGGGUCUAUUAUGUAUGCCAUGCUGUGUACCAGACCUGAUGUAAACCUUGCCGUAAGUUUGGUAGGAAGGUACCAAAGUAAUCCCGGCAUGGAACACUGGACAGCGGUCAAGAAUAUCCUAAGUACCUGAAGAGGACUAAGGAUAUGUUUCUCGUUUAUGGAGUUGACGAAGAGCUCGUCGUAAAGGGUUACGUCGACGCUAGCUUCGACACAGAUCUGGAUGACUCAAAGUCACAAACCGGAUACGUGUAUAUUUUGAAUGGAGGAGCAGUAAGCUGGUGCAGUUGCAAGCAAAGUGUCGUGGCGGGGUCUACAUGUGAAGCGGAGUACAUGGCAGCCUCAGAGGCAGCACAGGAAGCAGUCUGGAUGAAGGAGUUCAUUACCGACCUAGGGGUGAUUCCCAAUGCGUCGGGCCCGAUGACUCUCUUCUGUGACAACACUGGAGCUAUUGCCCUUGCGAAGGAGCCCAAGUUUCACAGGAAGACCAGGCAUAUCAAGCGUCGCUUCAACUCCAUUCGUGAAAGUGUUCAAAAUGGAGACAUAGAUAUUUGUAAAGUACACACGGACCUGAAUGUAGCAGAUCCGUUGACUAAACCUCUCCCUAGGGCAAAACAUGAUCAACACCAGGACGCAAUGGGUGUUCGAUUCAUCACAAUGUAACUAGAUUAUUGACUCUAGUGCAAGUGGGAGACUGUUGGAAAUAUGCCCUAGAGGCAAUAAUAAAUGGUUAUUAUUAUAUUUCUUUGUUCAUGGUAAUUGUCUAUUAUUCAUGCUAUAAUUGUAUUGUCCGGAAAUCGUAAUACAUGUGUGGAUACAUAGACCACAACGUGUCCCUAGUAAGCCUCUAGUUGACUAGCUCGUUGAUCAACUGAUAGUCAUGGUUUCCUGGCUAUGGACAUUGGAUGUCAUUGAUAACGGGAUCACAUCAUUAGGAGAAUGAUGUGAUGGACAAGACCCAAUCCUAAGCAUAGCAUAAAAGAUCGUGUAGUUUCGUUUGCUAGAGCUUUUCCAAUGUCAAGUAUCUUUUCCUUAGACCAUGAGAUCGUGCAACUCCCGGAUACCGUAGGAGUGCUUUGGGUGUGCCAAACGUCACAACGUAACUGGGUGACUAUAAAGGUGCACUACGGGUAUCUCCGAAAGUGUCUGUUGGGUUGGCACGGAUCGAGACUGGGAUUUGUCACUCCGUAUGACGGAGAGGUAUCUCUGGGCCCACUCGGUAAUGCAUCAUCAUAAUGAGCUCUAUGUGACUAAGGCGUUAGUCACGGGAUCAUGCAUUGCGGUACGAGUAAAGAGACUUGCCGGUAACGAGAUUGAACAAGGUAUUGGGAUACCGACGAUCGAAUCUCGAGCAAGUAACAUACCGAUUGACAAAGGGAAUUGCAUACGGGAUUGAUUGAAUCCUCGACACCGUGGUUCAUCCGAUGAGAUCAUCGUGGAACAUGUGGGAGCCAACAUGGGUAUCCAGAUCCCGCUGUUGGUUAUUGACCGGAGAGGCGUCUCGGUCAUGUCUGCAUGUCUCCCGAACCCGUAGGGUCUACACACUUAAGGUUCGGUGACGCUAGGGUUGUAGAGAUAUAUGUAUGCGGAAACCCGAAAGUUGUUCGGAGUCCCGGAUGAGAUCCCGGACGUCACGAGAGGUUCCGGAAUGGUCCGGAGGUGAAGAAUUAUAUAUAGGAAGUCAAGUUUCGGCCACCGGGAAAGUUUCGGGGGUUACCGGUAUUGUACUGGGACCACCGGAAGGGUCCCGGGGGUCCACCGGGUGGGGCCACCUGUCCCGGAGGGCCCCGUGAACUGAAAGUGGAAGGGAACCAGCCCUUAGUGGGCUGGGGCGCCCCCCUUGGGCCUCCACCCAUGCGCUAGGGUUGGGAACCCUAGGGGGGAGCUUCCCCCUUGCCUUGGGGGGCAAGGCACCCCUUUCCACUCCUUGGCCGCCGCCCCCCCAACCCUAGAUGGGUUUUGGCCGGCCCCCCUCCCAAGGGGGCCUAUAUAAAGGGGGGAGGGAGGGCAGCAACACACAGCCUUGGGCGCCUCCCUCCUCCCCUGCAACACCUCUCUCUCUCUCUCUCUCUCUCUCUCUCUCUCUCUCUCUCUCUCUCUCUCUCUCUCUCUCGCAGAAGCUCGGCAAAGCCCUGCCGGAGACCCGCUACAUCCACCACCACGCCGUCGUGCUGUUGGAUCUCCAUCAACCUCUCCUUCCCCCUUGCUGGAUCAAGAAGGAGGAGACAUCGCUGCACCGUACGUGUGUUGAACGCGGAGGUGCCGUCCGUUCGACACUCGGUCAUCGGUGAUUUGGAUCACGGCGAGUACGACUCCGUCAUCCACGCUCAUUGGAACGCUUCCGCUCACGAUCUACAAGGGUAUGUAGAUGCACUCCUUUCCCCUCGUUGCUAGUAGACUCCAUAGAUGCAUCUUGGUGAGCGUAGGAAAAUUUUAAAUUAUGCUACGAUUCUCAACAGUGGCAUCAUGAGCCAGGCCUAUGCGUAGUUACUAUGCACGAGUAGAAGACAAAGCAGUUGUGGGCGUUGAGUUUGCCAAUUCUUCUUGCCGCUACUAGUCGUUUCUUGUUUCGGCGGCAUUGUAGGAUGAAGCGGCCCGGACCGACCUUACACGUACGCUUACGUGAGACAGGUUCCACCGACUGACAUGCACUAGUUGCAUAAGGUGGCUAGAGGGUGUCUGUCUCUCCUACUUUAGUCGGAACGGAUUCGAUGAAAAGGGUCCUUAUGAAGGGUAAAUAGAAAUUGGCAAAUCACGUUGUGGUCAUACGUAGGUAAGAAAACGUUCUUGCUAGAAACCUACAAACCACGUAAAAACUUGCAACAACAAUUAGAGGACGUCUAACUUGUUUUUGCAGCAAGUGCUAUGUGAUGUGAUAUGGCCAGAAGAUGUGAUGAAUGAUAUAUGUGAUGUAUGAGAUUGAUCAUAUUCUUGUAAUAGGAAUCACGACUUGCAUGUCGAUGAGUAUGACAACCGGCAGGAGCCAUAGGAGUUGUCUUUAUUAUUUUGCAUGACCUGCGUGUCAUUGAAUAACGCCAUGUAAUUUACUUUACUUUGUUGCUAAACGCGUUAGCCAUACAAGUAGAAGUAAUCGUUGGCGUGACGACUUCAUNNNNNNNNNNNNNNNNNNNNNNNNNNNNNNNNNNNNNNNNNNNNNNNNNNNNNNNNNNNNNNNNNNNNNNNNNNNNNNNNNNNNNNNNNNNNNNNNNNNNNNNNNNNNNNNNNNNNNNNNNNNNNNNNNNNNNNNNNNNNNNNNNNNNNNNNNNNNNNNNNNNNNNNNNNNNNNNNNNNNNNNNNNNNNNNNNNNNNNNNNNNNNNNNNNNNNNNNNNNNNNNNNNNNNNNNNNNNNNNNNNNNNNNNNNNNNNNNNNNNNNNNNNNNNNNNNNNNNNNNNNNNNNNNNNNNNNNNNNNNNNNNNNNNNNNNNNNNNNNNNNNNNNNNNNNNNNNNNNNNNNNNNNNNNNNNNNNNNNNNNNNNNNNNNNNNNNNNNNNNNNNNNNNNNNNNNNNNNNNNNNNNNNNNNNNNNNNNNNNNNNNNNNNNNNNNNNNNNNNNNNNNNNNNNNNNNNNNNNNNNNNNNNNNNNNNNNNNNNNNNNNNNNNNNNNNNNNNNNNNNNNNNNNNNNNNNNNNNNNNNNNNNNNNNNNNNNNNNNNNNNNNNNNNNNNNNNNNNNNNNNNNNNNNNNNNNNNNNNNNNNNNNNNNNNNNNNNNNNNNNNNNNNNNNNNNNNNNNNNNNNNNNNNNNNNNNNNNNNNNNNNNNNNNNNNNNNNNNNNNNNNNNNNNNNNNNNNNNNNNNNNNNNNNNNNNNNNNNNNNNNNNNNNNNNNNNNNNNNNNNNNNNNNNNNNNNNNNNNNNNNNNNNNNNNNNNNNNNNNNNNNNNNNNNNNNNNNNNNNNNNNNNNNNNNNNNNNNNNNNNNNNNNNNNNNNNNNNNNNNNNNNNNNNNGAUGUGAUCGCCGUCGGCACGCUACCUCUGCAUCUACCCACGGGAUUAGUUUUAAACCUCAGUAAUUGUUAUUUAGUGCCAGCUUUGAGCAUGAACAUUGUAUCUGGAUCUCGUUUAAUUCGAGAUGGCUACUCAUUUAAAUCCGAGAAUAAUGGUUGUUCUAUUUAUUUGAGAGAUAUGUUUUAUGGUCAUGCCCCGCUGGUCAAUGGUUUAUUUUUGAUGAAUCUCGAACGUGAUGUUACACAUGUUCAUAGUGUGAAUACCAAAAGAUGUAAAGUUGAUAACAAUAGUCCCACAUACUUGUGGCACUGCCGCCUUGGUCACAUUGGUGUCAAGCGCAUGAAGAAGCUCCAUGCAGAUGGACUUUUGGAGUCUCUUGAUUACGAAUCAUUUGACACGUGCGAACCAUGCCUCAUGGGUAAGAUGACCAAGACUCCGUUCUCCGAAACAAUGGAGCGAGCAACCAACUUAUUGGAAAUCAUACAUACCGAUGUGUGCGGUCCAAUGAGUGUUGAGGCUCGUGGAGGAUAUCGUUAUGUUCUCACUCUCACUGAUGAUUUAAGUAGAUAUGGGUAUGUCUACCUAAUGAAACACAAGUCUGAAACCUUUGAAAAGUUCAAGGAAUUUCAUAGUGAAGUUGAGAAUCAACGUGACAGGAAAAUAAAAUUCUUAUGAUCAGAUCGUGGGAGAGAAUAUUUAAGUCACGAGUUUGGUGCACACUUAAGGAAAUGUGGAAUAUUUUCACAACUCACGCCGCCUGGAACACCUCAGAGAAAUGGUGUGUCCGAACGUCGUAAUCGCACUCUAUUGGAUAUGGUGCGAUCUAUGAUGUCUCUUACCGAUUUACCGCUCUCAUUUUAGGGCUAUGCUUUAGAGACUGCCGCAUUCACUUUAAAUAGGGCUCCGUCGAAAUCCGUUGAGACGACACCGUAUGAAUUAUGGUUUGGGAAGAAACCUAAGCUGUCGUUUCUAAAAGUUUGGGGAUGCGAUGCUUAUGUCAAGAAACUUCAACCUGAAAAGCUCGAACCCAAGUCGUAAAAAUGCGUCUUCAUAGGAUACCCUAAGGAAACUAUUGGGUAUACCUUCUACCUCAGAUCCGAGGGAAAGAUCUUCGUUGCCAAGAACGGGUCCUUUCUAGAGAAGGAGUUUCUCUCGAAAGAAUUGAGUGGGAGGAAAGUGGAACUUGAUGAGGUGAUAGUCACCCCUUCCGAACCGGAAAGUAGCGCAGCGCGGGAAAAUGUUCCUAUGGUGCCUACACCGACUGGGGAGGAAGUUAAUGAUGAUGAUCAUGAAGCUUCAGAUCAAGUUACUGAACUUCGUAGGUCCACAAGGACACGUUCCGCACCAGAGUGGUACGGCAACCCUGUCCUGGAAAUCAUGUUGUUAGACAACGGUGAACCUUCGAACUAUGAAGAAGCGAUGGCGGGCCCGGAUUCCGACAAAUGGCUAGAAGCCAUGAAAUCCGAGAUAGAAUCCAUGUAUGAAACCAAAGUAUGGACUUUGACUGACUUGCCCGAUGAGCGGCGAGCCAUAGAAAACAAAUGGAUCUUUAAGAAGAAGACGGACGCAGAUGGUAAUGUGACCAUCUACAAAGCUCGACUUGUUGCUAAGGGUUAUCGACAAGUUCAAGGGGUUGACUACGAUGAGACUUUCUCACCCGUAGCGAAGCUGAAGUCCGUCCGAAUCAUGUUAGCAAUUGCCGCAUACUAUGAUUAUGAGAUAUGGCAGAUGGACGUCAAAACGGCAUUCCUUAACGGCUUCCUUAAGGAAGAGUUGUAUAUGAUGCAGCCGGAAGGUUUUGUCGAUCCUAAGAAUGCUAACAAAGUAUGCAAGCUCCAGCGCUCAAUCUAUGGGCUGGUGCAAGCAUCUCGGAGUUGGAACAUUCGCUUUGAUGAGAUGAUCAAAGCGUUUGGGUUUACACAGACUUAUGGAGAAGCCUGUGUUUACAAGAAAGUGAGUGGGAGCUCUGUAGCAUUUCUCAUAUUAUAUGUGGAUGACAUAGUAUUGAUGGGAAAUGAUAUAGAAUUCUUGGAAAGUAUAAAGGCCUAUUUGAAUAAGUGUUUUUCAAUGAAGGACCUUGGAGAAGCUGCUUAUAUAUUAGGCAUCAAGAUCUAUAGAGAUAGAUCAAGACGCCUCAUUGGUCUUUCACAAAGUACAUACCUUGACAAGAUAUUGAAGAAGUUCAAUAUGGAUCAGUCCAAGAAGGGGUUCUUGCCUGUAUUGCAAGGUGUGCAAUUGAGCACGGCUCAAUGCCCGACCACGGCAGAAGAUAGAGAAAAGAUGAGUGUCAUCCCCUAUGCCUCGGCCAUAGGGUCUAUUAUGUAUGCCAUGCUGUGUACCAUACCUGAUGUAAACCUUGCCGUAAGUUUGGUAGGAAGGUACCAAAGUAAUCCCGGCAUGGAACACUGGACAGCGGUCAAGAAUAUCCUGAAGUACCUGAAAAGGACUAAGGAUAUGUUUCUCGUUUAUGGAGGUGACGAAGAGCUCGUCGUAAAGGGUUACGUCGACGCUAGCUUCGACACAGAUCUGGAUGACUCGAAGUCACAAACCGGAUACGUGUAUAUUUUGAAUGGAGGAGCAGUAAGCUGGUGCAGUUGCAAGCAAAGCGUCGUGGCGGGAUCUACAUGUGAAGCGGAGUACAUGGCAGCCUCGGAGGCAGCACAGGAAGCAGUCUGGAUGAAGGAGUUCAUUACCGACCUAGGGGUGAUUCCCAAUGCGUCGGGCCCGAUGACUCUAUUCUGUGACAACACUGGAGCUAUUGCCCUUGCGAAGGAGCCCAGAUUUCACAGGAAGACCAGGCAUAUCAAGCGUCGCUUCAACUCCAUUCGUGAAAGUGUUCAAAAUGGAGACAUAGAUAUUUGUAAAGUACAUACGGACCUGAAUGUAGCAGAUCCGUUGACUAAACCUCUCCCUAGAGCAAAACAUGAUCAACACCAGGACGCAAUGGGUGUUCGAUUCAUCACAAUGUAACUAGAUUAUUGACUCUAGUGCAAGUGGGAGACUGUUGGAAAUAUGCCCUAGAGGCAAUAAUAAAUGGUUAUUAUUAUAUUUCUUUGUUCAUGGUAAUUGUCUAUUGUUCAUGCUAUAAUUGUAUUGUCCGGAAAUCGUAAUACAUGUGUGAAUACAUAGACCACAACGUGUCCCUAGUAAGCCUCUAGUUGACUAGCUCGUUGAUCAACAGAUAGUCAUGGUUUCCUGACUAUGGACAUUGGAUGUCAUUGAUAACGGGAUCACAUCAUUAGGAGAAUGAUGUGAUGGACAAGACCCAAUCCUAAGCAUAGCAUAAAAGAUCGUGUAGUUUCGUUUGCUAGAGCUUUUCCAAUGUCAAGUAUCUUUUCCUUAGACCAUGAGAUCGUGCAACUCCCGGAUACCGUAGGAGUGCUUUGGGUGUGCCAAAUGUCACAACGUAACUGGGUGACUAUAAAGGUGCACUACGGGUAUCUCCAAAAGUGUUUGUUGGGUUGGCACGGAUCGAGACUGGGAUUUGUCACUCCGUGUGACGGAGAGGUAUCUCUGGGCCCACUCGGUAAUGCAUCAUCAUAAUGAGCUCAAUGUGACUAAGGCGUUAGUCACGGGAUCAUGCAUUGCGGUACGAGUAAAGAGACUUGCCGGUAACGAGAUUGAACAAGGUAUUGGGAUACCGACGAUCGAAUCUCGGGCAAGUAACAUACCGAUUGACAAAGGGAAUUGCAUACAGAUUGAUUGAAUCCUCGACACCGUGGUUCAUCCGAUGAGAUCAUCGUGGAACAUGUGGUAGCCAACAUGGGUAUCCAGAUCCCGCUGUUGGUUAUUGACCGGAGAGGCGUCUCGGUCAUGUCUGCAUGUCUCCCGAACCCGUAGGGUCUACACACUUAAGGUUCGGUGACGCUAGGGUUGUAGAGAUAUAUGUAUGCGGAAACCCGAAAGUUGUUCGGAGUCCCGGAUGAGAUCCCGGACGUCAUGAGAGGUUCCGGAAUGGUCCGAAGGUGAAGAAUUAUAUAUAGGAAGUCAAGUUUCGGCCACCGGGAAAGUUUCGGGGGUUACCGGUAUUGUACCGGGACCACCGGAAGGGUCCCGGGGGUCCAUCGGGUGGGGCCACCUAUCCCGGAGGGCCCCGUGGGCUGAAAGUGGAAGGGAACCAGCCCUUAGUGGGCUGGGGCGCCCCCCUUGGGCCUCCCCCCAUGCGCCUAGGGUUGGGAACCCUAGGGGGGGGGAGCUUCCCCCUUGCCUUGGGGGGCAAGGCACCCCUUCCCCCCCACUUGGCCGCCGCCCCCCUUGGAGAUCUGUUCUCCCAAGGGCUGGCCCCCCCCAGGGGUCCUAUAAAUAGUGGGGGGGGGGAGGGAGGGCAGCAACACACAUCCUUGGGCGCCUCCCUCCUCCCCUGCAACACCUCUCUCUCUCUCUCUCGCAGAAGCUUGGCAAAGCCCUGCCGAGACCCGCUACAUCCACCACCACGCCGUCGUGCUGCUGGAUCUCCAUCAACCUCUCCUUCCCCCUUGCUGGAUCAAGAAGGAGGAGACGUCGCUGCACCGUACGUGUGUUGAACGCGGAGGUGCCGUCCGUUCGGCACUCGGUCAUCGGUGAUUUGGAUCACGGCGAGUACGACUUCGUCAUCCACGUUCAUUGGAACGCUUCCGCUCGCAAUCUACAAGGGUAUGUAGAUGCACUCCCUUCCCCUCGUUGCUAGUAUACUCCAUAGAUGCAUCUUGGUGAGCGUAGGAAAAUUUUAAAUUAUGCUACGAUUCCCAACAUAUCUAACACACAAGAAGAACGCAAAAAAAAGAAAAAUAAACUAGCAUGGAUAUUACAGUGAAAGAGUAUGCGCACCGACAUCUAGCAAUGAGUGUGUGAACAUAAAUGUAAUGUCGGUGGGAAAUACGUACUCCCCCAAGCUUAGGCUUUUGGCCUAAGUUGGUUUAUUGCCACGGAUGGCCUGGCGGAUAUCCGUAGUUGUAGCCGGGGUCGUACUGAGAUGAAGAAGACUCUGACUGCCACUGGCUGGCAGUCAUCUCCGGAUCCCAACAGUAAUCAGACUGUCGUCUAGGCUCAAAUUGUAGUUCCGGCUCAGGGGCUGGUGUAGGGUUCCUGUAGGCGUAAAUGGCCGCCCACGGAACGAGAUACGGGCCUUCAGAUAAAUUAAACAAUGAAGGAGCAGGCAAGGUAAUAGUCUCAGGGUGAUGUUUAUCAAAGAACAAUUUGUAUUUAAGCUCCCCUUCCUUGUUCUUAACAAUAAAGUCAUGCGCUACCAUACUCUUAUAAUCUAAAUAAUCAGUGGGCAGCAAUUUUUCUUCUUUUUCAUAGUGCCUAAUAGGUAUAUGAUAAUAUGUAGCAAGGCGUGAAGCGUAAAUACCUCCAAAGAUGGGACCCUUAGUACGGUUCAGACUUAACCGUUUAGCAAUAAUACCGCCCAUACUAACAGUGUUAUCGGAAAAUAAACCAUGGAACAAAAUGAUAAUAUCAGGAACACUAAGGUUUCCACAGUUUCCGCGACCAAUCAAGCAACGACUAGCAAAUAUGGCAAAGUAGCGUAAAACAGGAAAAUGUAUGCUAGUGAUUCUUGCAUCGGAAACCUUCCUGGUUUCCCCCACAGUAAUGGUGUCAAUAAACCCGUCCACAUCUUUACGAUGUGGUUCAUCUAAGGUACCCUCGAAGGGUAUUUUGCAAACCUUGCAAAAUUCAUCUAGUGGCAUCUUCUUAACAACAUCAUAUAAAUGAAACUCUACUGAAGGAGGUGAAUCCUUAGGAAAAUAGUAGAAGUUUUGCACAAAAGUAUUGUGAGUAAGAGAUACUGAUGACGUUGGUCGCGGAGGAAGUCGGUGAGGCCAACAUUCUCAGCCAAUGAAUAGAAAUCAUCAUAAAUCAUGGCUUCUCUCAAAGGCCAUUCACACGGCCGGACCUCCGCGGUGCGAGGCAAAUUAUAUUUGGGCCUCUGUGCUUCCUCACUUUGCUUUUCCUUCGAGCUUCGGCUCGAUGAGCCCCUCAAAAAUCUCUUCAUUAUUUUCUAAAAAUUUCCGAAAUUUUUAGUAACUUCAAACAAAAGUGAACCAAGCUCAACAAAAUUGAUAGCAACUACUCCUACAAGUGCCUAGAGCCUAUAUCAUGCAUUAGAACUACUUGGAACCAUAUAAAUUUGACAUGCAAGCUCAAGAACGUGGUCACCUAGGCAACACAAAUUUGCAAUGAAUAAAGCACUAGAACAAAAACUAAUUGGACCAAUGGAGGAGUCACAUACCAAGGAACAAUCUCCCCAAGCAGUUUUGUGAGAGGUGCUUUGAGCAAGGAGAUCAAAAAUCGCAGCAAAGUGAGCUAGAACUCGUGCUUGAGCUGGAUAUUGGUGUUUGUGGGAGGAAGAAGGAGUGUGUGGGUGCAGGAAUAAGUGGAGGGGGGCCACCAUGGGCCCACGAGGCAGGGGCGCGCACAGGGGGGUAGGGCGCGCCCUCCACCCUCGUGGCCAGGUGCUUGCCCCUCCUGCUGUGUUCUCAGUGCCAGAUAUUCUCAAAUAUUCCAGAAAAAAUCAUAUUCCAUUUUCAUGGCAUUUGGAGAACUUUUAUUUUUGGGGUAUUUUUAUAUUGCACAGAUAAAUCAGAAAACAGACAGAAAAAAAUACUAUUUUUACUUUAUUUCAACUAAAUAACAGAAAGUAGAAAGAGGGUACAGAAGGUUGUGCCUUCUAGUUUCAUCCAUCUCGUGCUCAUCAAAAGGAAUCCACUAACAAGGUUGAUCAAGUCUUGUUAACAAACUCAUUCCGAAUAACAUGAAACCGGAGAAAUUUCGAAUAACACUAUGUUACCUCAACGGGGAUAUGCACAUCUCCAAUAAUAAGAAUAUCAUAUUUGUUCUUGACAGUAGGAAGAGGAAAUUCAAAACCUCCAAAUAUAAUCGAUGGAAUUUUUCCAAUAGAAUUGAUACUAUGAACUUGAGGUUGUUUCCUCGGAAAGUGUACCGUAUGCUCAUUACCAUUAACAUGAAAAGUGACAUUGCCUUUGUUGCAAUCAAUAACAGCCCCUGCAGUAUUCAAAAAAGGUCUUCCAAGAAUAAUCGACAUACUAUCGUCCUCGGGAAUAUCAAGAAUAACAAUGUCCGUUAAAAUAGUAACGUUUGCAACCACAACAGGCACAUCCUCACAAAUAUCGACAGGUAUAGCAGUUGAUUUAUCAGCCAUUUGCAAAGAUAUUUCAGUAGGUGUCAACUUAUUCAAAUCAAGUCUACGAUAUAAAGAGAGAGGCAUAACUCUAACACCGGCUCCAAGAUCACAUAAAGCAGUUUUAACAUAAUUUCUUUUAAUGGAGCAUGGUAUAGUAGGUACUCCUGGAUCUCCAAGUUUCUUUGGUAUUCCACCUUAAAAGUAUAAUUAGCAAGCAUGGUGGAAAUCUCAGCUUCUGGUAUCUUUCUUUUAUUAGUAACAAUUUCUUUCAUAUACUUAGCAUAAUGAUUCAUUUUGAGCAUAUCAGUUAAUCGCAUACGCAAAAAGAUAGGUCUAGUAUAUUUCAGCAAAGCGCUCAAAAUCCUCAUCAUCCUUUUUCUUGGAUGGUUUGGGAGGAAAGGGCAUGGGUUUCUGAACCCAAGGUUCUCUUUCUUUGCCAUGUUUCCUAGCAACAAAGUCUCUCUUAUCAUAACGUUGAUUCUUUGAUUGUGGGUUAUCAAGAUCAACAACAGGUUCAAUUUCUACAUCAUCAUCAUUACUAGGUUGAGCAUCAUCAUGAACAUCGUCAUUAGCAUUUUCAUUAGGUUCAUGUUCAUUACCAGAUUGUGUUUUAGCAUCAGAAAUAGAGAUAUCAUUUGGAUUCUCAGGUGGUUCAGCAAUAGGUUCACUAGAAGCAUGCAAAGUCCUACCAUCUUUCUUUUUCUUCCUUUUAGAAGGACUAGGUGCAUCAAUAUUAUUUCUCUGAGAAUCUUGCUCAAUUCUCUUAGGGUGGCCUUCAGGAUACAAAGGUUACUGAGUCAUUCUACCAGUUCUAGUAGCCACUCUAACAUCAUAAUCAUUAUUCUUACUAUUCAUUUCAUUGAGCAAAUCAUUUUGAGCUUUAAGUACUUGUUCUACUUGAGUGGUAACCAUAGAAGCAUGUUUACUAAUAAGUUUAAGUUCACCUUUAACUCUAGACAUGUAAUCACCCAAGUGUUCAAUCAUAUAAGCAUUUUGUUUUAAUUGUCUACCAAAAUAAGCAUUAAAAUCUUCUUGCUUAACCAUAAAGUUACCAAACUCAUCCAAGCAUUGGCUAGCAAUUUUAGUAGGAGGGAUUUCAGCUUUAUCAUAUCUAUAGAGAGAAUUUACCUUUACUACCUGUGUCGGGUUAUCAAGACCAUGAGUUUCUUCAAUAGGUGCAUGAUUAAGAUCAUAUGUUUCUUUUUCUUUCAUAGAUUUCUUUGCCUCUUGCAUAUCUUCAGGACUGAGAAAUAGAACACCUCUCUUCUUCGGAGUUGGUUUAGGAAUAGGCUCAGGAGCUGGCUCAGGAAGUGUCCAAUUAUUUUCAUUUGUCAACAUAUUAUUCAAUAGAAUUUCAGCUUCAUCCGGUGUUCUUUCCCUGAAAAUAGAACCAGCACAACUAUCCAGGUAAUCUCUGGAAGCAUCGGUUAGUCCAUUAUAAAAGAUAUCAAGUAUUUCAUUUUUCUUAAGAGGAUGAUCAGGCAAAGCAUUAAGUAACUUGAGAAGCCUCCCCCAAGCUUGUGGGAGACCCUCUUCUUCAAUUUGCAUAAAAUUGUAUAUUUCCCUCAAAGCAGCUUGUUUCUUAUGAGCAGGGAAAUAUUUAGCAGAGAAGUAAUAAAUCAUAUCCUGGGGACUACACACACAACCAGGAUCAAGAGAAUUAAACCAGAUCUUAGCAUCACCCUUUAAUGAGAACGGAAAUAUUUUAAGGAUAUAAAGAUAGCGAGAUCUCUCAUCAUUAGUGAACAGGGGUGGCUAUAUCAUUUAAUUUAGUAAGAUGUGCCACAACAGUUUCAGAUUCAUAGCCAUGAAAAGGAUCAGAUUCAACAAAAGUAAUUAUAUCAGGAUCAACAGAGAAUUCAUAAUCCUUAUCAGUAACACAGAUAGGUGAAGUAGCAAAAGCAGGGUCAGGUUUCAUUCUAGCAUUAAGAGAUUGCUGCCUCCAUUUAGCUAAUAACCUCUUGAGCUCAUAUCUAUCUUUGCAAGCUAAAAUAGCUAAAGCAACUUCUUUUUCAAAAAUAUAACCCUCAGGAAUAACAGGCGAGUCUUCAUCAUCACUUUCAUCAAUAUAAUCAGUUUCAAUAAUUUCUUUCUCUCUAACCCUAGCAAUUUGUUCAUCAAGAAAUUCACUAAGUGGCACAGUAGUAUCAAGCAUAGAAGUAGUUUCAUCAUAAGUAUCAUGCAUAGCAGAAGUGGCAUCAUCAAUAACAUGCGACAUAUCAGAACGAAUAGCAGAAGCAGGUUUAGGUGUCGCAAGCUUACUCAAAACAGAAGGUGAAUGAAGUGCAGAGCUAGAUGGCAGUUCCUUACCUCCCCUCGUAGUUGAGGGAUAAAUUAUUGUCUUAGCGUCUUUCAAGUUCUUCAUAGUGACCAGCAGAUAUAAAUCCCAAGUGACUCAAAGAAUAGAGCUAUGGUCCCCGACAACGGCGCCAGAAAAUAGUCUUGAUAACCCACAAGUAUAGGGGAUCGCAACAGUUUUCGAGGGUAGAGUAUUCAACCCAAAUUUAUUGAUUCGACACAAGGGGAGCCAAAGAAUAUUCUCAAGUAUUAGCAGCUGAGUUGUCAAUUCAACCACACCUGGAUAACUUAGUAUGUGCAGCAAAGUAUUUAGUAGCAAAGUAAUAUGAUAGUAGUGGUAAUGGUAACAAAAGUAACGGAAGCAAAAGUAAUAUUUUUGGUGUUUUGUAGUGAUUGUAACAGUAGCAACGGAAAAGUAAAUAAGCGGAGAACAAUAUGUGAAAAGCUCGUAGGCAUUGGAUCGGUGAUGGAGAAUUAUGCUGGAUGCGGUUCAUCAUGUAACAAUCAUAACAUAGGGUGACACAGAACUAGCUCCAAUUCAUCAAUGUAAUGUAGGCAUGUAUUCCGAAUAUAGUCAUACGUGCUUAUGGAAAAGAACUUGCAUGACAUCUUUUGUCCUACCCUCCCGUGGCAGCGGGGUCCUAAUGGAAACUAAGGGAUAUUAAGGCCUCCUUUUAAUAGAGUACCGGAACAAAGCAUUAGCACAUAGUGAAUACAUGAACUCCUCAAACUAUGGUCAUCACCGGGAGUGGUACCGAUUAUUGUCACUUCGGGGUUGCCGGAUCAUAACACAUAGUAGGUGACUAUAGACUUGCAAGAUAGGAUCAAGAACUCACAUAUAUUCAUGAAAACAUAAUAGGUUCAGAUCUGAAAUCAUGUCACUCGGGCCCUAGUGACAAGCAUUAAACAUAGCAAAGUCAUAGCAACAUCAAUCUCAGAACAUAGUGGAUACUAGGGAUCAAACCCUAACAAAACUAACUCAAUUACAUGAUAGAUCUCGUCCAACCCAUCACCGUCCAGCAAGCCUACGAUGGAAUUACUCACGCACGGCGGUGAACAUCAUGAAAUUGGUGAUGGAGGAUGGUUGAUGAUGACGAUGGCGACGAAUCCCCCUCUCCGGAGCCCCGAACGGACUCCAGAUCAGCCCUCCCGAGAGGUUUUAGGGCUUGGCGGCGGCUCUAUAUCGUAAAACGCGAUGAAUCCUUCUCUCUGAUUUUUUUUCUCCCCGAAAGUGAAUAUAUGGAGUUGGAGUUGAGGUCGGUGGAGCGUCAGGGGGCCCACGAGGUAGGGGGUGCGCCCCCACCCUCGUGGGCAGGGUGUGGGCCCCCUGACGUGGAUUUUUCUUCCGGUAUUUUUCUUAUUUUCCAAAUAGAUGUUCCGUGGAGUUUCAGGUCAUUCCGAGAACUUUUGUUUCUACACAUAAAUAACACCAUGGAAAGUCUGCUGAAAACCGCGUCAGUCCGGGUUAGUUUCAUUCAAAUCAUGCAAGUUAGAGUCCAAAACAAGGGCAAAAGUGUUUGGAAAAGUAGAUACGACGGAGACGUAUCACAGACAAACAAUUCACCAUCAUAAGAUUUAGUGAAAAGAGUAGGGUCGAGUGAACCGGGUUUGAAGCCUUUCUUCAUGAGGAAUUCCUUCAAGGUAUCAUACCACGCCCGAGGGGCCUGCUUGAGGCCAUAGAGGGCCUUAUUGAGUCUGAAGACUUUGUCAGGAUGCUUUGGAUUUUCAAAACCUGGGGGUUGAGCAACAUAUACUUCUUCCUCAAGCUUACCAUUGAGGAAUGCACUUUUCACAUCCAUUUGAUAUAGAGUGAUAUCAUGAUGGUUAGCAUAAGCAAGUAAUAUGUGAAUAGCCUCAAGUCUAGCAACAGGUGCAAAAGUUUCAUCAAAAUCAAUUCCUUCAACCUGUGUGUAGCCUUGAGCUACUAGCCGUGCCUUAUUCCUCACCAAACGGCCAUUUUCAUCUUGCUUGUUGCGGUAGAUCCACUUUGUGCCAGUGAUAUUGUGCUUGCGAGGAUCUGGACGUUUGACCAGUUCCCAGACGUUGUUGAGCUCGAACUGAUGUAAUUCUUCUUGCAUGGCCUGAAUCCACUCAGGCUCCAGAAAUGCUUCAUCUACCUUAGUGGGCUCUGUGAUAGAGGCAAAAGCAUAGUGCCCACAAAAGUUAGAUAAAUGUGAAGCUUUUGAGCGUGUGAGAGGACCUAGUGCUUCAAUGUCAUCGAUGAUCUUUUCAACUUGCACUUCUCACUACAAAAAAAAGACACAUCCGUGACAUUUUGGGCCGAACGAAUGUUUUUCCUGUCAUACAUAUGACACUUCUAUGACGAUAAUUGUGACAAAACCCGGUAUCAUCAUAGAUGUGGUGGGCUCCUACUUCUAUGACAAAAAAUCAUGACAGAAAAUGGGCUUUUCGUCCUGGGCGGGCCGGAGACGCAGCUGCAUGACAUUCUUUGGGCCGUCCAUGACGGAAAAAACCGUGGUAGAAGCGAGGGCGAGGAAAAUUUCGGGGAGUUCCCGGUUACGGUGGGAGGUCGGGGGCCGAGCGAUGCGCGUUUCUCUCGUACACGUACGCGCGUGUGUUCGAGGCGUUGGCUCUAACUGAACCCGAGCGGGGCGUUGGGCUCUAACUGAACCCGAGCGAUUGCACUGCAGGCUACGCGUUACUGAACCCGAGCGAUCGAUCGAUGGCUGUUAACUGAACCCGAUCGAGCGAUUCCUUCGCUACUGCUGCUAACUAAAGCUGAUCAAUGCUGCCUCUGGGAUGAANNNNNNNNNNNNNNNNNNNNNNNNNNNNNNNNNNNNNNNNNNNNNNNNNNNNNNNNNNNNNNNNNNNNNNNNNNNNNNNNNNNNNNNNNNNNNNNNNNNNNNNNNNNNNNNNNNNNNNNNNNNNNNNNNNNNNNNNNNNNNNNNNNNNNNNNNNNNNNNNNNNNNNNNNNNNNNNNNNNNNNNNNNNNNNNNNNNNNNNNNNNNNNNNNNNNNNNNNNNNNNNNNNNNNNNNNNNNNNNNNNNNNNNNNNNNNNNNNNNNNNNNNNNNNNNNNNNNNNNNNNNNNNNNNNNNNNNNNNNNNNNNNNNNNNNNNNNNNNNNNNNNNNNNNNNNNNNNNNNNNNNNNNNNNNNNNNNNNNNNNNNNNNNNNNNNNNNNNNNNNNNNNNNNNNNNNNNNNNNNNNNNNNNNNNNNNNNNNNNNNNNNNNNNNNNNNNNNNNNNNNNNNNNNNNNNNNNNNNNNNNNNNNNNNNNNNNNNNNNNNNNNNNNNNNNNNNNNNNNNNNNNNNNNNNNNNNNNNNNNNNNNNNNNNNNNNNNNNNNNNNNNNNNNNNNNNNNNNNNNNNNNNNNNNNNNNNNNNNNNNNNNNNNNNNNNNNNNNNNNNNNNNNNNNNNNNNNNNNNNNNNNNNNNNNCAACAGGACCCCCGUUUCGACCGUAGGAGGUCCGUUUCCUCCGUUUUGCGGUACGCCACACUCCUCCCGAUCAACAGGAACCCCGUUUCGACCGUAGGAGCUCCGUUUCCUUCGUUUUGCGGUACGCCACACCCCUCCCCAUGAACACGACACAUUUCGUUGCCUCCCCAUGAACACGACGACGACGUUGUUUCUCCGUUCGACCCAGCCAUGUACACGAGCCCUGGCCGUACGUAUGCGCGAGUAGGCGUUCGAGACCCCGCCCGUAUGUACACAUACGUGUCCGUAUUUUCUUUCUUGCACCCUGGCCGCUGUACGUACGUGUACAUGCUACGUGCGCACCUCUACUACAACACGUAAGCGCCUCUACUACGACACGUGCGCGCCUCUACAUCCACCAGUAUAUAUGUACGUACACGUUCGCGACCAGAAUGACAACGCUACGUACGCUUCGACCAGGUGGGUCCCGACUGUCAGGCACUUGUUUCGCAAAAAAAGGCACUUCCUUGCCUACGAAGAUGUAACUGGUGGGUCCCAGCAGUCAGGGGGCGAAUCGUUUUUUUUGCCCGGACGCACUUCCUUGCGUGCGAAGAUGUAGCUGGUGGGUCCCAGCAGUCAGGGGGAAACAUUUUUUUCGCGAAAUACAGUGGCCCAUCCGGUGGGUCCCAACUGUCAGGUGGAGGAAUCAUUAUUUUCCGCGUAAUAAGGAGGCACUUCCUUGCUGCGGCCGUGGACCCAGCUGUCAGCCUCUCCACGUACAGUCCACGUCCGAUGGAAGUCGUUCCUUGACCACGUUGACCACGCCGCGCCGAGAGCACCAGGGCGGUGGACGACGGCGAGGCCUAGGAAGGGGACGACGGGGAGCCGGGGAAGACGCGGCAGUGGAAGCCCGCGCGGAGAGGAGUACGAGGGUUCACUGGUUCGGCUGCGGUGUGAGGCUGCCAUCGCUGCAGGGCCUGGCCAGCGGUGGGAAUAGUAGGGAGCGGUGAGGCCUCCGCGGCAGCACAGCCGACCACGGGAGGCAGGAGCAUGCGACACGACCGGCGCUGCUUUGAGCGGCUGGAGCAAGAAGACCAGAGGUUGAAGAAGCACUAAGGCCGUUGGAUGGACAUCGUACGGUCACCGGAGCUAGAAUCGUUCAUAUUGACUAAAGUUGACAAAGGCCCCCGUCCCAGUCAACUUAGUAGGCCCACAAGUCAGCCUCCCACCAUGGUGGGUCCCAGCUAGCAGGGGGAGUAUUCAUUUUUUUUGCGUAAUAAGGAGGCACUUCCUUGCGUGCGAAGAUAUAGCUGGUGGGUCCGAGCUGUCAGCGGCGGUAACAUUUUUUUCGUGAAAUACAGAGGCCCUUUCGGUGGGUCCCUGAUGUCAGGUGCAGGAAUCAUUAUUUUGCGCGUAAUAAGGAGGCAUUUCCUUGCGUGCGGCCGUGGACCCAGCUGUUGGCCUCUUCACGUACAGUCCACUUCAGAUGCAUGUCGGUCGUUGACCACGUUGACCAGGCCGCGCCGAGAGCACCAGGGCGGUGGACGACGGGGAGACCUAGGAAGGGAACGACACGGAGGCAGGGAAGACUUGGCAGUUGUUUCCCACGCGGAGGGGAGUACGACUGUACGAGGGUUUACUGGUUCGUCCGCCGUCGCCGGAGAAUAACAGCAGGUGUGGGUGAGUAGAGGGAUGGCUAGGCCAGCGAUGGGAGUACGGUGGGGCGGUGAGGCCUGCGCGGCAGCAGAGCCGGCCGCGGGGAGGAGGGAGCAGGCAGUCCCGCCGGCGCUUGUUUGAGCAGCUGGAGCAGGAAGAGCAGAGAUUCAAGAAGCACGACGGCCGUUGGAUGGCCAUCCAACAGUCACUUCUUGUGCGUCAACCUUUUUUUAGGAAGGCCUCAAAUAUGUGGAAAACAUCAUACAGCCCAUCUGCCAUUAUUUCUAAUAAUUUACAGCCCAUUUGCUAAUUAUUAUGGUUUUUUGGAGCCCAUAUUCUUUUUGUUAGCAUUACAGCCCAUAUUGUGGCCACGGUUAAAAAAUUAUACGAAAUUUUGCAUAUUUCGGUGCGGUCCGAACUGUUUUUAAUCCCGAAAUUUCGACUCACACUCAAUCUUAUUUUCAAAAUAAAUGUAUAUCAAUAUAAAAUCCAACAAAUUCUCCACGCAUAAAAAUUCAUGUAAUUUAAAAUCUCGAAAUGAAAAAAAGAUAUUUGAAACUAAUUGCCGGUUUGAUGUGUUUUAAAAAUGUACAGCCCAUUUCUCAUUACUGAUGGGCCAUUUUCUCAGCCAGCCGAAUGAAAGCUCUCCUCGCUUGAAAGAUUUGCAGCCCAACAGGCCUCACAAAGCGACUUACUUGGCAAAUCACAAAAAAACUGGGCUGUGGCCGUGGACCCAGCUGUCAGCCGCUCCACGUACAGUACUCUUCCGAUGGAAGUCGUUCCUUGACCACGUUGACCACGCCGCGCGGAGAGCACGACGACGAGGCCUAGGAAGGGGACGACGCGGAGCCGGGGAAGACGCGGCAGUGGAAGCCCACGCGGAGAGUUGUGCAAGGGUUCACUGGUUCGGCUGUGGUGUGAGGCUGCCGUCGCCGUAGGGCCUGGCCAGCGGUGGGAAUAGUACGGGGAGGUGAGGCCUCCGCGGCAGCAUAGCCGGCCACGGGAGGCAGGAUCAUGCGGCACGACCGGCGCUGCUUUGGGCGGCUGGAGCAAGAAGACCAGAGGUUGAAGAAGCACUACGGCCGUUGGAUGGACAUCGUACGGUCGCUGUAGCUAUAAUCGUUCAUAUUGACUAAAGUUGACAAAGGCCCCCGUCCCAGUCAACUUAGUAGGCCCACAAGUCAGCCUCCCACCAUGGUGGGUCCCAGCUAGCAGGGGGAGUAUUCAUUUUUUUAUGCGUAAUAAGGAGGCACUUCCUUGCGUGCGAAGAUAUAGCUGGUGGGUCCGAGCUGUCAGCGGCGGUAACAUUUUUUUCGCGAAAUACAGAGGCCCUUUCGGUGGGUCCCUGAUGUCAGGUGGAGGAAUCAUUAUUUUGCGCGUAAUAAGGAGGCAUUUCUUUGCGUGCGGCCGUGCACCCAGCUGUCGGCCUCUCCACGUACAGUCCACUUCAGAUGCAUGUCGGUCGUUGACCACGUUGACCAGGCCGCGUCGAGAGCACCAGGGCGGUGGACGACGGCGAGGCCUACAAAGGGAACGAUACGGAGGCAGGGAAGACUCGGCAGUUGUUUCCCACGCGGAGGGGAGUACGACUGUACGAGGGUUUACUGGUUCGUCUGCCGUCGCCGGAGAAUAACAGCAGGUGUGGGUGAGUAGAGGGAUGGCUAGGCCAGCGACGGGGUUCGGUGGGGCGGUGAGGCCUGCGCGGCAGCAGAGCCGGCCGCGGGGAGGAGGGAGCAGGCUGUCCCGCCGGCGCUUGUUUGAGCGGCUGGAGCAGGAAGAGCAGAGAUUGAAGAAGCACGACGGCCGUUGGAUGGCCAUCCAACAGUCACUUCUUGUGCGUCAACCUUUUUUUACGAAAGCCUCAAAUCUGUGGAAAACAUCAUACAGCUCAUCUACCAUUAUUUCUAAUAAUUUACAGCCCAUUUGCUAAUUAUUAAGGUUUUUUUGGAGCCCACAUUCUUUUUGUUUGCAUUACAUUCCAUAUUGUGGCCACGGUUAAAAAAUUAUACGAAAUUUUGCAUAUUUCGGAGCGGUCCGAACUAUUUUGAAUCCCGAAAUUUCGACUCACAUUUAAACUGAUUUUAAAAAUAAAUGUAUAUCAAUAUAAAAUCCAACAAAUUCUCCACGCAUAAAAAUAAUGUAAUUUAAAAUCUCGAAAUGAAAAAAAAGAUAUUUGAAACUAAUUGCCGGUUUGAUGUGUUUUCAAAAUGUACAGCCCAUUUCUCAUUACUGAUGGGCCAUUUUCUCGGCCAGCCGAAUGAAAGCUUUCCUCGUCUUGAAAGAUUUGAAGCCCAACAGUCCUGACAAAGCGACUUACUUGGCAUAUCUCAAAAAACUUGGCUAUGGCCGUGGACCCAGCUGUCAGCCUCUCCACGUACAGUACUCUUCCGAUGGAAGUUGUUCCUUGACCACGUUGACCACGCCGCGCGGAGAGCACCACGACGGUGGACGACGGCGAGGCCUAGGAAGGGGACGACGCGGAGCCGGGGAAGACACGGCAGUGGAAGCCCGCGUGGAGAGGAGUACGAGGGUUCACUGGUUCGGCUGCGAUGUGAGGCUGCCGUCGCCGCAGGGCCUGGCCAGCGGUGGGAAUAGUAGGGGGCGGUGGGGCCUCCGCAGCAGCACAGCCGGCCACGGGAGGCAGGAGCAUGCGGCACGACCGGCGCUGCUUUGGGCGGCUGGAGCAAGAAGACUAGGGGUUGAAGAAGCACUACGGCCGUUGGAUGGACAUCGUAUGAUCACUGGAGCUAGAAUCGUUCAUAUUGAGUAAAGUUGACAAAGGCCCCAUCCCAGUCAACUUAGUAGGCCCACAAGUCAGCCUCCCACCAUGGUGGGUCCCAGCUAGCAGGGGGAGUAUUCAUUUUUUUCUGCGUAAUAAGGAGGCACUUCCUUGCGUGCGAAGAUAUAGCUGGUGGGUCCGAGCUAUCAGCGGCGGUAACGUUUUUUUCGCGAAAUACAGAGGCCCAUUCGGUGGGUCCCUGAUGUCAGGUGGAGGAAUCAUUAUUUUGCACGUAAUAAGGAGGCAUCUCCUUGCGUGCGGCCGUGGACCCAGCUGACGGCCUCUCCACGUACAGUCCACUUCAGAUGCAUGUCGGCCGUUGACCACGUUGACCAGGCCGUGCCGAGAGCACCAGGGCGGUGGACGACAGCGAGGCCUAGGAAGGGAACGACACGGCGGCAGGGAAAACUCGGCAGUUGUUUCCCACGCAGAGGGGAGUACAACUGUACGAGGGUUUACUGGUUCGUCUGCCGUCGCCGGAGAAUAACAGCAGGUGUGGGUGAGUAGAGGGAUGGCUAGGCCAGCGAUGGGAGUACGGUGGGGCGGUGAGGCCUGCACGGCAGCAGAGCUGGCCGCGGGGAGGAGGGAGCAGGCAGUCCCGCCGGCGCUUGUUUGAGCGGCUGGAGCAGGAAGAGCAGAGAUUGAAGAAGCACGACGGCCGUUGGAUGGCCAUCCAACAGUCAGUGCUUGUGCGUCAACCUUUUUUUAGGAAAGCCUCAAAUCUGUGGAAAACAGCAUACAGCCAAUCUGCCAUUAUUUCUAAUAAUUUACAGCCCAUUUGCUAAUUAUUAAGGUUUUCUUUGGAGCCCAUAUUCUUUUUGUUAGCAUUACAGCCCAUAUUGUGGCCACGGUUAAAAAAUUAUACGAAAUUUUGCAUAUUUUGGUGCGGUCCGAACUGUUUUCAAUUCCGAAAUUUCGGCUCACAUUCAAACUGAUUUUAAAAAUAAAUGUAUAUCAAUAUAAAAUCCAAAAAAUUCUCCACACAUAAAAAUUAAUGUAAUUUAAAAUCUCGAAAUGAAAAAAAGAUAUUUGAAACUAAUUGCCAGUUUGAUGUGUUUAAAAAAUGUACAUCCCAUUUCUCAUUACUGAUGGGCCAUUUUCUCGGCCAGCCAAAUGAAAGCUCUCCUCGUCUUGAAAGAUUUGCAGCCCAACAGGGCUGACAAAGCGACUUACUUGGCAAAUCACAAAAAAACUGGGUUGUGGCCGUGGACCCAGCUGUCAGCCUCUCCACGUACAGUACUCUUCCGAUGGAAGUCGUUCCUUGACCACGUUCACCACGCCGCGCGGAGAGCACCACGGCGGUGGACGACGGCGAGGCCUAGGUAGGGGACGAUGCGGAGCCGGGGAAGACGCGGUAGUGGAAGCCCGCGCGGAGAGGAGUACGAGGGUUCACUGGUUCGGCUGUGGUGUGAGGCUGCCGUCGCCGCAGGGCCUGGCCAGCGGUGGGAAAAGUAGGGGCGGUGAGGCCUCCGCGACAGCACAGCCGGCCACGAGAGGCGGCAGCAUGCGGCUCGACCGGCGCUGCUUUGGGCGGCUGGAGCAAGAAGACCAGAGGUUGAAGAAGCACUACGGCCGUUGGAUGGACAUCGUACGGUUACUGGAGCUAGAAUCAUUCAUAUUGACUAAAGUUUUUAAAGGCCCCCGUCCCAGUCAACUUAGUAGGCCCACAAGUCAACCUCCCACCAUGGUGGGUCCUAGCUAGCAGGGGGAGUAUUCAAUUUUUUGUGCGUAAUAAGGAGGCACUUCCUUGCGUGCGAAGAUAUAGCUGGUGGGUCUGAGCUCUCAGCGGCGGUAACAUUUUUUUCGUGAAAUACAGAGGCCCUUUCGGUGGGUCCCUGAUGUCAGGUGGAGGAAUUAUUAUUUUGCACGUAAUAAGGAAGCAUUUCCUUGCGUGCGGCCGUGGACCCAGCUGUCGGCCUCUCCACGUACAGUCCACUUCAGAUGCAUGUCAGUCGUUGACCACGUUGACCAGGCCGCGCCGAGAGCACCAGGGCGGUGGACGACGGCGAGGCCUACGAAGGGAAGGACACGGAGGCAGGGAAGACUCGGCAGUUGUUUCCCACGCGGAGGGGAGUACGACUGUACGAGGGUUUACUGGUUCGUCUGCCGUCGCCGGAGAAUAACAGGAGGUGUGGGUGAGUAGAGGGAUGGCUAGGCCAGCGAUGGGAGUACUGUGGGGCGGUGAGGUCUGCGCGGCAGCAGAGCCGGCCGCGGGGAGGAGGGAGCAGGCAAGCCCGCCGACGCUUGUUUGAGCGGCUGGAGCAGGAAGAGCAGAGAUUGAAGAAGCACGACGGCCGUUGGAUGGCCAUCCAACAGUCACUUCUUUUGCGUCAACCUUUUUUUAGGAAAGCCUCAAAUCUGUGGAAAACAUCAUACAGCCCAUCUACCAUUAUUUCUAAUAAUUUACAGCCCAUUUGCUAAUUAUUAAGGUUUUUUUGGAGCCCAUAUUCUUUUUGUUAGCAUUACAGCCCAUAUUGUGGCCACGGUUAAAAAAUUAUACGAAAUUUUGCAUAUUUCGGAGCAGUCCGAACUAUUUUUAAUCCCGAAAUUUCGACUCACAUUUAAACUGAUUUUAAAAAUAAAUGUAUAUCAAUAUAAAAUCCAACAAAUUCUCCACGCAUAAAAAUAAUGUAAAUUAAAAUCUCGAAAUGAAAAAAAGAUAUUUGAAACUAAUUGCCGGUUUGAUGUGUUUUAAAAAUGUACAGCCCAUUUCUCAUUACUGAUGGGCCAUUUUCUCGGCCAGCCGAAUGAAAGCUCUCCUCGUCUUGAAAGAUUUGAAGCCCAACAGGCCUGACAAAGCGACUUACUUGGCAUAUCACAAAAAACUGGGCUGUGGCCGUGGACCCAGCUGUCAGCCUCUCCACGUACAGUAAUCUUCCGAUGGAAGUCGUUCCUUGGCCACGUUGACCACGCCGCGCGGAGAGCACCACGGCGGUGGACGACGGCGAGGCCUAUGAAGGGGACGACGCGGAGCCGGGGAAGACACGGCAGUGGAAGCCCGCGUGGAGAGGAGUACGAGGGUUCACUGGUUCGGCUGUGGUGUGAGGCUGCCGUCGCCGCAGGGCCUGGCCAGCUGUGGGAAUAGUAGGGGGCGGUGAGGCCUCCGCAGCAGCACAGCCGACCAUGGGAGGCAAGAGCAUGCGGCACGACCGGCGCUGCUUUGGGCGGCUGGAGCAAGAAGACCAGAGGUUGAAGAAGCACUACGGCCGUUGGAUGGACAUCGUACGGUCACUGGAGCUAGAAUUGUUCAUAUUGACUAAAGUUGAAAAAGGCCCCCAUCCCAGUCAACUUAGUAGGCCCACAAGUCAGCCUCCCACCAUGGUGGGUCCCAGCUAGCAGGGGGAGUAUUCAUUUUUUUUCUUGGUAAUAAGGAGGCACUUCCUUGCGUGCGAAGAUAUAGCUGGUGGGUCCGAGCUGUCAGCGGCGGUAACGUUUUUUUCGCGAAAUUCAGAGGCCCUUUCGGUGGGUCCCUGAUGUCAGGUGGAGGAAUCAUUAUUUUGCGCGUAAUAAGGAGGCAUUUCCUUGCGUGCGGCCAUGGACCCAGCUGUCGGCCUCUCCACGUACAGUCCACUUCAGAUGCAUGUCGGUCGUUGACCACGUUGACCAGGCCGCGUCGAGAGCACCAGGGCGGUGGACGACGGCGAGGACUACGAAGGGAACGACAUGGAGGCAGGGAAGACUCGGCGGUUGGUUCCCACGCGGAGGGGAGUACGACUGUACGAGGGUUUACUGGUUCGUCUGCCGUCGCCGGAGAAUAACAGCAGGUGUGGGUGAGUAGAGGGAUGGCUAGGCCAGCGAUGGGAGUACGGUGGGGCGGUGAGGCGUGCGUGGCAGCAGAGCCGGCCGCGGGGAGGAGGGAGCAGGCAGUCCCGCCGGCGCUUGUUUGAGCGGCUGGAGCAGGAAGAGCAGAGAUUCAAGAAGCACGACGGCCGUUGGAUGGCCAUCCAACAGUCACUACUUGUGCGUCAACCCUUUUUUUAGGAAAGCCUCAAAUCUGUGGAAAACAUCAUACAACCCAUCUACCAUUAUUUUCUAAUAAUUUACAGCACAUUUGCUAAUUAUUAAGGUUUUUUGGAGCCCAUAUUCUUUUUGUUAUCAUUACAGCCAAUAUUGUGGCCACGGUUAGAAAAUUAUACGAAAUUUUGCAUAUUUCGGUGUGGUCCGAACUAUUUUUAAUCCCGAAAUUUCGACUCCCAUUCAAACUGAUUUUAAAAAUAAAUGUAUAUCAAUAUAAAAUCCAACAAAUUCUCCACGCAUAAAAAUAAUGUAAUUUAAAAUCUCGAAAUGAAAAAAAAGAUAUUUGAAACUAAUUGCCGGUUUGAUGUGUUUUAAAAAUGUACUGCCCAUUUCUCAUUACCGAUGGGCCAUUUUCUCGGCCAACCGAAUGAAAGCUCUCCUCGUCUUGAAAGAUUUGAAGCCCAACAGGCCUGACAAAGCAACUUACUUGGCAUAUCACAAAAAAGUGGGUUGUGGCCGUGGACCCAGCUGUCAGCCUCUCCACGUACAGUACUCUUCCGAUGGAAGUCGUUCCUUGGCCACGUUGACCACGCCGCGCGGAGAGCACCACGGCGGUGGACGACGGCGAGGCCUAGGAAGGGGACGACGCGGAGCCGGGGAAGACGCGGCAGUGGAAGCCCGCGCGGAGAGGAGUACGAGGGUUCACUGGUUCGGCUGCGGUGUGAGACUUCCGUCGCCGCAGGGCCUGGCCAGCUGUGGGAAUAGUAGGGGGCGAUGAGGCCUCCGCGGCAGCAGAACCGACCACAGGAAGCAGGAGCAUGCGGCACGACCGGCGCUGCUUUGGGCGGCUGGAGCAAGAAGACCAGAGGUUGAAGAAGCACUACGGCCGUUGUAUGGACAUCGUAUGGUCACUGGAGCUAGAAUUGUUCAUAUUGACUAAAGUUGACAAAGGCCCCCAUCCCAGUCAACUUAGUAGGCCCACAAGUCAGCCUCCCACCAUGGUGGGUCCCAGCUAGCAGGGGGAAUAUUCAUUUUUUUGCGUAAUAAUGAGGCACUUCCUUGCGUGCGAAGAUAUAGCUGGUGGGUCUGAGCUGUCAGCGGCGGUUUUUUUCGCGAAAUACAGAGGCCCUUUCUGUGGGUCCCUGAUGUGAGGUGGAUGAAUCAUUAUUUUGCAUGUAAUAAGGAGGCAUUUCCUUGCGUGCAGCCGUGGACCCAGCUGUCGGCCUCUCCACGUACAGUCCACUUCAGAUGCAUGUCAGUCGUUGACCACGUUGACCAGGCCACGCCGAGAGCACCAGGGCGGUGGACGACGGCGAGGCCUAGGAAGGGAACGACAUGGAGGCAGGGAAGACUUGGCAGUUGUUUCCCACGCGGAGGGGACUACUGCUGUACGAGGGUUUCCUGGUUCGUCUGCCGUCGUCGGAGAAUAACAACAGGUGUGGGUGAGUAGAGGGAUGGCUAGGCCAGCGAUGGGAGUACGUUGGGGCGGUGAGGCCUGAGCGGCAGCAGAGCCGGCCGCGGGGAGGAGGGAGCAGGCAGUCCCGCCGGCGCUUGUUUGAGCGGCUGGAGCAGGAAGAGCAGAGAUUGAAGAAGCACGACGGCCGUUGGAUGGCCAUCCAACAGUCAGUGCUUGUGCGUCAACCUUUUUUUAGGAAAGCCUCAAAUCUGUGGAAAACAUCAUACAUCCCAUCUGCCAUUAUUUCUAAUAAUUUACAGCCCAUUUGCUAAUUAUUAAGGUUUUCUUUAGAGCCCAUAUUCUUUUUGUUAGCAUUACAACCCAUAUUGUGGCCACGGUUAAAAAAUUAUACGAAAUUUUGCAUAUUUUGGUGUGGUCCGAACUGUUUUCAAUCCCGAAAUUUCAACUCACAUUCAAACUGAUUUUAAAAAUAAAUGUAUAUCAAUAUAAAAUCCAACAAAUUCUCCACGCAUAAAAAUUAAUGUAAUUUAAAAUCUCGAAAUGAAAAAAAGAUAUUUGAAACUAAUUGCCAGCUUGAUGUGUUUUUGAAAUGUACUGCCCAUUUCUCAUUACUGAUGGGCCAUUUUCUCAGCCAGCCAAAUGAAAGCUCUCCUCGUCUUGAAAGAUUUGCAGCCCAAGAAGCCUGACAAUGCGACUUACUUGGCAAAUCACAAAAAAACUGGGCUAUGGCCGUGACCCAACUGUCAGCCUCUCCACGUACAGUACUCUUCCGAUGGAAGUCGUUCCUUGACCACGUUGACCACGCCGCGCGGAGAGCACCACGGCGGCGGACGACGACGAGGCCUAGGAAGGGGAUGACGCGGAGCCGGGGAAGACACGGCAGUGGAAGCCCGCGCGGAGAGGAGUACGAGGGUUCACUGGUUCGGCUGCGGUGUGAGGCUGCCGUCGCCGCAGGGCCUGGCCAGCGGUGGGAAUAGUAGGGGGCGGUGAGGCCUCCGCGGCAGCACAGCCGGCCACGGAAGGCGGGAGCAUGCGGCACGACCGGCGCUGCUUUGGGCGGCUGGAGCAAGAAGACCAGAGGUUGAAGAAGCACUACGGCCGUUGGAUGGACAUCGUACGGUCACUGGAGCUAGAAUCAUUCAUAUUGACUAAAGUUGACAAAGGCCCCCGUCCCAGUCAACUUAGUAGGCCCACAAGUCAGCCUCCCACCAUGGUGGGUCCUAGCUAGCAGGGGGAGUAUUCAUUUUUUUGUGCGUAAUAAGGAGGCACUUCCUUGCGUGCGAAGAUAUAGCUGGUGGGUCCGAGCUGUCAGCGGCUGUAACAUUUUUUCACGAAAUACAGAGGCCCUUUCGGUGGGUCCCUGAUGUCAGGUGGAGGAAUCAUUAUUUUGCGCGUAAUAACGAGGCAUUUCCUUGUGUGCGGCCGUGGACCCAGCUGUCGGCCUCUCCACGUACAGUCCACUUCAAAUGCAUGUCGGUCGUUGACCACGUUGACCAGGCCGCGUCGAGAGCACCAGGGCGGUGGACGACCGCGAGGCCUACAAAGGGAACGAUACGGAGGUAGGGAAGACUCGGCAGUUGUUUCCACGCGGAGGGGAGUACUACUGUACGAGGGUUUACUGGUUCGUCUGCCGUCGCCGGAGAAUAACAGCAGGUGUGGGUGAGUAGAGGGAUGGCUACGCCAGCGAUGGGAGUACGGUGGGGCGGUGAGGCCUGCGCGGCAGCAGAGCCGACCACGGGGAGGAGGGAGCAGGAAGUCCCGCCGGCGCUUGUUUGAGCGGCUGGAGCAGGAAGAGCAGAGAUUGAAGAAGCACGACGGCCGUUGGAUGGCCAUCCAACAGUCAGUGCUUGUGCGUCAACCUUUUUUUAGGAAAGCCUCAAAUCUGUGGAAAACAUCAUAUAGCUCAUCUACCAUUAUUUCUAAUAAUUUACAGCCCAUUUGCUAAUUAUUAAGGUUUUUUGGAGCCCAUAUUUUUUUGUUAGCAUUACAGCCUAUAUUGUGGCCACGGUUAAAAAAUUAUACGAAAUUUUGCAUAUUUCAGAGCGGUCUGAACUAUUUUUAAUCCCGAAAUUUCGACUCACAUUCAAAACUGAUUUUAAAAAUAAAUGUAUAUCAAUAUAAAAUCCAACAAAUUCUCCACGCAUAAAAAUAAUGUAAUUUAAAAUCUCGAAAUGGAAAAAAAGAUAUUUGAAACUAAUUGCCGGUUUGAUGUGUUUUAAAAUUGUACAACCCAUUUCUCAUUACUGAUGGGCCAUUUUCUCGGCCAGCCGAAUGAAAGCUCUCCUCGUCUUGAAAGAUUUGAAGCCCAACAGGCCUGACAAAGCGACUUACUUGGCAUAUCACAAAAAAACUGGGCUGUGGCCGUGGACCCAGCUGUCAGCCUCUCCACGUACAGUACUCUUCCGAUGGAAGUCGUUCCUUGACCACGUUGACCACGCCGCGUGGAGAGCACCACGGCGGUGGAGGACGGCGAGGCCUAGGAAGGGGACGACGCGGAGCCGGGGAAGACGCGGUAGUGGAAGCCCGCGCGGAGAGGAGUACGAGGCUUCACUGGUUCGGCUGCGGUGUGAGGCUGCCGUCACCGCAGGGCCUGGCCAGCGGUGGGAAUAGUAGGGGGCGGUGAGGCCUCCGCAGCAGCACAGCCGGCCACGGGAGGCAGGAGCAUGCAGCACGACCAGCGCUGCUUUGGGCGGCUGGAGCAAGAAGACCAGAGGUUGAAGAAACACUACGGCCGUUGGAUGGACAUCGUACGGUCACUCGAGCUAGAAUCGUUCAUAUUGACUAAAGUUGACAAAGGCCCCCAUCCCAGUCAACUUAGUAGGCCCACAAGUCAGCCUCCCACCAUGGUGGGUCCCAGCUAGCAGGGGGAGUAUUCAUUUUUUUCUGUGUAAUAAGGAGGCACUUCCUUGCGUGCGAAGAUAUAGCUGGUGGGUCUGAGCUGUCAGCGGCGGUAACGUUUUUUCGCAAAAUACAGAGGCCCUUUCGGUGGGUCCCUGAUGUCAGGUGGAGGAAUCAUUAUUUUGCGCGUAAUAAGGAGGCAUUUCCUUGCGUGCGGCCGUGGACCCAGCUGUCGGCCUCUCCACGUACAGUCCACUUCAGAUGCAUGUCAGUCGUUGACCAAGUUGACCAGGCCGCGCCGAGAGCACCAGGGCGGUGGACGACGGCGAGGCCUAGGAAGGGAAUGACAUGGAGGCAGGGAAGACUCCGCAGUUGUUUACCACGCGGAGGGGAGUACUGCUGUACGAGGGUUUACUGGUUCGUCUGCCGUCGCCGGAGAAUAACAGGAGGUGUGGGUGAGUAGAGGGAUGGCUAGGCCAGCGAUGGGAGUACGGUGGGGCGGUGAGGCCUGCGCGGCAGCAGAGCCGGCCGCGGGGAGGAGGGAGCAGGUAGUCCCGCCGGCGCUUGUUUGAGCGGCUGGAGCAGGAAGAGCAGAGAUUGAAGAAGCAUGACGGCCGUUGGAUGGCCAUCCAACAGUCAGUGCUUGUGCGUCAACCUUUUUUAAGGAAAGCCUCAAAUCUGUGGAAAACAACAUACAACCCAUCUGCCAUUAUUUCUAAUAAUUUACAGCCCAUUUGCUAAUUAUUAAGGUUUUCUUUGGAGCCCAUAUUCUUUUUGUUAGCAUUACAGCCCAUAUUGUGGCCACGGUUAAAAAAUUAUACGAAAUUUUGCAUAUUUUGGUGCGGUCCGAACUGUUUUCAAUCCCAAAAUUUCGACUCACAUUCAAACUGAUUUAAAAAAUAAAUGUAUAUCAAUAUAAAAUCCAACAAAUUCUCCACGCAUAUAAAUUAAUGUAAUUUAAAAUCUCGAAAUGAAAAAAAGAUAUUUGAAACUAAUUGCCAGCUUGAUGUGUUUUUAAAAUGUACAGCCCAUUUCUCAUUACUGAUGGGCCAUUUUCUCGGCCAGCCAAAUAAAAGCUCUCCUCGUCUUGAAAGAUUUGCAGCCCCAAGAAGCCUGACAAAGCGACUUACUUGGCAGAACACAACAAAACUGGGCUGUGGCCGUGGACCCAGCUGUCAGCCUCUCCACGUACAGUACUCUUCCGAUGGAAGUCGUUCCUUGACCACGUUGACCAUGCCGCGUGGAGAGCACCACGGCGGUGGACGACGGCGAGGCCUAGGAAGGGGACGACGCGGAGCCGGGGAAGACGCGGCAGUGGAAGCCCGCGCGGAGAGGAGUACGAGGGUUCAUUGGUUCGGCUGCGGUGUGAGACUGCCGUCGCCGCAGGGCCUGGCCAGCGGUGGGAAUAGUAGGGGGCGGUGAGGCCUCCGCGGCAGCAAAGCCGGCCACGGGAGGCGGGAGCAUGCGGCACGACCGGCGCUGCUUUGGGCGGCUGGAGCAAGAAGACCAGAGGUUGAAGAAGCACUACGGCCGUUGGAUGGACAUCGUACGGUCACUGGAGCUAGAAUCGUUCAUAUUGACUAAAGUUGACAAAGGCCCCCGUCCCAGUCAACUUAGUAGGCCCACAAGUCAGCCUCCCACCAUGGUGGGUCCCAGCUAGCGGGGGGAGUAUUCAUUUUUUGUGUGCGUAAUAAGGAGGCACUUCCUUGCGUGCGAAGAUAUAGCUGGUGGGUCCGAGCUGUCAGUGGCGGUAACGUUUUUUUCGCGAAAUACAGAGGCCCUUUCUGUGGGUCCAUGAUGUCAGGUGGAGGAAUCAUUAUUUUGUGCGUAAUAAGGAGGCAUUUCCUUGCGUGCGGCCGUGGACCCAGCUGUCGGCCUCUCCACGUACAGUCCACUUCAGAUGCAUGUCGGUCGUUGACCACGUUGACCAGGCCGCGCCGAGAGCACCAGGGCGGUGGACGACAGCGAGGCCUAGGAAGGGAACGACACGGAGGCAGGGAAGACUCGGCAGUUGUUUCCCACACGGAGGGGAGUACGACUGUACGAGGGUUUACUGGUUCGUCUGCCGUCGCCGGAGAAUAACAGCAGGUGUGGGUGAGUAGAGGAAUGGCUAGGCCAGCGAUGGGAGUACGGUGGGGCGGUGAGGCCUACGCGGCAGCAGAGCCGGCCGCGGGGAGGAGGGAGCAGGGCUAGACGGGGCAGCCCAAAACCACGUCCAAAACUUGCCAAAACUUCGUCCCUCGUUUUCUCUGUGUUUCGCACACUCGACAUUGUGUGGGCAUUUUUACUGUGCAGCAUAUGAAGAUGUGCUAUGCAUGAAUGUUGAUCAGCAUGAUGUUAACUGCUGGUAGUUCCAUUUUCGACCAUGAAUAAAACUUCCAACAGGAUGUUAACCCUGUUUGAAAAGGCCGUGUUAAUAUAAAUGCUCUGCCUCUGAAAGUUGUAGUUUCUUAUCUGAAACUGAACUUGUAGUUUCUUAUCUGAAACUGAAACUUGCAGUUUCUUCUCUGAGAAUCACAUUGUCUGCACUUUUAUACUCCUAUGUAACUACAUUUUUUUAAGUGCUAAAAAUAGAUCUCUAGAAUUCAUAAAAUACUUCAUAUGCUCAAUACUGCAAAUCUGAAAUUCAAAAGACAUUCAUAUCUGAAAGUACUCUCAAAAUACACAACACAAAACACAAUUCACAACCUGCAAAUACUGACAACCCUAAGCUCCUCCUGACAAUUCACAACCUGCCCGACUAUUGGGCUGGUGGGGGGGCAGCCCCCUCCUAUUCCUCGGCGGCAGACACCCGUCCCGUGAGACGAUGUGAACGGCGAGGGAGACGAUGGCGGGGAAGCGUCGUCGGGCCAACUGCUUUUCUCCUCUUGCAGUUGGGUUUGGUCGAUGAAGACUCCACCGGCUCGCUCUGGCAGGACACCCUCACAAACGGCACCCUGUAGAUGCUCGAUUCUUCAAUCUCUGGUGGAUGCUCCAUCUGGGAUCGAUACUCCCACCACCGCUCCCUCACGAUCGGAUUCGGUGAAUCUGUUUGCUCCAUGGCCCAGAGGAGCAGCUCUAUGUACUCCGGCGCGACUCCCUCCGGGAGUAUCACCGCCUUUUUGCUCUGUUGCAGAUAUUUGGCCAUGGAUGUCGCCGUCGCUGCUAGUUGGUCCUUGUUGUCAAACCAAGACUGUAUCUCCAACAUCCUAGCUAGCUUCACAAGGUCGCCGUCUGCGAUCCUCACGUAUCGAUUGUACUCCUCCAUCGAUCUACUUCUCCACAGCACCUUCACUCGCCGGCGGUGGUUUUUGAAUGGAAGAGGAGAGGAGCAACGCUGGUUUUGGAUUAGAACGGGAGAGGAGCGACGCUGGUUUUUGACUGGAACAUGAGAGGAGGGGCGGUGGUUUUGAAAUGGAAGAGGAGAGGAGCGGCGCUGCACUUAGAUUGGAACAGGAGAGGAGCGGCGGUGGUUUAAGAGGAGAAGAGCGGAAGAGCGGAGCUGGUCUUGGAAGUAUUUUUUUGUUGUUUUGCGUAUUUUGGGUCAAAGUUUGACCACGUACUGUAUUUGACAAGCAAAAUGUGAAUGCAUGUCACCAAAAAUUGUAUCGUUUGGUUCGUAUCUGAAUGUACUUUCAAAUUAUAUUAUUUUUGCAACGUAUAACAUAUAUUUUAUGUGCGAAGAGAGCAACACUAGCAAGCAAGCGUGGAGGCUCCUGCCUAUAUAGUGGAGUAGUACUAGUUUUCUUUUGUCUACCGGAGCCGGCUUGACCUCGUCAAUGACUGUUGAGAAGUCUUCAUGCACGUGGCCCGGAGGCGCAGUUGUCGUCAUUUUGAUCUGAAGCGCCGGAUUAUAACAUAUAACACGAAAAAAUGCAACAUGACAAGAAAUCAUAACCUCACUGCCCAAAGGAGACAACAUGAAUCCCGACGGACAAACUAGACGAGGAACAAAGCUCAAAUUAAAGAUAAACUCGUAGAAAAGGGGUCCGUCGAUAGAUGUCCUAAUUAACAUAGCCGGCUUGACCUAGAUGGCAGCCGAGUAGUCACUGUUCGUGCAUGUGCCCCCAAUGACUAGCCCAACUCAGUUGUCGCUGUUUAACCCUCGCAGUGAUCCGAAGCACAUGACACCUAAUUUUGCGAGAUGACAAGAAACCUUUUUUUAGAUUUCUCACCACAACUACAGCCAUGUACAACACAGCCUGCACGAUAUGUAGACGAUAGCCAAUCCAGGCGUGUCUGCUGGAGUCCGGUCACAUGCAUGGACGAACUGAUCUUCCGUGUCUUGCAGGGAUCGUCCAGGCACCAACGUAGUACAACACUUCUCUAGUACUAUCGCUCGUCUCCCUCUUCUAUUAAGUCACCCGACUUGCGGGGCCGGGGAGUGUGCCUAUGGUCGGUUCUCAAUUACCGUCCCACAUGUGUGUGCAAACUCAAUAUGACGCGCGUUCCAUUCGGAGAGCAGCGUGCCAGACCGACCGACCGUCUGGGGUGCGACGCGAAUGCGACGGGCGUGCUGUAUACUCCGUACAUGUGUACCGCCGUUUUCUAGAUGCUUUGCUCCAUGGCACGAGCGCAAUCCAUGGAUACAAAAUUAGUAUACUGUAUACUAUUUAAAAGUCGAGGGCGGGGCUUUUCCUGCGCGGUAGGCGGGGCAGUUCCGCCUAGUCGGUUCGACAGAGACGCGAGAAGACGAGGGAGUAGGCUGCUGCAAACGUAGGGCCGUGUGAUUUGACAGCGAGUUACUGCUGGACAGGUGGGGCCCCGUGAUUUGACUUGCCAUUAUCAUUUUAACUGCGGCGCUACGACCGGCAUGAGUCUCCCGAUUCCUGACCACCUCCAUACAGGUGCCUCUCCCAAUGCUCCACCAUGUAGUAGAGGCUGGCUCUUGCAUGAGAGCCCACUUCUCCACUUUUUCCUUGCCUCUCUUUCCUCCACAUAUGCAAAAAUGCCAUGUAAAGCGCACUAUUGUACUUACUUUUACUUGCUCCUACAGGUGCUUAAGCUUGCCACAUAGGCAUAAAGUCUGAUGUGGCAAGUUAAUCAAGAAGAGAGAGACUAGUUUGGUGACCCAAGGAAGAAACGGUGCUAAGCGCGUAUACCUAGGUGAAAAGACAAUUUUGAGUCUAUAGCUAAUUAAAUGAAGCAAACUUAGCAACACCAUUUCAUUGGAAGAGGUCACUCCUUGGCAAAUGCAAUAAAUACUAGUACUCCCUGUGUCCCAUAAUAUAAGAACGUUUUUGGCACUACACUAGUGUAAAAAACGUUCUUAUAUUAUGGGACGGAGGGAGUACGAAGAAAGAGAUAGAGAGGAGUAAAAAAAUUUACACUUAUAGCCAACCUUAUAGCCAACCUUGUCGUAGCAUGAGUGACUAAGUGAUGACUAUGUAUGACAUGCCAACAUCAGAUAGCCUAAUGCACCGUGUUAAAUCUCCAAGGGCGCGACCGCGCGAGCGACGCGACGGUCGUGGUAGGCGCGACCAUGAUACGGCCUGCUGGCAGCCCUUGGAUCUGAGAUCAAACUGUCGCAUGCUAAGUUGCUGAAAAUUUGCAGAAUAACCCUCCAGGAUAGGAUAUUCACCCAUAGGUCUAGAAUCACGCCAUGCAACCGUUCGAUCUCAGAUCCAAGGGCUCUCGGAAGCCCGUAUCAUGGGAGAAUGGAAAGCCACUACCCUGCCGUUUGCACGCUGGCAGUUCGCUCCUACUCGUCCCCGCACGUCCUUCAAUACUACGGCGGUUCGCUCCUAGUCGUCCCAUCCAUUCACAUUACGGCAGUUCCACUAAUCCUAACCCUCCUCCCAAAUCCAUGGCGUCCCAAAUCUCCACGAUCGGCGGUGAGUACAAGGUUAGAACCAUCACCGGCGAUGAGUUCGACGUCAUCUACACCCGUUCUUCCACGACGGUGAAAGGAUGCCUUUCUCGCUUCAGACGCAUGUUCGAAGACUCAGAUGAUGAGUGGGUCGCUGGGCUAGAUGUUGAGUACACCACAGUCCUGGGACGAGAGAAGGAUCUAAAGGACGAAGAGAGGAAGAAGCCCGCUGUGAUCCAGGUUUGCGUGCAUGACUUAUGCUUGGUCUACCACAUAUGCCAUGCCGACGUUGAGUGCCAGGAUUUUAAGGACUUCCUCGAGAGCAACCGCCGUUAUUUUAGUCUGACUAAAAAUAGUCUCUUUAAGAGGCUAAAGUUCCAAGCACCCCUAACUAAAGAGGGGCUAAAACUAGUCUUGAGACUAAAUUUUUUUAGUCAGGGGUACCCCUACUAAAAUGUGGAUUAGUCCUCUCUCUACUCAUUUAACUCCUCUCCUUUAACACAGGCGAGUUCUGGAUUGGAGGGUUUGGAGGAUAAUAAAUGCUCAUUAACUUGAUUUUAGCCUUUUUAGUAUUUGGAUCCAAGCAUGGGUGAGGCUAGCAUGUUUUAGUCCCACUACUUUUAGUCGUGGGACUAAAACGUAUCCAAGCACCCUCUUAGUUUUAUUUGAGGGGUGGGUUGUGCUGGACACCAUUAUUGUGACUAGCCUUUUUAAUAGUACUAUAUGCAUAAUUUGGCGAUGAGCGCUCUCUAUAAGUACUACUAGCAACCCACGAUUUAACUACUCGCAUGCGCGCAGUGGAGUAAUAAUGUCUUUCUUCCGCCUCACGUCCACUCAAUUUGCAUGCGCUGUAUUAAUUGACCAUCAAUGAAGUGAACGACUUUACACGCGUCAAAUUAUCUGGGGUGGAUCUUGGUACAAAAUUGCAUCCACCCCUGUACCCGCGUGUGCGUGCGUGGCGUGCGUGCACAUCUUCGCUUCGUGCAUGUACCGCCAGUAUGGCUCAGGGAGGAUGAGUACAUUCUUCUGGAACCAGCAGCAUGUCACUGUGAUCAAUCCACGCAAGGAGGUCGCGACAACGCCUCCACAUGUGCCACAUGGCUUCAUGAACUGUAAGAGAGACACUGUGUAGCGUGCCAUUGGUAUUCUAAUUUACGUGUUUUGCACAUACUCGAAGUACUAGUAAGGUACACGUGCAUUGCACGCAUCAGAUUUUGCAACCAAAUUAUGAAUAAAUACCACACUGUAGCAUUUAAGCUCUGAGUCAUAUAUGCCUGAUGUAGCCCUUCGUUUAAUUCUUAUAGUUCAUCUCAUUCAAAAUCAAUUAGUUUUUAUAAAAAAGCAAAGAACACGGGAAUAGGAAAAACAUGGGAUUAUAGUGGAAUGUCGUCUUGAAUCCUACAGGAUUGUACGAGUGUUUGAUUGUGCAUAGAAAAAACGCAGAAUUCUUUCAAAGAGGUUUGAGUGGAUGGGAUGUUUCCUAUGAAAUCUAGUGCAAAUGAAUCAUAUGGAAAAAUUCCUAUGGUUUACAAUCCUACGAAUCAAACAACCAAGAUAGGAAAAACUCCUAAUGAUUAGAAUCCUCCAAAAUUCCUUUGAGAAUCCUUUGAAUCAAAGAAGCCCUUAAUCUAUUUUAUGAUUCAUGGAAUUGUGCGUUGUAAAGCAUAAAGUAAAAACAAAUAAUGGGAAUUCAACUAGAAAAAAAGUUUGGGCAGUUAUGAUACGGAAGAUUCUAGAACAAAAGAGAACCACUGUUGUUUUGAGGUUUGUGCAUUAUGCUUAAGUUCAACCAUGGAGUCUGCUAGAUUGUACAUGUGGCAAAAUCCGGUGGGGGGCUAGAAGAUGGUGCGAGGGGCCGAGUGGAGGGAGACUAUGAAGGAAUGCACAAGUGCGAGAUCGAUAUUUAGUGAGAGGGGGCGAACAUGUGCGCUGUUGCGCGCAGUGGCGGAGCCAUGAAAAAUAAAUGAGCUAGGGGGCCAAGCAUUGCUAAUCCUUUACGAGGAGGGUCAAUUCAUGAACUUAAACCAUUUUUAGCAGCAAUUGUCAAACGAUCACAUUCAUAUUAGCCUCGAGAUAUAGUGAUGUUAGGGGGGAGGGGGGCAGGGCCCUUACUGCCCCAUGUCUUCGCCAUUGUGCACGCGUCUGAGAGAUGAAGCGGAAGGCAUGGAUGAUGAGAGGGGGACGUUGGAUAUAUAAUUAAUGCGGGUGUAUUAGCUAUAUAUGUUAAUCCUAUAUAGAGAGGUAUAGAUUGAUCGAUGUGGACGUGGGAAAGAGGGUGAGACCUCACUGGAUAUAUCGAUUGAUCGGUUUGUGUGGAAAACUAUGAAAGACCUAGCUAUAUACACACAUACAUAGAGGAACAUCGAUCGUUGCGCAUGCACGCGUGAGAGAUAAAGAAUGCCCGAUAUGAUGGAGAGGGGGAUGUGUGUGGGUGUGUGCCUUCAUGGGAGACCGACCUGAAGAAAAAGAUUGUAUGCGUGCGAUGGAUAAUGCCGACUGGUAGUGUGUGUGCAUGCAUGCAUGAGAGAAAGUUAGUAGUACAAUUAUAAAGAGAAGACUACUGUGUGGGUGUAAAAGAAUAGGUGAGGUCAUAAUCAAUGUAAAGUUGAAUUCAAAUAUUUGAAUAAGAGAUCCUGAUGUUUGAAACCCAUGCAUGCAUGAAUAUAACGGAGAUCUGCGCGGUGUGGUUUGGAAACGAGCAUGUUGUAAUGUAUACACAUUGAACAAGGUCAGACUGAUUUGAAUUUGAGAUACCGAUGGCAGACAUCAUUUGGCCACGUCGCAUCCGUGCAUGGACACACUAUUCUAAUUGGAGAUGAUGGGCGGCUUUCGCAUCACAUAUCUAUAUCUAUACCCCUAUAUAUAUAUAUAUAUUAUAUUUUACAUUUUUUUAUAUUGUGUGCGGGUAACUUUAACUUUGAAAGAUGGUCGUUGGAUGAGGCGAAUCCGAUGGUCCAAAGAUGGCAAAUUUGAGCACUGCUGGCCGUUGGAUAUCAUCUAGAUUCCACCAGAUUUCGCCACAUGUAUAAUCUAGAAGACUCCAUGGUUGAACUUAAGCAUAAUGCACAAACAUCAAAACACAAGCACUUCUUAUUUGUUCUAGAAUCUUCCGUAUCAGAAUUGCCCAAAUGUUUUUCUACAUGAUUUGCCAUUAUUUGUUUUUACUUUAUGUCUUACGACGCACAAUUCCAUGAAUCUUAAAAUAGAUUAGCUUUCUUAUAAAAACUAGAUGAUUUUGAAUGAAAUGAACUAUAAGAAUUAAACGAACAUCUACAUCAUGCAUAUAUGACUCAAAGCUUGCAUGCUAUAAUGUGGUAUUUAUUCAUAAUUUGGUUGUCAAAUCUCAUGCGUGCAAUGCACGUGUACCUUACUCUAGUAUAAAUGGUGUUUGUGUGUGUUGUGCGUGUUGAGGUGCAAAUUGUCUUUUUUUGGGUACACAUUAAGCUUGUUCUUCCGAAAUUUCAAACCGCGCCUUGUUAUGCCGAAAAUUCAAGCUAGCGUCUCUGUCUAUCGUGCUGCGAAACUCCCGCCUCUUCAACCCGCACCUUGUUAGCCCGAAAUAUUUAAGAUAUAUCUUUGUCUCGUUGUGCUCCGACAACUCCGCGCCUUGCUAUUCCGAAAUUACAACGCGCGCAAAAACUCCCACCUCCUGAAAUCCCGACACGCGAAAUGCCCGUGGUACCCCUGAACCGAAAGAACCGCCUCAAAUCAGUGGGGGUACUUUCGUAACUUACCCCACAUUUCGGACAAGCGCGUCUCUAAGCCAUGGUUCCCCACUGCCAUCCCAUCCGCCCACCCAUUCGUACACCGAGGCCGCGAAAACCCGCGACAAAACCCCACACCCUGCUCCGUCCACCACCCAGCCGGAGCCUCUUCCCCGACGACGUCGUCCAUAGCAACACCUCGACGUCCCUCAUCCACCGUACCGGAUGAGGAUCUGUCGUCGAUCUCAUCGUCCCGCCGGCUCAACCACCCCGUCCUCCACCUCCAAGGAGCCGCCCCAACGUUCCCCUCGUCUUUCGCGCCACCUCCAUUCCCACACCGCCGUCUUCACCUGCACCACCGAUAGAGCAUCAUCAUCACCGUUUCCUCGGAUGAAGCUGCGGCCUAAUCGGCGCCACCAAAGAGGUUGUACACUAAUCGCCGCAUUUUCUUCUUGAUUCGAUCUCACGGUGCUGCCGGCGCUCGGUCCCGAGCCGACAUGGCGCGGCUCCAUCUACGGCGGCGUCGCCGGCCACUUCCUCCACGGCGUCGCUCCCUCGGCGGCGACGUCCACAUCAGUUGGAGCUGCAGCUGCUUUAGCUCUCGCUCGCGCUGCUGCUUUGCUGUUGCUCUCGGUCCCCUGCCUAGUCUGCUCUUGCUAUUGCUCUUGCUCGCGCUGCUGCUCUCGCUCUUGCUCGCGCUGCUGCUCUCGCUCUUGCUCUUGCUUGCAAUGCUGCUCCGAUUUAGCUACACUUCAGUCGACUGAAUCGACUUUGGGUCAGUCNNNNNNNNNNNNNNNNNNNNNNNNNNNNNNNNNNNNNNNNNNNNNNNNNNNNNNNNNNNNNNNNNNNNNNNNNNNNNNNNNNNNNNNNNNNNNNNNNNNNNNNNNNNNNNNNNNNNNNNNNNNNNNNNNNNNNNNNNNNNNNNNNNNNNNNNNNNNNNNNNNNNNNNNNNNNNNNCCCCACUAUCUAUCUUAGGGUUCAGGAUGGGGGCGGUGGUCGCCGGCGGUGGCGGGGCGGUGGCGUGGGGAUCGCCGGAGAAAAAGCUCGGCACGGGGGGGCCUAGAGGGAUGGCCGGGGCGGCGGCGGACCGGUGGUGGGGAGUGUUUUCGGGGCGGGCGGGGCGGCGCAUCGCCGGCCGCGGGCGGCGGGGGGCUGCUGUUUGGCCGGUGGUGGCUGGCGGCUCAGGGGGGUGGAGGUUGAAGAUGAACCACAUGCCCUUGAUUUCGUAUCCAACGGCUGCAAAAUCGACUGACCAGAGAUGAAAAAGUCAGUCGACCGACGUGUAGCCUCACCUUGCUAGUGCGUUCAGUUUCGACCGCAAAAUUCAGUUUCGACAGCAAAAUUCAGUUUCGACAGUUAAGUUCAGUUUCGACAGUUAAGUUCAGUUUCGACAGUUAAAUUCGGUUUCGACAGUUAAGUUCAGAGAUGAGCGGCUGAUGUAUUUUACAUCUAGCACUUUGUGGUUAUGUAUUUUACGUCAUGUAUUGGAGAUGCUAUUAGAAUUCCACUCAGGUUAACGUUGUUCGUUGUCUCUCUUGUCCUGCUUCAGCCUCGGCGUCGUACAACUCACCGGAGCUGCUCCAACGACGAAACCCUCCAUCACAGCGGAGCAGUACCUCGGGCUCCAUCUCCAGACGCCUAAGAUCUUCUUCCCCUCCUCCGACAGCCAAGUCAGCCGGAGCAUCCUCACCGGCCAACCCAAUCACGCUGAGAUCGACAUGGCUUCACCAAAGAGGUUGUACACUUGUUGCAUCUCUUUUUUACUCUACAUGUUAUAUAUAUAUUGUCCACUGAGCACUCGUAGUAACGGGAAAUACGAUUAUUUUAUCCUACUAUAUGACAAGCAGUGAGGUACCAGGCAACAUAGCUAUCCGUGAUGGACUCUCUUGAACGCCGUCAUUAUUUAUCUCUGCGUGUUUGAGCUAUGCAUUUGUCGAUGGGCCUGGGAGUUGAGCUAGUAUGGCAGUGGCCUGGGUCCAAAGUAAUAGAAGUAGCACAAAAACAUUUUUUUAGUGUAGGAUUUUCCUUGCUCAAGCCUGCCUACUAGAAUCGCCAGUGCUUGAAAGGAAAAGUGAAUGAAAAACAUCGGAAUUGGAAAGUUUCCUAUGGUACUACUUUUCAUGAAUUUGGUGCAAAGGAAUGGAGCAAAGGAAAACUGUAGGAUUUGUUCCUUUAGUGUCUCCUUGAAAGAAAAACCGUAGGAAUUCUAAUUUCCACUUCUCCUCCUUUUCAUAUUCCUAUUCAUCAAGCACAAGACUAAGAGAUAGUAGCAUAAUAGCAUUAUAACCGUACAUUUUCUUGUGGUUUGACUUAAUCUCACCAUGCUUUUUUGCAUCCUGUGAUCUUCCAAUUGUUGUGAAUCAAACACCCAGAUUGGCAGAAAUCCUGUGUUUUUAAAUUCUCUGUUUUGCACAUGCAUUCCUAUCCUAUUCCUGUCUAUUUCCUAUCCCUGCAUUGUUAGAAUCCUCAAAUUCAAACAAGCCCUUACUCAAUUACUUUUGUUACAGAUAUGUGUCAAAGAAAACCUUGUGUGGUCUGUCCUACUCCUGCGGCGCUGUGUUCCACCCUAGCUCAGCUGCUCCAACGAUGGAAGGGUUCACCACAGCAGGGAUCCGCUCUCCAGACUGUGUUUCGCCGCCUCAGAUCUUCUUCCCCGCCGCCGGCAGCCACGGCAACUGCAUUACCAUCAUCAACUGAGCAGAUGACCUUGAGGACUACACGGGUCCGCAAGAGAGGUCGCACUCUUCCAUGUCUGCUUACAUUAUGCGUCGCUUAAUAUGAUGACAUGCUACAUUAUCGUCGUGUUCACCUAUUAGACUCCGAGUCAGGUCCAAACUAAUGCUGAAACUUGAGUUUUUAAAUGGUUGUGGGGUACAUAUUGGGGCAACAAUCAGUACUAUCUGUCUACUAUCUGGUUAAUCUCCGGUGUCUACUAUGAGUUUCAUAUUGGGUGCAAACAAACAUUAAAGGAGCCAUUAUCUGUAUUUUUUAACUAAAGCUAUUAUCUGCCUGCUAUCAUUGGUUUUGGGUCUAUGCACAGUUUGCUACCAUCACUCUGGAUUUGUGCAUGCACUCCUUACAUAAUCUCACUAUGUUUUAUUCCUAUGCAUGCCAGUUAUUGUACACAAUGGAACUGAUCAUGUAGAGCAAAAGAGACGAGCCUUGCGUGGCAAUAAAAUUUCAUGCAGACGUCGUUCCAUGGUGGGUGCAAAGGUAGCUCCCCUCCACCCAUUUCGGAUCGUAAUCAAGAGGAAGAUAACUGUUCUGAGGGGGAUUCAGAAGGAGAAGACCACUCCUAUUUACCCCAUGAGGUCUUCGCUCUAACUUGGCAUGCUGAUGUUGGUAAUAUCAUGCAUAUGGUGCCUUGCAUUGCUUACUGUAUACAUUAAAGAUGUCAUCUGCUUAGUUUAGACAUGCUUUGUGUCAAUGCCAUCUGUUUAGUUUCUUUAUCGUAUAUGUGAAUCAUGCAAUGCCAUCUUGUCUAGCCAGGCAUCAUAUAUGUGAAUUUUACAAUGCCACCCUGGUUAGCCAGUCAUCUUAUAUGUGAAUUAUAUCAUGCCAUCAUUUUUUUAUUACGUGUUAAAUUUGUCAACAAUUUUAGUACAUUCAAUUACUCUUCCUGUGCAUCAGCCAUUCGGCACGGUCAUGGAAAAACCUGGAGUGGAAACAAGGUCUUCAGAGCAGACAAUGCUAUCUGACGAAGCGCAUGUCUUCCUGGUUAUCGAUAGCUCCUCAGAGGAGGAUUCAGAGACAGAUGACCAGUCAUAUUUCCCCCCGUGGUGCAUGCCCUAACUUGGCAGGGUUAUGUUGCUCAUAUCGUGCGUAUGGUAUCUUGCAUUGCUAUGUCAUUUGCUUAGUUUAGACAUGCUUUGUGUGAAUGCCACCUGUUUAGUGUCUAAUUACCAUAUAUGUGAAUUAUGCAAUGCCAUCUUGUUGCAAGACAUUAUAUAUGUGAAUUAUGCAAUGUUAUCUUGUUGCAAGGCAUUAUGUAUGUGAAUUAUGCAAUGCCAUGCUGUUUAGGCAAGCGUCAUAUAUGUGAAUUAUAUCAUGCCGUCCUUUUUUUGUAUUUCUCAUUGCUUUUGUCGACAAUGUUUGUAUAUUCAACCGCUCUUCCUGUGCAUCAGCCAUUUGAAUUGGUGAUGGAGAAAUCUGGAGUGAAAACAAGGUCUUCAGAGCAGACAAUGCUACCUGCUGAAGCAGAUAUCUUGCUGGUUACAGAUAGCUCUUCAGAGGAGGAUUCAGAGGCAGAUGACCAGUCCUAUUAUCCCCCUGAGGUGUAUGCACAAACUUGGCAGGGUUAUAUUACUCAUAUAAUGCAUAUGUUGUAUUGCAAUGCUUAGUUUUUACAUCAUAUACACAAUAUUAAAUGCCAUCUCCUUAGUUGACACAUCAUAUAUGCGAUUGCCCUCUGCUCACUUCCUUAGUAUAUAAAUCAUAUAUUUGAAUUAUGUCAUGCCAUGAUGUUUACAUAGACAACAUGUAUCUGAAUUAUGGCAUGCCAAUCCAUUUUCUAAAGACAUAAUAUAGUUAUAUCAUCUCAUCCUGUUUACAUAGUCAUCAUAUUUUAAAUUAUGUCAUUCUAUCCGUGAAUUAUAUCAUGCCAUCAUGUUUCCAUCGACGGCAUGUUUGUGAUUUAUGGCAUGCCAACCACUUUAAUAGACACAUCGUAUAGUUAUAUCAUGUCAUCCUGUUUACAUAGUCAUCAUAUUUUGAAGUAUGUCAUUCUAUCCUGUUUAGUUAGCCAUCAUACAUGUGAAAUUGUGUCAUGCUAUCCUGUUUAAUUAGCCAUCAUAUAUGUGAAAUUAUGUCCUACUAUUCUGUUUGCUUAGACAACAUAAAUGUGAAUUAUUUCAUGCCCUGUUUUCUUCCCUACUAUCCAUUGCACCUGUCUAUCUUACAAUGUCUGUACAUUCAAUUACUUUUCUUGUUUAUCAGCCAUUUCAAUUGGAGGGAGUGAUGGCAGUAUCUGUGGGAGUAAAAACACGGUCUUCAGAAAAGAUCAUGCUACCUGUCGAUGCAGAUAGAACCACGGUUGUACUUGCCCAAGAACCAGCCCCACCACACAUAACCCACACUCAUGCAGAUUGUACCCCUACCCAGUUGGAUAGAGAACCAGCUACACCCCUUCUAACCCCAACCCCAGCAGAUAGACACCCAGUUCCCGUUGACACAGCACCAUCUCCACCACAGAGCACACCCAAACACGAGUAGUUAGUAAGGCAACUGCAGUGCCCAAAUCACGAGGACCACCACUCCGAACCCGAAGUCAACGCUUAAAGCAGAAGAAGAAUUGUUCUCAGGUCAGGUUUCGUAGCUAUGGUUCAUACUACUUUGCUCCUGCAUCACUGUGUUUACUGAUACCAACUAAUUUCAAAUUUGAAGGAUGCAAUUGAAACUCCAAUGGCGCAACAGGUAUGUUUUAAACCUGUUUCUUCAACGUGUUUGGCUGUUUGCUGUUGUAACUUGCUCUAUGUUGAUUUCAAUUUCAAUUGAAUAAACAGUUAUGUUCUCAUGCCAUGCACAUUACAAGUGUUGUUAUUGCUGUGUAGUUUCCCACACUUAUAUUCUGUCUAUGCUGCUUUGUCUUAAAUAGAUAUGAUUCGAACUGUAUCUAUCUUGAUUUGGCAACAUAAACUAGAAUGAUAUAGACCAUACAGUGACCAUACUACAUAGAUAUAUGUUUGUUUCAUGCUGUUAUCCUGUCCACCUUACUACUGAACUGGUUUACCAAAUUGAGUUUCAUAUACUACAUUGUAAACCUGAGAUGUGUUUGUUUGUUUCUCUUUUAGAACGCGGAUAAAAUAUUGGAGAAGAGUACCCUGUUAUGCAAUGGUAAAGGAAGUAAUGCAGAUAAGGUUCAAGAUAGUGAGACAUCCCUGUUGGUCUCCAAGAAAGCUGAUAAAAACUAUAUUGAAGACACUGAGACAACCCCAAAGUCCUGUCUUGAUGUAGUGUUCGAGUUACUGGCUACCACUGCUGGCACCAGCUCUUCGAACUCGUUGCCUGAAUCAGUUCGGCUUCUUGAGUCUCAACUUCAAGUUGAAAGACAUCGAUCAGAUGUUAUGUGACAGGAAGCCGAAGGACUGAGGAAGUCCCUGCAGAAUUCAGAUGCAUACUUUCUGGUGCAACAGCAAGCGCUGGAGGACUUAAGCGCCAAACAAGAGAAAGUUAAUAAGCUUGCUAAGCAUCUUGCCAGCAUUAUGGGUACCCAGGAUAUUGUUUCUUGAGCUCUUCUGAAGUGGUUUCAGUUCUGGACUUGUUUUGCUGCGGCGUUUAUAUGCUGCUGUGUUCCCUAUAUUUGCACUGGUGGCGAACUUUGAUGCCCAGUGGAUGUAAUAUGUGUAAUAGCCGUGAUAGCCUAGUGUAAGUUGCUUGCUUAUUUAUUUCCUUGUUGUCUUGUUUAUUUGUUUGCUUGUAGUCAGUACAGUUCUUUUUCUGCGGUUUGCUAGUGGCUACAAUAACCUAUUUUUUAAAACUAGGCCACAAUAACCAUGGGCUAAUAUUUACUGUAGUGACACUGGGCCUCCUACGGGCCGUAGAAACAGUGGGCCUUCUACGGGCCGUAGAAACAGUGGGCCUUCUACGGGCUGUAGAAACAAUGGGCCUUCUACGGGCCAUAGAAACAGUGGGCCUUCUACGGGCCAUAGAAACAAUGGGCCUUCUAUGGGUCGUAUCAUCAAUGGGCCUUAUACGGGCCGUAUGAUCGAUUGGCCAAACAUGGGCCAAACUGACCGCAUUCUGGCCGUAACCGGGCUAGAGUUGGAGAGUUGGAAUCGUCCAUUCAUGGGCCGACCAUAACGGGCCAUCGUUAAUAGGCCGUAUUUGAUGACGCUAUGAAAACGGCCCAACAUAUUAACGGACCACAAACGGGCCGACUGUAACCACGGGCUGAAUUUGGCCCACAAGUAGAAAAUGACAGUAACGAGCCGUAAGUAAACGAAUGCUGGAAAAUAGCCCAAGAAUAAAUGGGCUCUGAGAAGGCCGAAAGAUAACAUGGGUUGGAAACGGCCCAACGGAAUGACGGGCCAUUAAUGGGUAUAAAGUGAUACACUGUUCUUUACGAGCCAGUUUCACCACGGGCCGUUAAUGGGUGUAAAGUGAUACACUAUUCAUUACGGGCCAGUUUCACCACGGGCCGAAAGACGUCAUGGGCCAUACAUGGGCCAGAAGUGAAAAUGGGCUGGAAUCAUAUUGGGUGGCCCAGAUGACGCUACUGGGCCUAAUUCGAAUAGGGCGUAACGGGCCUUGGGUUAGCGGGCUGUAAAUGGGCUAUAUGCGAACAGGCCGUUAACAGGCUUUCCAUGGCCCGGCCCGCCACCUUUUGACCAAGUCAAACGGGCCGGCCUUUUCACAGGAAUGGGCCUCUGUUGGGCCGUGCCACGUGUCGACGCAUCAUAGGCGCCUUCUGUCCAAUGAGUGGAUGACAUCUGUCCCAGCGAUGAGCCGACACGUGUUUCCUCCAGCCAAUGAUGAUUUUACACAUGGAAAAUCCCCAUUGGUCGGGGCUGUUAACGGGUUAUCGGAUCCAAAACCUGACCUAAUAGCUUAACGGCGUUCCAUUACGGUGGAUGCCACGUGUCGGUCACCCUUGACGAAAGCACUUCUGUGACGCGCGAUUUAUCGUCAUGGAAGUGGACACUUCGGUGAUGAUAAUUUUGGUAAUGUCAUGGAACACUUCUACGACAGCACAUGUAUGACUAUCUUGAUUCUGUCAUAAAUUUGUCAUGGAUGUACAUGCAUGACAAAAAACGCGACCUACUGUGACAAACACGUAUCAUCACGGAAGUGUAUUUUUUUUGUAGUGUCUUUUGCAACGCGAGGAUGAGCUGGUUGUCGUCGAGGAAUUUGAUCAGCAUUUUCUUCAGGUGCAUUAGCUCGACGUUCUUCACGUUCUGGAAUGAAUUCUUCAGCAGAUUCUUCGGUAGGAAUGACAUCCUCAGUAGCCUUGAACUUGAUAGUUUCCUCAGGUGCUGGUUCAUCUAUCACAGAAGGUAGGUUCUCUAUUGGGUUUCUUGUCAGUGAGGAGUUCAUAGGCAGUCUUCUUGAAGAAUUUGUGAAGAUAUACUCUGUUGAUGAUAUGACACGCAGUAUCAAUUGCAUCAAUCCAGAAACGACGAGGUGUUUUGUAUUCAUCAAGCAUAGUGCGAGCCAUCUCAGCAAGAGUCCUAUUCUUGCGCUCCACGAUGCCAUUCUGCUGAGGAGUAUAAGGAGCAGAUAACUCAUGAGUAAUACCAAGUUCAUCAAGAUAGUCAUCGAGACCAGAUUUCUUGAACUCAGUUCCAUUGUCACUUCUGAUGUGCUUGAUCUUCACACCAAAGUUGGUUGAAGCCCUCGAGGAAAAUCGUUUGAAGACUUCCUGCACUUCAUGUUUGUAAGUAACAAUGUGUACCCAUGUGUAGCGAGAGUAAUCAUCAACAAUAACAAAGCCAUAUUGAGAUGCAUCAUUUGAAACUGCAGAAUAAUGGUUAGGACCGAAGAGAUCCAUGUGAAGCAAUUCAAAUGGUCGAGUAGUAGUCAUGAUAGUCUUUGCUGCGUGCUUAGCCUUUGUCAUCUUCCCAGCUUCACAGGCUCCGCAUAAGUGAUCCUUGAGGAAUUUGACAUUCUCAAUGCCGAUGACAUGCUUCUUCUUUGCAAGCGUGUGCAAAUUCCUCAUGCCUGCAUGACCAAGUCGUCGAUGCCAUAGCCAGCCUUCUGAAGCUAUUGCAAGUAGGCACACGGCUGGUUGAGGUCCUAUAGAGAAAUCAACAAUAUACAAGUCUCUUCUCCUAAAGCCUUCGAAGACUUUGGAAUUGUCAGCUUCCAUAACCACAACACAAUGAUACUUGCCAAAGAAAACAACCAUAUCAAGAUCACAAAGCAUUGAGACGGACAUGAGGUUGUAUCCUAAGGACUCGACAAGCAUGACUUUGUCCAUGUGUCUAUCCUUUGUGAUCACAACCUUACCUAGACCCAAUACCUGACUUUUGCCUUUGUCAGCGAAGAUGAUAUGCUUCAGAUGCGAUGGUGAUAAGGGAGCAUCCAUCAAUAGAUUCUUGUCACCAGUCAUGUGAUUUGUACAUCCACUAUCGAGGACCCACUCAGUGGCUUUGGGUUGAUCAUCCUGCAGAUGAAUUAGUACAGCUUACGAACUCAUAUACUUCAUCAGUGAAGAAUAUGACAUCAAUUCAUCAGAUCAAUUUCAUCAAGCAACAGAACAGAUAAAGCAAUAUGAGGACGUGAGAAAUGAAAGUUCAUUUCUUCAUGAUUAGCCUGCGUCCUUUCAGGCACUUUUCAGGUCUCCAGCAAAUUCUUCAGACGUUCACGCACGUCUGGAGACUUGACCCUGCAGAAGAGAUUAGUUCUUUUUCUUCACCACACACAUCUGAAGGGGUGGCAAAGAGUUCAUCACUCUGCGAGCUCCAUACGAGAAAGGUGGCAUAGAAGCCAAUCCAUUUCGUUUCACAUAAGAGGAGUUAGGGUAAGCAUAUGAAUAAGCAGAGAAAUUCUUCGAGGACUUAUGAACAUAAUGGUUAGAAGAAUAAUGCUCAUAUUCAUAGUCCUUAGCUCUUCCCUGCGAAACAGAGUUGUUAGCACGAUGAUAUUCAUAUGAGGACUUUCAUCCUUUUGAGGAAUUUGAUCCACGUGAGGAAUUUGGUCCGUAUGAGGACUUGGAUCCAUAUGAAGAAUUUGGUCCAUAUGAAGAAUUUGAUCUGGGGUUCCUAUUCUUCAUGGGUGGUGUCAUGAGGACAUUCACCUGAAGACUUUCAAGGCAUCUUUUGGGAACCCAGAUUUUCUUCAUAGGGGAACCGUUCCUGCAGUUAGUGCCAACAUAUCUAGCAAAUACUUCACCAUUCUGAUUUUUGAACAGUUUAUAAUUGGAGUCAAAUGACUCAUCAGAAGAAUGAGAAGAUUCACAUGUAAAGCCAGAUAAAUUAGAUGGGUCAACUGGAGGACCCUUUGCAGCAACCCAUGAGGUUUUGGGGUACUGCUCAGGCUUCCAAUAUGUAUCAUCAGCAUUGAGUUUCCUCUCAAAGGCAAUACCCUCUUUCCUAGGGUUCUUGUUGAGGAUCUACUUUUUAAGCACAUCACAAAGAGUCUGAUGCCCUUUGAGGCUUUUGUACAUGCCUGUCAUGUACAAUUCCUUCAGCACUGCAUCGUCAGUGAUACUAGCAAUGUCCUCAGAUGAGGAAUUAGUGAUAGCAGAGGCAGGUGAAGAAUUUGUAACAUUAGAAGCAUUUGAACAUUCAGGUGAAGAUUUAGCAUAUUCACGUUCAAUGCAUUUCAAACAUGGAGGAACAAAUUCUUCCUGAGAAGCGCUGAUUUGUUGAGCAAGUAAUGAAUCGCGCUCCUUCUGAAGAUCUUCAUAACUCACUCUUAGCUUUUCAAUAUCUUGCUUUCUUUGAAGAAAUUCAUAAGAAAGCUUCUCAUGAUCAGAUAAGAGAGUGUUAUGAUGACCUUGAAGGUUGUCAAACCUAGUCUGAAGUCUCUGAAGAUUUUCAGUCAAGGUUUUAGUGCGAUCCAUUUCUUCACCCAACAUAUCAUCACUUUUGUCUAGCAUGUUUUGAACCUUUUCAAAAGCCCUUUGUUGUUUCACAGCAAUCUUAGAAAGUUUAGAAUAGCUGGGCUUGAGAUUUUCAUCAGAUUCAUUCUCACUUGAUUCAGAGGAGGUAUAUUUGAGUACCUUGGCACCCUUUGCCAUGAAGCAAUAGGUGGGAGCGUAGUCAUCAUUGCCUUCAUCAGCCUUGUUGGUGAGGUCAUUUUCUGCAGUGUUGAAGAUAGACUUGCUGACGAAUGCAGUAGCGAGGGCUAGGCUCGCCACACAGGAUUCGAACUCCUCAGAUGCCUCCUCUUCCUCAUUUUCUUCAGAUUAAGCCUCAGAGUCCAUUUCCUUGCCAAUGAAUGCCCGAGCCUUCUUGGAGCUGCUCUUCUUGUGAGAUGAAGACUUCGAGGAUUUUGAUGAUGAAGAUUUUGAGGAUUUCUUCUUUUUCUUCGCAUCAUCAGAACUGUAAUCCUUGUAUUUCUUCUUCUUUGAUUCCUUUCCCACUGAGGACAGUCUUGAAUGUAGUGUCCAGGUUUCUUGCAUUUGUGGCAAAGCCUCUUCUUGUAGUCACUGGAUGAGGAAUCAUUGCUCCUUGAGGGUCUUCCAAAGCGACCACGUCUUGAGAACUUCUGGAAUUUCUUCACGAGCAGUGCUAGCUCAUGACUCAGCUCUUCAGGAUCACCAAGGCUACUACCAGAAUCUUCAUCUCCAGACUCAGAAACUGCCUUGGCCUUUAGUGCACGUGAUCUGGCAUAGCUCGAACCAUAGAGAUCUCUCUUUUCAGCAAGCUGGAACUCAUGAGUAUUUAGCCUCUCGAGGAUAUCAGCGGGAUCAAGUGACUUGUAAUCAGCAUGUUCUUGUAUCAUCAAUGCCAGAGUAUCAAAUGAGGAGUCAAGCGAUCUCUGCAAUUUCUUCACCACCUCACGGUCGGUGAUGUCAGUGGCACCAAGCGCUUGAAGCUCAUUUGAGAUGUCAGUGAGGCGAUUGAAGGUUUGUUGAACAUUUUCAUUGUCAAGUCUUUUGAAGCGGUUGAAGAGAUUGCGAAGAACAUCAACUCGAGAGUCACGCUGUGUUGAGACUCCUUCAUUGACUUUGGACAGCCUAUCCCAGAUAAGCUUAGCAGUUUCCAAAGCACUCACUCUUCCAUACUGUCCUUUGCUCAGAUGGUCACAAAUGAUAUUCUUUGCUUGAGAAUCGAGUUGCUUGAAUCUCUUCACAUCAGCAGCAUUCAGAGAAGGUGUGACUGAGGGAACACCAUUUUCCACAACAUACCAGAGAUCGUUAUCAAUUGCCUCAAGAUGCAUUCGCAUCUUAUUCUUCCAGUAGGGGUAGUCCGUCCCAUCGAAGGUAGGACACCCAGCAGAGACCUUGAUCAUACCUGCGGUCGACAUAACUAAAACUCCAGGCGGUUAAACCAAAAUCACACAGAACAAGGGAGUACCUUGCUCUGAUACCAAUUAAAAGUGUGUUAUAUCGACUAGAGGGGGGUGAAUAGGCGAUUUUUAUGAAUUCUUCACUGAGGAAUUUGCCGGUGAGGAAAUUCCUUAGCAAAGAACUACUAGCAGCGGAAUAAGUACUCAAAAGUAAACAUAACAGAACACAAGCAUGGUCAUCAUGAUGAAAUGAAGACAAGCACAGAGUACAGAAAGCGUAAUCACAGGAUAACACAGGAUGAAGACAAACAGACUGAAGAAAUUGAACUGAGGAAAUUGAGAAAGUCUUCAGUCAAAGUCUUCAAACAUAGAUAUGAACAAGCACACAACACAGUAAUGAGGAAAUGAAAGAGUUGAGGAAAUAGAACCAGUAGGCUUGAUGAAGACAAUGAUUUGGUAGACCAGUUCCAACUGCUGUCUCAGUUGUACAUCUGGUUGGAGCGGCUAGGUAUUUAAACCUGAGGACACACAGUCCUGGACACAUAGUCCUCACCGUAUUCACCUUGAGCUAAGGUCACACAGACCGCCCAAUCACUCGUGGUAAGUCUUCAGGUGACUUCCGAACCUUCACAAACUCGGUCACUCGGCGAUCCACAAUUCCUCUUGGAUGCUCUAGACCAUGACGCCUAACCGUCUGGAAGAAGCACAAUCUUCAAAGGUAACAAGCGUCGGAUCCACGCAGGAUCAAUCUCUUCAGUGAUGCUCAAUCACUUUGGGUUUGUAGGUGUUUGGGUUUGGAUUUUCCUCACUCGAUGAUUUUCGCUCAAAGUCCUCGAGAGGAUGGGAUGCUCUCAAAUGACAAGUGUCAGUUUCUCUCGGAGCAGCCAACCAGCUAGUGGUUGUAGGGGGGCGGCUAUUUAUAGCCUAGGGAGCAGCCCGACAUGAUAAGACAUAAAUGCCCUUCAAUGAUAUGACCGUUAGGUGGGUAGAUAUUUUGGUACAGCUGGCGCGUAGCACAGCAAUGGUCGGAAAUUUGAGUAUCAAAUUCCUCAGGGCUAUCAUGUUCCUCACAGUGUAGGCAAUCCGCACUGGCGAAUUCCUAACUCCUCAGUUAGAACAAAUUCCUCAGAGACCAGAAAAACUUCGUCUCUGUCACUGAAGAAUAUGACUGAACUGUAUGAGAUUUCCAAUGGCUUCACUCGAAGGGAUUGGUAGGUGUAGGAUUUUGAGUUGAGCAUCACAUGGAAAUUUUUCCUUAGUAUUUCCUCGAUCCCCUUUAACAGUACGGUGUUUCCUAUGACUCAAGAAAGAGAAAAUGAAACUACGGAAACAAAAGUCUUCACGCUUCAUGUUCCUCGAAUGAAUACCAAGUCUUCAAGGUCACACCAAUUUCUUCACUUUCAAAGUCUUCAGAAAGUCUUCUGAAAUCCAAAGUCUUCAGUCGAAGAACUUCAUUUUAGGGGUCGACUUUCUCUGUAAAUAUCAAACUUCUCAUAGACUUAUAGACAUGUGUACACUCAUAAACGCAUUAGUCCCUUAACCUAUAAGUCUUCAAUACACCAAAAUCACUAAGGGGCACUAGAUGCACUUACAAUAAGUGGCUUCCAUGUGCUGUCAUUCUCCCUGACGAUGUGUAAUAUUGUAGGAUGAUGUGAAAUUAGCUGAGGUACUUAAAAUGAUGGGAGCUAAGGUUACAUGGACUGACACUAGUGUAACUGUUACUGGCCCACCGCGUCAGCCCUUUGGAAGGAAACACUUAAAGGUUGUCGAUGUCAACAUGAACAAAAUGCCUGACGUGGCCAUGACUCUUGCCGUUGUUGCCCUCUUUGCCGAUGGUCCAACUGCUAUCAGAGAUGGUAAACUUUCUAUGGCCUUCCAUACCUAGCAAUCAACCAUGCGCGUCGCGAUUACUCUGUGGCAUCAGGGAGGGGAUAAAGGACUCGAAAUCACUAUGUUAUGUCCUGACACUUGUUCAUUCUCUUCUGCAGUUGCCUCCCGGAGAGUGAAGGAAACUGAAAGAAUGGUUGUGAUCCGGACCGAGCUGACGAAGGUAAUAAUACACAAUGUCUCCUGUUCUUAAAAAUUUCAUAGAAAUUUCUGAAAUUUCGCAGAUUUCAGUGGGGACCGAAAUAUUUUUAACCCCGAAAUUUUGGUGCAGAUUCAAACUGAUUUCAAAAAAAAAUCAUUUUAAAAUUUAUUAAAAUUAAGUGGAAUUUGAAAUCUCAAAAUCCAAAAUAGUUUCAGAAAUAUGUGAAAUUUCGAAAUUUCGCAUAUUUCAGUGAGCUCCGAAAUUAUUUUGUUUCCGAAAUUAAAAAGCUUCCCGAGGUGCUUAAUCUAACCUGUCCUGUAUCCUGUGUCAUAUAGCUGGGAGCAACGGUGGAGGAAGGCCCAGACUACUGCAUCAUCAUGCCACCGGAGAAGCUGAACGUCACGGCGAUUGACACAUACGACGACCACCUGAUGGUGAUGGCCUUCUCCCUGGCGGCCUGCGCCGAGGUGCCAGUCACCAUUAGGGACCCCGGGUGCACCCGCAAGACCUUCCCCAACUACUUCGACGUGCUAAGCACCUUCGUCAAGAACUAGAUGGGGGAAUCCAUGGUCUGAGGAAUUUUUGUCUUUUUCAUCUUCUCGCGAGAUGGUGUAUGAGUCUGUAAUAUUAGUUUUGUAGUGCGUGAGUCCAGAGGUAAAAUGAAAUGUAUUGCACACUAUAUUCGUUUUUUGAAUAAGAAAUAAAUUACUGUUCUGUGAUCUAGAUGCCAUGCUGCUGAUCUUCGGCAUGCCUAUAGGAAAGGGGGCAGCAUUCCCUAAUACUCAAACCUAAAUGAAGUAGUCCAGGUAUGGAUCUCAACAAGAGAUCCUAUGGAGGGAGAGCGCGGUACCGGCAUAGAACAUGAGUGCUCAUUGUUGUUAAUUGUGCGUUAGGCAUGCUAUGAAAGCAUAAUUAGUGUGGCAUUUCAACAGAUACUACUAAUGUGCUGGGCGAAAUAGUUAGCGUAAACAAGCGGGCCCAGUUUGUGUUGCGAAUGGAAUCAUGUGAUGAACAUUUCCUACCCUACAUAAAACAAAUAUUCUAGAGCGCGGAGGUGUAACCUCAUGUCGGAAUGUGCGCAUUUCGCUUCAGUGAGUUUCAGAACACCGAUCGGCGGGGACUAUAUUUGUCUCCCAUAGCGGCUUGCCUGCAAAGGUAUAUUCCAGUCCGGACCGAUCACCGUCCUCGUCACUGCGGUGAGGUGUAAGAAAUGGACUGGUUAACAGACUCCACUUCAUUAUUGUAAAAUCAUUCCCCAUGCCUUCCAAGCCCACACACUUUACAAUGGACACUGUCGCUCGUCUUUUGUUGAUAGUGGAAAUGGACACGUCUCCGUUGCUAAAGGAAAUUGAAAUUGGAGUCAGGAGCCACGGGAGAGAUUGAUAUUUAUUGGUUGGGUGUAUGGUGACAUGAAGUGCCUUGCUGGCCCACCACAUUGCAUAUCUUUUGUGUGCUUCCGGUACUAUUUUAGCACGUGCAUGGCUACACAUCUCUAUUCAGCUUUGAUUUGCUAUCUUCACCUUUAUGCGUAGUAAAAAUCAUAUAUUCGACACAUCAUAGGCCCACGGCUAAAUCAUCGGUCAUCAAACAAGCUACAAAAUCUGGUAUGUAGGGCAACACUAGUAGAAAAAGGGCCUUUAGUUCCGGUUCAUAAGGGCCUUUAGUCCCGGUUCUGGAACCGGGACUAAAGGGUCGUUACUAAAGCCUCCCCCUUUAAUCCCGGUUCUUACAUGAACCGGGACUAAAGGCCCUCCACGUGGCCGCUGCCUGGAGGUCCACCUUUAGUCCCGGUUGGUAUCGGUACUAAAGGAAAUUUUAUGAUUUUUUAUGAUUUUUUUUAUUUUUAAAUUUCUGAAUUAUUUUAACCUCUAAUCUCUAAUCACCCCUCAAUUUAACCUCUAAUCUCUAAUCACCCCUCAUCAUUCCAAAUCAUCUAACUUCCCGGACGGUCCACCCAUCCUCUCACUACUCCAGUCUGAGCACGCUUAACUUCCGGGUUCUAUUCUCCCUCGUUUCCAAGUCUGCACUUGUUGUUUUCCUGACAAUAGUAAGAUGUCAAUCCUAUUAACCCUCAGGAAUUUAGCUUGAGCAUGAAGUCACACAUUUCACUGUUUGAGUUUGAAACUAUUGUUUUAAAAAACAAUAAUUAUUUAUUAACACUAAUAUUUCUUGAAUAAGUAGUUUGACCAUAGUUUGACCACAGUUUGACCAGAUUUGACCAAAAUUCAAAAAAACUGAAAUAAUUAUUUAGUAACACUAAUAUUUCUUGAAUAAUUAGUUUGACCAUUGUUUGACCAUAGUUUGACCAGAUUUGACCAAAAUUCAAAAAAACUGAAAUAAUUAUUUAGUAACAGUAAUAUUCUUGAAUAAUUAUUUAGUAACACUAAUACUUCUUGAAUAAGUAGUUUGACCAUAGUUUGACCAGAUUUAACAAAAAUUCAAAACAAAAAAAAUAGAAAUUUGAGCAUAACUUUUUUUCCUUUUAGAAUUUGAGGAUUCUAAAAAUUUGCAAACAGGCCGUAGGCGGUCAAAAUCGGAUGCGGAUUUUCGUGCUGAACACUAAUAUUAUACUUUUUUUCUGACAUCGUAUGCAAAAGUUAUAGCUGUUUUACAUUUUCCCAACACUUUUUGCAAACUGUCCAAAUUUAAGUUUUUAAAUUUUCCUAACUAGUACAUGUAGUAACAUAACUACAUCUGGAAGGAUUUUAAUUUUUGAAGUUUUUAUCAUUUUCUUUUGCUUUUUACAAAACUGAAAAGGCGAUCCACAGGGGGGGUAGAGUUUGAAAAUGGGACCUUUAGUACCGGUUCGUGCCAUGAACCGGUAUUAAUGCCUCAAACCCCAUUAGUACCGGUUGGUGGCUCGAACCGGGACUAAAGGUCUAACCUUUAGUACCGGUUGGUCCCACGAACCGGUACUGAUGGGCAUCGCACCCUUUAGUCCCGGUUCGUGGCACCAACCGGGACUAAAGGUCCCAUUUGAACCGGGACUAAUGCAUGUACGGUGCCCUAGCCGCUCGAACCGGGACUAAUGCUCACAUUAGUCCCGGCUCGUAAUGCAACCAGGAUUAAUGCUCUUUUCUGGCCGAACCAAAGCCCUGUUUUCUACUAGUGCAACCACAUAGCAUGGGUUCCAUGGACGGCACCAACACACAAAGAGGCGAAAUCAUGAGCAAGUUUACUACAAUCAUGUGGAUAACUCACCCUAAUGGUUUCAUUGAUUUGAAUGGACCGUUGUAGGAAUCCUCAUUCAAUAUAUGAGUCCCUUGGAGGAAAUGGGGAAACAAAUCGAAAGUGAGGAAACAAAUCCAAUUAUUUUAUUUGCAUAGAAGCAGUGACGAUAUCUAGGGAGAGUGUACCACUUCACUCAUGAAGUUAACACAAGUGAGAAUUGAUUUAUGUUAUUCAUAUAAUUCAAAAGAGGAAUAUCAUUUCUCGAGGAAAACUAACCUUCUCGCUAUCGACACAUGUGCGUCUGAGAUUCUUCUUUACAUUCUUGCAUUGAGAUGCCACAACUCUUUCCUAGGGAAUCGGGUAAAUAUGUUGGCUAGUGAAAGCGAGCUAUAUCAGAUCUAAGGAAGAAUGGAGUUUUGCUAGCUCUUUGUUUCCUACAUCCAGUGUAAUUCCCUUCCGAUCCCCUGCGUAAAGGGGUGUCGUGUUCUUUUUACAAUGGGGGUGAUCCCCCAUCCAUGUUUACAUAAGAAAAGGUUGGUUGUAGGAAACCUUUUCUUGCUCAAUCUGUUGCUUGUUAGUUAUGAACAAUAGAAGCCGUUCAACAUGAGCUUCAAUAAGACUAGUCGAGAACCUUUGGCUGCUUGAACAAUUCGAAUGGCACAUAAUUCAUGCUGGGCGGCAAGCAUUGCCUACUCCAAUGCCAUGCAGGCUAGGUAAGGGAACAUUGCAGUUUGCACAAAGAAAAUUGCACAGUACUAUGUGCAAAACAUUUUCUUCCCUUACCCUCGAUGACUAGGGUAAAUUCCCCCCCUCCAGUCUUCGCCGGUGAGCCCAUAGAUUCACCUCCCCUUUGCAUGUCGCUCUGGAGGAUGAUGGCGGGAAGAGGAAUUUCGAUGCCGCCACAUCGGCUAGUAGUUUAGGUUAGAGACUUUUAGUCCUCGCCACACUCGGUAGAUGGAGGUGCUUCUUCUUAGACUUUGUAUUUGGGGCUUUGAUCCUCCUUGGGUUUGUCUGUCCAGACGUAGUCGACGGAGCUCCAGUGUAGAUUUCUGACUUUCUGUCAUCUUAUGACUAUGAUGUUAGGGUCUCUCGCGAUUUGGUGUCACGUGCUUCAGAUCUAUUCAUGGGUUCAACAACGACGAUUACGGCUCCAAGACGAUGGUCCUUAGGGAACAUGCAGGGAGACUUCCUAGCUGUCAUCGGUAAGUUCAAGUCGGGUCGUGCAGGGGAGCGACGACAACGAUGCGUCAGCGGCUCAUUCUGCUGGUGGUAUUGGUCAUUUGGUGGUCCAUGAACUUUGAUAUAAUUUUAGUUAAAAUUGAGAUGCGUUGUAUGAAUUUUUAUAAGUCAAUUACACCGGUCGUGCUAGAACUUGGCGCAAACAGUCACGUUGGUGCUAGAAAUUGCGGCAUAGAUUGAACUGGUGCAAUAAUUUGGCUUGAGCGUGCAAAUACGGUGCAAAUCUCGAUUGUGUAUGCCUGAGCCAUUGACUAGGCGUGCCAGCGUGACGUGGGGCCCGCUGUCAGCCACUGUAAGGCAGAGAGGAGCACGUGUGGCAUUUUUUCUUUGCGAAAACCCCCUCAAAUUUUUUAUUUCACAUAAAAAAGCCCUUGCUUACGCGUUAGAUGGCAUUUAAUUUUUUUCCGCCUCACACAUGGGUCCCACUUGUAAGUAAAGGAAAAUUAAACAUGAAAAUAAACACGUGGGUCCACUCACAUUCUAUUGCACGACAUCGAUAACAAACCUUAAUGUAGUACAAGCUCAAACGCAUGUGGGGCUUAAAUGGGUUGCAAAUAGUGCGGCCCAUUUUGCAUGCAGUAGUUUUUUAAAGAUAUUUUUAAAACAUAAAUAAUAAACAUCAUGUUUAAAUACUCAUGUGUUAUAAAUAUUAUAAUUUUUAGGGGGAUAUAAAUAUUAUACAUAAAACAAACAUUAGUAAAUAAAAGGAUUUAAAUAUACCCCCAUGUAUUAUAUAAAAAGUUUAGUAAAUACGGACAUUUAUUUUUUAUUAAAUAGAAAGGUUUAAUGAAUAAAAAAAUACACACUUUUACUUAUAUUUAAUUAUACAAAAUGAUGAAUACAAACAUUUACUAAAUAUUCAAUUGUGUAUAAGUUUCACUCAUGGCUUAUAUUUGAAAUAUUUAUNNNNNNNNNNNNNNNNNNNNNNNNNNNNNNNNNNNNNNNNNNNNNNNNNNNNNNNNNNNNNNNNNNNNNNNNNNNNNNNNNNNNNNNNNNNNNNNNNNNNNNNNNNNNNNNNNNNNNNNNNNNNNNNNNNNNNNNNNNNNNNNNNNNNNNNNNNNNNNNNNNNNNNNNNNNNNNNNNNNNNNNNNNNNNNNNNNNNNNNNNNNNNNNNNNNNNNNNNNNNNNNNNNNNNNNNNNNNNNNNNNNNNNNNNNNNNNNNNNNNNNNNNNNNNNNNNNNNNNNNNNNNNNNNNNNNNNNNNNNNNNNNNNNNNNNNNNNNNNNNNNNNNNNNNUUUAUUAUAAAAACAUUUUUAAUUCAAAUUUAAAAUAGUAAUACUCAUAUUGUAUUGUUUUAAAUUAUACAUAUAUUUUUAUACAUAAAUAUUGUUUAAAAUAUAUAUGAAUUUUUUCAAAAUAAUACGUGCUUUUUUUAAAAAAUAAGUUAUUUUGAUUGUAUGUAUAUUAGCACAUAUGUCCGUGCGUUGCAACCUGAGAAAAAAUAGUAUGCAUUUAAAGUUAGUGAGAAUUAUAUGUGCAAGCAAAACCCUGUGCGGACAUGAAAAAGGAAUAUUUAGCUUCUCGGUUUUGCUAGGUGUGAAAUAAUCAAUCGGCUAUUUAUCCAUUCAGUGAUCGAGGGCAUUUAAGAGUUUUGUUACAUCACCUUACGCCAGAGAGGGCCCACGAAUUAUUCAUCUAGUUUUCCUUUCAAUCGAGGAGAUUUUAAGGUAUGAAGUUUCUCAAUAUUGUAGGAAACAUGAACCAUUUUUAAAAUCCUGAACAGUGUUUUGAAAAUUAUGUACACUUCCACAAAAACGUGCACAAAAUUUGAAUCAGGAAUAUUUUAAAAUUCACAAACAUUUUUUGAAAGCACCAACUUUUUUUAUAGAAAAAGACCAUUAUGUGAAUUUGUGAACAUUUUUUUAGAAAUGGAACCUGUGUUGAAAAUUCAUAACAUUUUGCGAAAAUGUUUAUCUUUUAACGUUAUUUUUUUUGAGGGACUUUUAACGUUAUUUUGAAUUCUGAAAGACUCACUAAAUCAAGAAUAUUUCAAAAUUUGGAUCAUGUUGAAAUUGUCAUUUUAUUUUUAGAAAUCUUGAACAAUUUUGAAAAACAAUUAAAUUUUCAUAAAAAUGGGAAACUUUUUUCAAGUGCCGAAUAUUUUUCAAAAUAGAAAAAAUUUCGGGUUUCUGAACAUUUAUGUCAUUUGUAUUUUUUAAAAUUUUGAAUGUUUUUUGAGAAUUUUGAAUUCACCAAAUAAUUUCUAUAAGAAAAAUAAACUUGUAAAGUGAAAAAAGAGAUAGGGGAAGGAGAAUAAAAAUAGAAAUAAAACUAAGUAAAAAAUGGGCCAGCCCAUCAUUGGUUGUACCGUGCGAAGUUCCAACUAUUUAUUGCCUUGUGUGGAAAAUGGAUUUUCACACCUGCAUGGACAGAAAAGUAAGUGGGCUGGCUUCGUUGGGCUACAAUGCGCGGCCCAUGUACGAAAUUCAUAAAAAGCCUUUUUUGUCUAGCAGACUACUGAUUAAGGAUUUAGUACCACCUCGGAUAGAAUAUUUUUUUCUUUUUUGAGGUGAACGGAUGAAAUUUUUUGCAAAACACACCUUGCUUUACUAGUCCUAGCACAUAUGCCCGUACGUUGAAACGGGAGAAAAAAAUAGUAUACAUUAAAGUUAGUGAGAAUUAUAUGGGCAAGCAAAGCCAUGUAUGCACGUGAAAAAAAGGAACAUUUAGCUUCUAGGUUUCGCCGGGUGUGAAGUAAUCAAUCCGCUAUUUUUCCAUUCAUUGAUCGAGGACAUUUAAAAGUUUUGUUACAUCAUCGUACGCCAGAGAAGGCCCAUGAAUUAUUCAAUCUACUUUUCCUUUUAAUCGAGGAGACUUUAAGGUAUGAAGUUUCUCAAUAUUGUAGGAAACAUGAACCCUUAUUUAAAUCCUGAACAGUUUUUUGAAAAUUAUGUGCACUUUAAGAAAAUUUUAAAAAGGAUUUUUUUCUAAAAUUCACAAACAUUUCAAAAAAACAACUUUUUUUAUAAAAAUAUGAACAUUAUUUGAAUUUGUGAACAUUUUAUUAUACGGGAACAAGUGUUGAAAAUGCAUAACAUUUUUUGAAAAUAUUUAUCUUUUAUAUGCGAAAGUUAUUUUGAAUUGUGAAAAUUUCACAAAAGCAACAAUAUUUUUCGAAUUUGGAGCAUUUUUUUAAAUUCCGUUAUCUUUUUAGAAAUCUCAAACAACUUUCAAAAAAAUAACUUUUUGGAAAAAAUGGGAAACUUUUUUCAAGUUCCGCGUAUUUUUCAAAAUAGCAACAAAACUUUAGAUUUCUGAAUAUUUCUAAAUUUUGAUUUUUUUAAUUCUGAAUGUAUUUUGAACUUGUGAAAUAAAUUCUAUAAGAAAAUUAAACUUGAAAGGAAAACAAGAAACAGUGGAAGGAGAAUAAAAAAACUAAAACACAGAAACAAAGAAAAAUGGGCUAGCCCAUUAUUGGUUGUCCUGUGCGAAGCUCCGACUAUUUGUCGGCCCGUGCAGAAAAUAGAAUUUUCCCAGCCACGUGGGCAGAAGAAUAAUUGGGUUGGCUUCGCUGGGUCACAGCACGCGGCCCACGUAUGAAAUUCUAGAAAAAGACUUUUUUUUUCUAGCAGACGAACGCAUCAGAAUUUAGUACCACCUCGGAUAGGGAAAAAAAUGCUUUUUCGGUGGUUAACGGAUGAAAAAAUUGGCGAAACGCAACUUGAUUUAUUAGUGGGCGGUAUAGAUAUAGAUAUAGAGGUACUGAUAUAAUAUUUAUACGUCAUGAAUAUUUGAGUGUUAGUUUGAUUACUGCAAUUAGUAUUUACACCCAUUUACAAAUUUCUAAAAGAAACGAGCGGGUGCGAAUGCGCCACACUGAUCGCAGCCCAUUUCAGCUCCAAGACCGCUUUUGUUCAAUUACAAUGUGCAUAGUUGUCCGUUGAAGGCGUGAUCGAUGAAGUUGCUAGGAGUGACUGUGCUAGCUACAGGUCGCUGGUUCGAUAAGCGUAGUACUCCGUUUUGGUUUCAUUUUUCAGAAAAAUGGAAAUGCCACCUCUCCAACAUCAGCAGGUUUUUUUUUGAGAAAUAAAAAAUCGAGAGGUUUUCGAAAAAAAACCGGGCCACAUGCCUUCUGUCCACCUUCUAAUUGCUGACAAGGGGCCCCACACAACGCUGUCACGUCUAGUCAGCGGCUCGAGCGUACACAAUCCAGAUUUGCAUCGUAUUUGCAUCCUCGAGCAAAGUUAUUGCAUCAGUUUAAUGUAUGCCUCAAGCUCUAGCACCGAAGUGACCAUUUGCGCCAAGUUCUACAACCGCCGGGGUAAUUGACUCAAUUUUUAGGACGCCGAUAACCACCACACGUGUGGCACCGAUGCAGCUGGACCGAAUGACUCAUUCGGUAUGAUCGCCUGUUCUUAUAUCUCAGCCUCCUGUUGCAUCCCAGGUGCUUUAUCUUACCCUGUCCUGUGUCCUGUGCCAUAUAGCUGGGAGCAACGGUGGAGGAAGGCCCGGACUACUGCAUCAUCACACCACCAGAGAAGCUGAACGUCACGGCGAUCGACACCUACGACGACCACCGGAUGGCGAUGGCCUUCUCCCUGGCGGCAUGUGCCGAGGUACCAGUCACCAUCAGGGACCCCGGGUGCACCCGCAAGACCUUCCCCAACUACUUCAAUGUGCUAAGCACCUUCGUGAAGAACUAGGCUGGGAAAAUCAACAACGAAUUGCGCUUGUACUAUGUAGCCUGUCCAUGGUUUGAGGAAAUUUUGUCUUAGUCUUGUCGCGAGAUGGUGUAUGAGUCUGUAAUAUUAGUUUUGUAGCGUGUGCGCCUUGAGGUAAAAUGAAAUGUAUUGCACACUGUUUUCUUUUUUGAAUAAGAAAUAAAUUACUGUUCUGUGAUCUAGAUGCCGUGCUACUGGCCGAGGAGGGAUCUUGCAUGCAAGCUAUAGGAAAGGGGGCAUCAUUCCCUAAUGCUUGAAAUAUAAUACUCAAACCUAAAUGAAAUAGUUCAGGUACAUAUCUCAACAUGAGAUCCUAUGGAGGGAGAGCGCCCUACCUGCAUAGCAUAGAAGAUCAGCGCUCAUUGUUGUUAAUUGUGUGUUAGGCAUGCUAUGGAAGCUUAAUUAGUGUGGCAUUUCAACAUAUACUACUAAUGUGCUGAGCGAAAUAGUUGGCGUAAACAAAUGGGCCCAGUUUGUGUUGCGAAAAGAACAAUUGCAUCAUGUGAUGAAAAAUUUCCUAUCCUACAUAAAGCAAACACUGUAGCGCACAUGUCGGGAUGUGUGUAUUUCGGGUCAGUGAGUGUCACGCCACCGUUCAGCGGGGACUAUAUUUGUCUCCCAUCACGACUUGCCCACAAAGGUCUAUGCUAGUCCGGACCGAUCACCGUCUUCAUGAUUGAAGCGAGGUGUAAGCAAUGAACUAGUUAACAAACUCCACUUCAUUACCGUAAAAUCGUUCCCGAUGCCUUCCAAGCCCACACACUUUAUGACGGUCACUUUUGCCUAUCUUUUGUUCUCAGAGGAAAUAGGAAUCAGAACUAAGAGGCACACGAGAGAUUGAUCUCCGUCCAUCGUUGCUAAAGGAAAUUGAAAUUGGAGUCCAUCGUUGCUAAAGGAAAUUGAAAUUGGAGUCAGGAGGCACGAGACAGACUGGUAUUUAUUUGUUGGGUAUGGUGACAUGAAGGUGCCUCGCUGGCCCACCGCAUUGCAUAUCUUUUGUGUGCUUUCGGUACUAUUUUAGCACAUGGGCUACACAUCUCUAGUCAGCUUUGAUUUGCUAUCUUCACCUUCGCCUUUAUGCGUAGUACUAGUAAAAUCAUACUCCCUCCGUCCGAAAAUACUUGUCAUCAAAAUGGAUAAAAAGAGAUGUAUCUAGAAUUAAUAUACGUCUAGAUACAUCCCAUUUUAUUCAUUUUGAUGACAAGUAUUUCCGGACGGAGGGAGUAUAUUCACCACAUCAUAGGCUCUCAUCGGUUCCACUCCUCCAAGGCUAAAUCACAGGCCAUCAAACAGGCUGCAAAAUCUGGUAUGUAGCGCAACCACAUAGCAUGACUUCCAUGGACGGAUCAUGAGCAUGUUAAUUACAGUCAUGAGGAGAACACACCCUAAUGGUUUCAUUUAUUUGAAUGGACUUUUGUAGGAAUCCUCAUCGAUGUAUGAAUUCCCUCGAGGAAAUGGGGAAACAAAUCUAAGUAUUUUAUUUGGAUAGAAGCAAUGCUUUCUAUUUUGUAAAAAAAAUGUUUGCUUAUUCAAAAAAUGUUCGACAUUUUGAGAAUAAAUGUUCGGGAAAUAAAAAAAUAUUCAUGAUUUUUUAAAAAGUUUGUGUAUUAAAAAUAUUAAUGAAAUUGAACAAUUUUUCAGCAAUUCAAAAAAUGUUCAUGAAUUGAAAGAUAUCCUAAAAAUUCAAAAACUGUUCAGGACUAGAAAAUAGUUUAUUCAUUCAUAAAAUGUUCACUGAUUCAAAAACAUUUCGUUAAAUAAAAAAAUGUUUGUGAAUUUCAAAAAUUGUUCCACCAAUUUCCAAAAAAAUGUUCGCCGAUUCAGGAAAUGUUCAGUGAUUCAAGAAAAUUGUUUAAAACAAUGUUCACAAUUUUUUUUAAAAAUGUUUGCAAAUAGUAUAAAUUGUUCAAGAAUUCAAAAAAUGUUCUUGAUUUUAGAUUUUUUUUGGAAAUUUGUAAAAGUAUUCAUGAAUUUGAAAAAUGUUCAGGAUUUCAAAUAUGUUCAUGAGUUUUAUUUAUCUUCAUGAUUUGAAAAAUUGUUCAUGAUUUCUCGAAAUUGAGAGUGAUAGUGUAUCUCGGUGAUGCAGCAAAAUGUAGUCAUGGCCAUUGAAGAUUACGAUUUUUUUUCCUGUUGCAACACAUGGGCCCUUUUGCUAGUAAUAUAGAUACGGAUCAUUUCAAAACUUGUUCCACCAAUUUCCAAAAAAAUGUUCAUAGAUUUAGAAAUGUUCAGCGAUUUAAGAAAAUUGUUUUGAACAAUGUUCAUAAAUUUCUUCGAUGUUUGCAAAUAGUAUAAAAUGUUCAUGAAUUCAAAAAAUGUUCUUGAUUCUAGAAAAUGUUUGAAAAUUAUUAAAAGUAUUCACGAAUUUCGAAAUUGUUCAGCAUUUCAAAUAUGUUCACGAGUUUAGUUAUUUUAUGAUUUAAAAAAUUGUUCAUGAUUUCCCGAAAUCGAGAGUGAUAGUUUAUCUCGGCGAUGCAGCAAAAUGUAGUCAUGACCAUUGGAGAUUAUGCAUUUUUUCCCGUUGCAACGCGCGAGCCCUUUUGCUAGUAGUAGAUACGGAUCAUUUCCUCAAUUUUUUACACAAUACCCAAAGUGGCCCAGUUCAUGUUGCAAAAGCUAUCAAAACGACCAGAAAAAAUGUUGGUCAUCCUCUUACGACUACAUGUCUGGAUUGUACAACAAAGAUCCAAGAAGCAUCAAAUCACAUCACUGAACUUGGAUGGCCUGUGCACCGCGUACGCCAUGUACGCCGCCCGCGUCCGCGAGUUUGUGGGCCGCAGCAGGGAAGCCCUGCCCUCUUGUAAUCAACACAUACGCCACUUUCUCAUCCACCAUAAUUUCUAGUUUCUCACUGUGAUCGUUUCCGUCUGCUUGCAGCGACAUGAUCGUGUGGGCAGCAAAGGGCGUGCUCGAGCUGGAGGGGGCGGUGGAGAGCAUGGUCGUCGAGGGCCUCGGCGUCCAGGACGAGCACAUCGAUGCGCACCUGGUGCUUAAUCUGACCUGUCAUGUGCCCUAUAGUUGGGAGCAACGGUGGAGGAAGGCCCGGACUACUGGACCAUCACGCCGCCAGAGAAGUUGAACAUGACGGUGAUCGACACCUAUGAGAGGAGCACCGGAUGGCGAUGGCCUUCUCCCUGGCGGCUUGCGCCGAGGUGCCAGUGACCAUCAGGGACUCGAGUGCACCCGCAAGACCUUUCUCAACUACUUUGACGUGCUAAGCACCUUCGUCAAGAACUAGAUUGGGACUUGUGCUUGUACUUUGUAGCCUGUCCAUGGUCUGAUUUUUUUUCCGUUUUUUCGUCUUCUCCUCAGAGGAUGGAUGAGCCUGAUAGUUUUGUAGCAUGGUGUGGGCCUUGAGGCAAAAUGACUUUGUUUUGAACACAUAAUUCGUUUGAAUAAGAAAUAAAUUAAUGUACGAAGAAACUGGGCUGUGCCAUUUUCCAUUUCUUCAGCAUGUUUAUUGUUGGCUAUUUAUUUAUAAUCUAGCACUCCAUACAGCCUCCCAGAAUGGAGAUUAAUGAUUUCAAAGUGCGGAUAACAUCUGUCCAAAAUUUGACUGAAUUUGGGAAAUUUUUGUGGGAUAUUUGAAAUUCCAGUCUUUGUUAAUUGUAUCUGAAUUUUGAUGACGCCACUAAUUGGUGGGAUCGGUCCAUCAGACUGAGUUGGCAAAUAAAAAAAUAAAAAAUGCCACAAGGGCAUGUUUACUUUGUCUUCAUCGCUCUGCCCCUCUCUCUCAGGCUGGUCAUAGUGGGAGUAACAUAGCUAUUAACAUAGAUGCCACAUAAGCAAAAUUGAUGAUGCGGCAAGUAGUUAAUGAGGAGAGAGGCAAAUAGAGUAACAUAAUAUGUUACCAUCACAUAGCGUUGUCCAAUGAAAAAUGACUCUAGAGAGUAAUAAAUGAAGACAUCUAUGUUACCACUCCUAUGAUACUACCCACUAUAAAGGUAGUCUAUAUGUCUGUGUGCACGCGUACUGAAGGCCCGAUGCUACCCACAAGGAAACCUACUAGACACUGUGUUUACAGGGCAACCCUCGUCAACUUGGUCUGCUAUAUCUUAUGGGCUGGAACUUCUCAAGGAAGGCAUGAUAUGGCGCAUUGGUAAUGGUGAAUCGGUCUGCAUCUGGCGUGACAAUUGGAUACCAUGCUCGUUCUCGCUCAAGCCGUUUAGGGCUCGAGGCGGGUCCAGACUAAUCAGAGUUUCGAGCUUGCUUGACGAACGAGGUACAUGGGAUGUAGCUGUUGUGUGGGCUAACUUUCUACCGAUCGAUGCUAGGGCCAUUUUAUCCAUCCGUACCUCACCACGACGUGAACCGGACUUUCUUGCCUGGCAGCCGAAAAAAAAACCGGUAUCUUCUCUGUUAAGAGUGCUUAUAAGCUUGGUCUCAGCUUGACAGAGCAUGCUCGUAAUGUGUCAGCCACAAGUACUAGGCCGAAUGGUGAUCGUGAGAUUUGGAAGAAGCUGUGGAGUUUGCCAGUUCCUCCCAAAGUUCGUACAUUUGCAUGGCAUGCAAUUACUAAUUCAUUAGCAACAGAGGAGAACAAGAAAAAUCAUCAUAUCCCAGUCACCGGAGUGUGCACGAUCUGUGGGCAGGAACAAGAGGAUGUAAAGCACGCUCUUUAUCGCUGCCCGCCAGCUCGGGCUUUAUGGAACGCCAUGCGUGACGUUUAGGACCUUCCCUCACAUGCGAUUAUGGAGCGUCUACAAACUGAGUGGAUCCCGGAGCUCUUAUUCCCACGCACUGACCAAGUCUGUGCUCGUAUCCUGAUUUCCUCUGGAGAGUAUGGCAUGGACAUAAUGAGCUUACUCAUGACAAGCCUUUUCCAUCUGUGGAAGGAUCCCGACGGUUCUUAUGCAGUUACCUGGCAAGUUUAUUGCAGGUCAAGAACCAGACUACUGAGCAAAUUAUCAAAGGAAAAGGUGUACUGAAUGGACUGGCCCCAGCUGUAGUUUCGCAUAUAACACAUGCUACAGCCAAUAGUUGGGAGAGACCAACUGCUGGCAUGCUGAAGCUGAAUAUUGAUGGGUCAUACAGUGAGAGUACAGGGGCGGCAGGGGCAGGUAUGAUUCUCCGUGAUGAGCAUGGACGAAUUGUUUUCUCUUCCUGCCGUUUUCUUAGUCGUUGCGGAUCAGCACUUGAGGCGGAACUAAGUGCUUGUAUGGAAGGCAUGUCCCUUGCACUGGAGUGGAGUCAGCAGGAUGUCCUUGUUGAAACAGAUUCCAUGGAGGUCGCUAAGAUGAUUAAUAAUCCAUCUCGAGAUAGCUCACAGCUGGGUCAUCUAGUUGAGCACGUGAAGCAUCUCAUGAAGCAAGGGAGGCGUUUCGUUGUCAACAAAAUCUCCCGGAAAUUGAACCAAGCGAGCCAUCUGCUUGCUCGUUUUGGUCGUCUAGAGUAACGAACAACAGUUUGGUUAGGAUCAGGCCUGAUGAAAUAUUAGACCUCAUCCUACGAGAUUGUAUUGUGACUAUUAUUUAAUCAAUACAAUCCCUUUACCCCACAAAUAAAUAAAUAAAUAAAGGUAGUCUAUACUACUAGUCUAAGUUACUCUCUGCUAUGACUAGCCUCAGGCAUUUGAGCUUGCCCGUGAUAGCCGGUUGUCGGGCUUGAGGUGUGCGACGCUGCGCGCGUGGAGGUGCGCCAGUCCGAGGGCACGCCGCGCGGCCACUUCGGCUAGUGCAGGCUCCGGCAGGCCACCCCGAUGGUGAACGACGUCGUGGGGCGACCCGGCAUCCUUGAGCUCGAGGAGGCACGCGGGCUCGCCGCCGCCGCCCCAGAGGACGGUGUGGCAGCGCACGGCGUACGGCACGGCUACCCACUCGGCACAGCGUACGGCAGCGCACGGCGUAAACGUAUACACCGUAUGAAGGCGAGAGCACCAGACGUAGAACGUAGGCCUCUUUAGAGGGAGCACCCGUCAACGUAAUGUAGCAGCAGCGUCACGUCUUCAAAGAAAUGAGGAUACGCGAGCCACCGUUGCUGGGAUUCCAACUCCCAGCCUCCUUAUGGAGCAACGCAACUAACCACUCGGCUAGCAGCUGUUGCUCAACAAAAAUGAACCUUAAAAUGUUUAAGAAUUACUCCCUCCGUCCCAGAACAAGUGUCUCGACCUUAGUACAACUUUGUACUAAAGUUAGUACAAAAUUGAGACACUUAUUUUAGAACGGAGGGAGUAUAUACAACACAGGAUCCAGAAGUUUUUGAAUAUAUUUUUUCAAAACAAGCCCAUUUGAAAAUCAUACAAUUAUUUAGUAACAUGAUUUUUUUUGAAAUUUCACCUUCUUUAAAGUUGUAAUAAGGUCGAGACACUUAUUUUGGGAUGGAGGGAUUAUAUACAACACAGGAUCCGGAAGUUUUUGAAUAUAUUUUUUAAAAAACAAGCCCGUUUGAAAAUGAUACAAUUAUUUAGUAACACGAACAAAUUUUGAAAUUUCACCUUCUUUCAAAAAAGUGUGAACUUUUUUUGAUAGAAAGAUUUUUUUUCAAUCCUGGAUAUUUUCUACAAAAGUCGAAAAUUCUUUUGCAAAACAACGAAUUUUUUUUUAAAUUACCAAACAUUUUUGAAACACACGAACAUUUUUUAAAUAUCUGGAAAAAUUUGAAAACCAUAACAUUUUUUAAAUAAUCGAACAACUAUUGAAUUUAUGAAAAAUAUCACCAAAAAAGGAAUGGCAGUGCGACGAAUCGAACCCGUAACUCCUGCUAUUGACCGCUCAUCACUAGCCACACGAGGUAGUAAGCUCCAACAUCUAACUAAGAAACGCGGACUACAAAAACCUGGUCAUUUUUAAUAUUACAAUUUUUUUCUGAGAGCGCGAACAUUAUUUGAACCUGGUCAUUUUUUUGAAUUUGUGAAUAAGUUUUGUGAAAAGGGAACACAUUUUGAAUAUGGGGACAUUUUAUGAAUCGAUAAACUUUCUCGAAACCCGCGAGCGGUUGGGCCGGUCCAAUAGAUGCUCAACGGGAGCGAUAUCGUUGCCUAGUUGUGCCAGGUCCUAAGCAUUUUUUUACUUUUCUAUUUUUCAUUUUUCUUCACUUUCUUCCUUAAUUUAGUUUUCUUCUUUAUGAACUUUAUCAUAAUUUUUUGAAAUUUGUUAUAAAAUUUAAGUCACAAUUUUAAGUAACUGUUUUAAAAUAUGAUUCUAAAUUCCUUUUUAUUCAAAUACUAAUUGAAUGCUUUCCGAAAGAAGCAUUUAUUGUUUUUAAUUUUAUCCCUUUAUAUUUAUUAGUUAGGUUAAAACUUAUAAGAAUAGUUAUAAUUACCCGUUUAAAUUAUGAUUUUAAAUACUUUAGUCCUUUAAACCUGGUAUGGAUGCCCAUCAUGGGCAUGCCCACUGAUGGAAUUAUGCCCUAGAGACAAUAAUAAAAUGGUUAUUAUUAUAUUUCCUUAAUCAUGAUAAAGGUUUAUUAUUCAUGCUAGAAUUGUAUUGACCGGAAACUUAAAUACAUGUGUGGAUACAUAAACAAAUACCGUGUCCCUAGUGAGCCUCUACUAGAGUAGAUCGUUGAUCAAAGAUGAUUAAGGUUUCCUAACCAUAGACAUGAAUUGUCAUUUAACAAUGGGAUCACAUCAUUAGGAAAAUGAUGUGAUGGACAAGACCCAACCGUUAGCAUAGCAUAUGAUUGUUCAGUUUAUUGCUACUGCUUUCUUAAUGUCAAAUACAUGUUCCUUCGACCAUGAGAUCAUGUAACUCCCAGAUACCGGAGGAAUACCCUGUGUGCUAUCAAACGUCACAACGUAACUGGGUGAUCAUAAAUAUGCUCCACAGGUAUCUCCGAAGGUGUCUGUUGAGUUGGCGUGAAUUGAGAUUGGGAUUUGUCACUCCUACCAUCGAAGAGGUAUCUCUGGGCCCUCUCGGUAAUACACAUCAUAAGCUUGCAAGCAAAUGACUAAGGAGUUAGUCACGACGUGAUGUAUUACGGAACGAGUAAAGAGACUUGCCGGUAACGAGAUUGAACAAGGUAUAAAGAUACGGACGAUCGAAUCUCGGGCAAGUAACAUACCGAUGGACAGAGGGAAUUAUGUAUGUUGUCAUAAUGGUUCGACAGAUAAAGAUCUUCAUAGAAUAUGUAGGAACCAAUAUGGGCAUCUAGGUUCCGCUAUUAUUUAUUGACAGAAGAGGUGUCUCGGUCAUGUCUACAUAGUUCUCGAACCCGUAGGGUCCGCACGCUUAACGUUCGAUGACGAUUUAGUAUUAAAUGAGUUAUGUGAUUUGGUGUGCUAAUGUUGUUCGGAGUCCCGGAUGAGAUCACGGACAUAACGAGGAGUCUCGAAAUGUUUGAGAGGUAAAGAUUUAUAUACAAGACGAUGGUAUUCGGACACCGGAAGUGUUUCGGGGGGUACCGGGUACUUAUCGGGUCACUGGAAGGGGUUCCGGGCACCCCCCGCAAAAGAUAUGGGCCUUAUGGGCCAAGAGGGGAAACACACCAGCCAUAGGGGCUGGUGCGCCCCCAUAUGGGCUGGCCUAAGGAGGAGAAGGAAAGGGGAGAAGGGAAAGUAAAGUGUGGAUUAGGAUUCCCACUUCCUUCCCUCUCCCCCCUCUUUCCUUCCCUCUCGGUUGCAUAUGGCAAGGGGGCACGCGGCUUGGGAGGGACUCCAAGUAGGAUUGCUCCUACUUGGGCGCCUCCUAUGGCUGCUACUCCCUCCCUCCCACCUAUAUAUAUGUGGGGGCGCGCCCUAGCACACACCAGACAAUUGCCUAGCCGUGUGCGGCGCCCCCCUCCAUCGUUUACACCCCGAUCAUAUUUUUGUAGUGCUUAGGCGAAGCCCUGCGAAGAUCACUUCAUCAUCACCGUCGCCACGUCGUCGUGAUGACAGAACUCAUCUACUACCUCGACGUCUUGCUGGAUCAAGAAGGCGAGGGACGUCAUCGAGUUGAACGUGUGCAGAACGCGGAGGUGCCGUGCGUUCGGUACUUGAUCGGUUGACGCGCGAAGAAGUUCGACUACAUCAACCACGUUGUGAAACGCUUCCGCUUACUGUCUACGAGGGUAUAUAGACACACUCUCCCCCUCGUUGCUAUGCAUCUCCAUGGAUAUAUCAUUGCGUGUGCAUAGAAAUUUUUGUGUUUUCCACGCAACGUUUCCCAACACCCACUUGGUGGAUAAGUUGGGGUAACUUUAAGGUUGUCCACAAAAACACCACGCUCAAUGAUACGUAUCCAUCGUAUAUACUUUUCCAAACACUUUUGCCCUUGUUUUGGACUCUAACUUGCAUGGUUUGAAUGGAACUAACCCGGACUGACGUUGUUUUCAGCAGAAUUGCCAUGGUGUUAUUUUUGUGCAGAAAUAAAAAUUCUCGGAAUGACCUGAAACUUCACGGAGAAUAUUUUUGGAAUUAAUAAAAAUACUGGCGAAAGAAUCAAGGCCAGGGGGCCACACCCUGUCCAUGAGGGUGGGGGGCGCGCCUACCCCCCUGGGCGCGCCCCUGCCUCGUGGGCCCCCUGGUGCUCCACCGACCUCAACUCCAACUCUAUAUAUUCACGUUCGGGGAGAAAAAAAUCAGAGAGAAGGAUUCAUCGCGUUUUACGAUACGAAACCGCCGCCAAGCCCUAAUUUUUCUCGGGAGGGCUGAUCUGGAGUCCGUUUGGGGCUCCGGAGAGGGGAAUCCGUCGCCGUUGUCAUCAUGAACCUUCCUCCAUCACCAAUUUCAUGAUGCUCACCGCCGUGCGUGAGUAAUUCCAUCAUAGGCUUGCUGGACGGUGAUGGGUUGGAUGAGAUAUACCAUGUAAUCAACUUAGUUUUAUUAGGGUUUGAUCCCUAGUAUCCACUAUGUUCUGAGAUUGAUGUUGCUAUGACUUUGCUAUGCUUAAUGCUUGUCACUAGGGCUCGAGUGCCAUGAUUUCAGAUCUGGACCUAUUAUGUUUCCAUGAAUACAUGUGAGUUCUUGAUCCUAUCUUGCAAGUCUAUAGUCACCUACUAUGUGUUAUGAUCCGGCAACCCCGAAGUGACAAUAAUCGGGCCCACUCCCGGUGAUGACCGUAGUUUGAGGAGUUCAUGUAUUCACUAAGUGUUAAUGCUUUGGUCUGGUACUCUAUUAAAAGGAGGCCUUAAUAUCCCUUAGUUUCCAAUAGGACCCCGCAGCCACGGGAGGUAGGACAAAAGAUGUCAUGCAAGUUCUUUUCCAUAAGCACGUAUGACUAUAUUCGGAAUACAUGCCUACAUUACAUUGAUGAACUGGAGCUAGUUCUGUGUCACCCUAUGUUAUAACUAUCGCAUGAGGAAUCGCAUCCGGCAUAAUUCUCCAUCACCGAUCCAAUGCCUACGAGCUUUUCACAUAUUUCUCUUUUCUUAGUUACUUUACCGUUGCCACUGUUACAAUUACUACAAAACUGCUACUGUUACUUUUGCCACCGUUAUCAUUACUUCCAUACUACUUUGCUACUAAAUACUUUGCUGCAGAUAUUAAGUUAUCCAGGUGUAGUUGAAUUGACAACUCAACUGCUAAUACUUGAGAAUAUUCUUUGGCUCCCCUUGUGUCGAAUCAAUAAAUUUGGGUUGAAUACUCUACCCUCGAAAACUGUUGCGAUCCCCUAUACUUGUGGGUUAUCACUGUUGGAAAUAUGCCCUAGAGGCAAUAAUAAAGUGGCUAUUAUUAUAUUUCCUUGUUCAUGAUAAUUGUCUAUUGUUCAUGCUAUAAUUGUGUUAUCCGGAAAUCGUAAUACAUGUGUGAAUACAUAGACCACAACAUGUCCCUAGUGAGCCUCUAGUUGACUAGCUCGUUGAUCAAUAGAUGGUUACGGUUUCCUGACCAUGGACAUUGGAUGUCGUUGAUAACAAGAUCACAUCAUUAGGAGAAUGAUGUGAUGGACAAGACCCAAUCCUAAGCAUAGCACAAGAUCGUGUAGUUCGUCUGCUAAAGCUUUUCUAAUGUCAAGUAUCAUUUCCUUAGACCAUGAGAUUGUGCAACUCCCGGAUACCGUAGGAAUGCUUUGGGUGUGCCAAACAUCACAAUGUAACUGGGUGGCUAUAAAGGUACACUACAGGUAUCUCCGAAAGUGUCUGUUGGGUUGGCACGAAUCGAGACUGGGAUUUGUCACUCCGUAUGACGGAGAGGUAUCUCUGGGCCCACUCGGCAAUGCAUCAUCAUAAUGAGCUCAAUGUGACUAAGUAGUUAGUCGCGGGAUCAUGCAUUACGAAACGAGUAAAGUGACUUGCCGGUAACGAGAUUGAACGAGGUAUUGGGAUACCGACGAUCGAAUCUCGGCAAGUAACGUACCGAUUGACAAAGGGAAUUGUAUACAUGAUUGAUUGAAUCCCCGACAUCGUGGUUCAUCCGAUGAGAUCAUCGUGGAACAUGUGGGAGCCAACAUGGGUAUCCAGAUUCCGCUGUUGGUUAUUGGCCAGAGAGCUGUCUCGGUCAUGUCUGCAUGAUUCUCGAACCCGUAGGGUCUACACACUUAAGGUUCGGUGACGCUAGAGUUGUUAUGGGAAUUAGUGUGCAGUUACCGAAUGUUGUUUGGAGUCUCGGAUGAGAUCCCGGACAUCAUGAGGAGUUCCGGAAUGGUCCGGAGGUAAAGAUUUAUAUAUGGGAAGUCCUAUUUUGGCCACCGGAAAAAUGUUCGGGAUUUUUCGGUAUUGUACCGGAAAGGUUCUAGAAGGUUCCGGAGUGGGGCCCACCUGCAUGGGGGGACCCACAUGAACGUGGGUAGUGGGGGCAAGGCCCCACACCCCUGGUCAAGGUGCACCAAGAUCCCCCCUUAGAAGGAAUAAGAUCAUAUCGCGAAGGGAUAAGAUCAAGAUCCCUAAAAAGGGGGAAUAACAAUCGGUGGGGAAGGGAAAUGAUGGGAUUUCUUUCCCCCACCUUUGCCAACGCCCCAAUGGACUUGGAGGGCAAGAAACCAGCCCCCUCCACCCCUAUAUAUAGUGGGGAGGCGCAUGGGAGCCGCACCCCUUCCCCUGGUGCAGCCCUCUCCCUCCCCAACACCUCCUCCUCCUCCGUAGUGCUUGGCGAAGCCCUGCCGGAGAACUGCAAGCUCCACCACCACGCCGUCGUGCUGCCGGAGCUCUCCCUCAACUUCUCCUCUCCCCUUGCUGGAUCAAGAAGGAGGAGACGUCCCCGGGCUAUACGUGUGUUGAACGCGGAGGCGCCGUUGUUCGGCGCUUACAUCGGAAUCAACCGCGAUCUGAAUCGCUGCGAGUACGACUCCUUCAUCCGCGUUCUUGUAAUGCUUCCGCAUCGCGAUAUUCAAGGGUAUGAAGAUGCACUCCCCUAUCUCUCGUUGCUAGUCUCUCCAUAGAUUGAUCUUGGUGAUGCGUAGAAAUUUUUUAAUUUCUGCAACGAUCCCCAACAGUGGCAUCAUGAGCCAGGUCUAUGCAUAGUUUCUAUGCACGAGUAGAACACAAGUUGUUGUGGGCGUCGAUUUUGUCAAUUUACUUGCCGUUACUACUCUUAUCUUGAUUCGGCGGCAUCGUGGGAUGAAGCGGCCCAGACCGACCUUACACGUACGCUUACGUGAGACAGGUUCCCCCGACUGACAUGCACUAGUUGCAUAAGGUGGCUAGCGGGUGUCUGUCUCACCCACUUUAGUCGGAUCGGAUUCGAUGAAAAGGGUCCUUAUGAAGGGUAAAUAGAAAUUGGCAUAUCACGUUGUGGUUUUGGCGUAGGUAAGAAACGUUCUUGCUAGAAACCUAUAGCAGCCACGUAAAAACUUGCAACAACAAUUAGAGGACGUCUAACUUGUUCUUGCAGCAUAUGCCGUGUGAUAUGAUAUGGCCAAAAGGAUGUGAUGAAUGAUAUAUGUGAUGUAUGAGAUUGAUCAUGUUCUUGUAAUAGGAAUCACGACUUGCAUGUCGAUGAGUAUGACAACCGACAGGAGCCAUAGGAGUUGUCUUAAUUUAUUGUAUGACCUGCGUGUCAAUGAAAACGCCAUGUAAUUACUUUACUUUAUUGCUAACCGUUAGCCAUAGUAGUAGAAGUAACAGUUGGCGAGACAACUUCAUGGAGGCACGAUGAUGGAGAUCAUGGUGUCAUGCCGGUGACGAUGAUGAUCAUGGCGCCCCGAAGAUGGAGAUCAAAAGGAGCAAAAUGAUAUUGGCCAUAUCAUGUCACUAUUUGAUUCCAUGUGAUGUUUAUCAUGUUUUUACAUCUUAUUUGCAUAGAACGACGGUAGCAUAAAUAAGACGAUCCCUCGCUAAAAUUUCAAGAAAGUGUUCACCCUAACUGUGCACCGUUGCGAAGGUUCGUUGUUUCGAAGCACCACGUGAUGAUCGGGUGUGAUAGAUUCUAACGUUCGAAUACAACGGGUGUAAGCUAGAUUUACACAUGCAAAACACUUAGGUUGACUUGACGAGCCUAGCAUGUACAGACAUGGCCUCGGAACACGAGAGACCGAAAGGUCGAACAUGAGUCGUGUAGUAGAUACGAUCAACAUGGAGAUGUUCACCGUUGAUGACUAGUCCGUCUCACGUGAUGAUCGGACACGGCCUGGUCGAUUCGGAUCAUGUAUAACUUAGAUGACUAGAGGGAUGUAUCUGAGUGGGAGUUCAUUAAAUAAUUUGAUUAGAUGAACUUGAUUAUCAUGAACUUAGUCUAAAAUUGUCUUUACAAAUCUAUCUUGUAGAUCCAAUGGCCCACGCUAAUGUUUCCCUCAACUUCAACGCAUUCCUAGAGAAAACCAAGCUGAAAGAAGAUGGUAGCAACUACACGGACUGGGUCCGUAACCUGAGGAUUAUCCUCAUAGCUGCCAAGAAAGCAUAUGUCCUUGAAGCACCGCUAGGUGACGCACCUGUUUUCCCAGCAACACAAGACGUUAUGAACGCCUGGCAGUCGCGUAGUGAUGAUUACUCCCUGGUUCAGUGCGUCAUGCUUUACAGCUUAGAACCGGGGCUCCAAAAGCGUUUUGAGCAACACGGAGCAUAUGAGAUGUUCCAAGAGCUGAAAAUGGUUUUCCAAGCUCAUGCCCGAGUCAAGAGAUAUGAAGUCUCCGAUAAGUUCUACAGUUGUAAGAUGGAGGAGAAUAGUUCUGUCAGCGAGCACAUACUCAAAAUGUCUGGGUUGCACAACCGCUUGUCUCAACUAGUAUUUAAUCUCCCGGAUGACGAGGUCGUUGACAGAAUCCUUCAGUCGCUUCCACCUAGCUACAAGAGCUUUGUGAUGAACUUCAAUAUGCAGGGGAUGGAGAAAACCAUUCCUGAGGUAUAUUCAAUGCUGAAGUCAGCGGAGGUGGAGAUAAAAAAGGAACAUCAAGUGUUGAUGGUCAAUAAAACCACUAGUUUCAAGAAAGGCAAUGGUAAGAAGAACUUCAAGAAGGACGGCAAGGGAGUUGCCGCGCCCGGUAAGCCAGUUGCCGGGAAGAAGCCAAAGAAUGGACCCAAGCCCGAGACUCAGUGCUUUUAUUGCAAGGGAAACGGUCACUAGAAGCGGAACUACCCCAAGUACUUAGCGGAUAAGAAGGCUGGAAAUACCAAAGGUAUAUAUGAUAUACAUGUUAUUGAUGUGUACCUUACCAGCACUCGUAGUAGCUCCUGGAUAUUUGAUACCGGUGCGGUUACUCAUAUUUGUAACUCAAAACAUGAGCUGCAGAAUAAGCGGAGACUGGCGAAGGACGAGGUGACGAUGCGCGUCGGGAAUGGUUCCAAGGUCGAUGUGAUCGCCGUCGGCACGCUACCUCUACAUCUACCUUCGGGAUUAGUUUUAAACCUCAAUAAUUGUUAUUUAGUACCAACUUUGAGCAUGAACAUUGUAUCUGGAUCUCGUUUAAUGCGAGAUGGCUACUCAUUUAAAUCCGAGAAUAAUGGUUGUUCUAUUUAUAUGAGAGAUAUGUUUUAUGGUCAUGCCCCGCUGGUCAAUGGUUUAUUAUUAUUGAAUCUCGAACGUGAUGUUACACAUAUUCAUAGUGUGAAUGCCAAAAGAGGUAAGGUUGAUAAUGAUAGUCCCACAUACUUGUGGCACUGCCGCCUUGGUCACAUUGGUGUCAAACGCAUUAAGAAACUCCAUGCAGAUGGACUUUUAGAGUCUCUUGAUUAUGAAUCAUUUGACAUGUGCGAACCAUGCCUCGUGGGAAAAAUGACCAAGACUCCGUUCUCCGGAACAAUGGAGCGAGCAACCAACUUAUUGGAAAUCAUACACACUUAUGUGUGCGGUCCAAUGAGCGUUGAGGCUCGCAGUGUUAUCGUUAUGUUCUCACCCUCACUGAUGACUUAAGUAGAUAUGGGUAUGUCUACUUAAUGAAACACAAGUCUGAGACCUUUGAAAAGUUCAAGGAAUUUCAGAGUGAGGUUGAGAAUCAACGUGACAGGAAAAUAAAGUUCUUACGAUCAGAUCGUGCAGGGGAAUAUUUGAGUCACGAAUUUGGCACGCACUUAAGGAAAUGUGGAAUUGUUUCACAACUCACGCCGCCUGGAACACCUCAACGUAAUGGUGUGUCCGAACGUCGUAAUCGCACUCUAUUGAAUAUGGUGCGAUCUAUGAUGUCUCUUACCGAUCUACCGCUAUCAUUUUGGGGUUAUGCUUUAGAGACUGCCGUAUUCACUUUAAAUAGGGCUCCAUCAAAAUCCGUUGAGACGACACCGUAUGAAUUAUGGUUUGGAAAGAAACCUAAGCUGUCGUUUCUGAAAGUUUGGGGUGGCGAUGCUUAUGUCAAGAAACUUCAACCUGAAAAGCUCGAACCCAAAUCGAAAAAUGCGUCUUCAUAGGAUACCCUAAGGAAACUAUUGGGUAUACCUUCUACCUUAGAUCCGAAGGCAAGAUCUUUGUUGCCAAGAAUGGAUCCUUUCUAGAGAAAGAGUUUCUCUCGAAAGAAGUAAGUGGGAGGAAAGUGGAACUUGAUGAGAUGACCCCUCUUGAACCAGAGAGUAGCGCAGCGCAAGAAAAUGUUUCUAUGGUGCCUGCACCGACUAGAGAGGAAGUUAAUAAUGACGAUCAUGAUCAAGUUACCACUAAACUUCGUAGGUCCACAAGGACACGUUCCGCACCAGAGUGGUACGGCAACCCUGUCCUGAAAAUCAUGUUGUUAGACAACAGUGAACCUUCGAACUAUGAAGAAGCAACGGCAGGCCGGGAUACAACAAAUGGCUUGAAGCCAUGAAAUCCGAGAUAGGAUCCAUGUAUGAAAAUGAAAUAUGGACUUUGACAGACUUGCCCGUUGAUCGGCAAGCCAUAGAGAAUAAAUGGAUCUUUAAGAAGAAGACUGACGCGGAUGGUAAUGUGACCAUCUAUAAGGAUCGGCUUGUCGCUAAGGGUUAUCGACAAGUUCAAGGGGUUGACUACGAUGAGACCUUCUCACCCGUAGCGAAGCUGAAGUCCGUCCGAAUCAUGUUAGCGAUUGCCGCAUUCUAUGAUUAUGAGAUCUGGCAAAUGGACGUCAAAACGGCAUUCCUUAAUGGUUUCCUUAAGGAAGAAUUGUAUAUGAUGCAGCCGGAAGGUUUUGUCGAUCCUAAGAAUGCUGACAAGGUAUGCAAGCUCCAGCGCUCAAUCUAUGGGCUGGUGCAAGCAUCUCAGAGUUGGAACAUUCGCUUUGAUGAGAUGAUCAAAGCGUUUGGGUUUACACAGACUUAUGGAGAAGCUUGUGUUUACAAGAAAGUGAGUGGGAGCUCUGUAGCAUUUCUCAUAUUAUAUGUGGAUGACAUACUAUUGAUGGGAAAUAAUAUAGAAUUUUUGGAAAGCAUAAAUGCCUACUUGAAUAAGUGUUUUUCAAUGAAGGACCUUGGAGAAGCUACUUACAUAUUAGGCAUCAAGAUCUAUAGAGAUAGAUCGAGACGCCUCAUUGGUCUUUCGCAAAGCACAUACCUUCACAAGAUAUUGAAGAAGUUCAAUAUGGAUCAGUCCAAGAAGGGGUUCUUGCCUGUAUUACAAGGUGUGAGAUUGAGCACGGCUCAAUGCCCGACCUCGGCAGAAGAUAGAGAAACGAUGAGUGUCAUCCCCUAUGCCUCAGACAUAGGGUCUAUUCUGUAUGCCAUGCUGUGUACCAGACCUGAUGUGAACCUCGUCGUAAGUUUGGUAGGGAGGUACCAAAGUAAUCCCGGCAAGGAACACUGGACAGCGGUCAAGAACAUCCUGAAGUACCUGAAAAGGACUAAGGAUAUGUUUCUCGUUUAUGGAGGUGACGAAGAGCUCGUCGUAAAGGGUUACGUCGAUGCUAGCUUCGACAUAGAUCUGGAUGACUCCAAGUCACAAAUCGGAUACGUGUAUAUUUUGAAUGGUGGGGCAGUCAGCUGGUGCAGUUGCAAGCAAAGCGUCGUGGCGGGAUCUACAUGUGAAGCGGAGUACAUAGCAGCCUCGGAGGCAGCACAGGAAGCAGUCUGGAUGAAGGAGUUCAUCACCGACCUAGGAGUUAUUCCCAAUGCGUCGGGCCCAAUGACUCUCUUCUAUGAGAACACUGGAGCUAUUGCCCUUGCCAAGGAGCCCAGGUUUCCCAAGAAGACCAGGCAUAUCAAGCGUCGCUUCAACUCCAUUCGUGAACAUGUUCAAGAUGGAUACAUAGAUAUUUGUAAAGUGCAUACGGAUCUGAAUGUCACAGAUCCGUUGACUAAACCUCUUCCACGAGCAAAACAUGAUCAACACCAGAACUCUAUGGGUGUUCGAUUCAUCACAAUGUAACCACAUUAUUGACUCUAGUGCAAGUGGGAGACUGUUGGAAAUAUGCCCUAGAGGCAAUAAUAAAGUGGUUAUUAUUAUAUUUCCUUGUUCAUGAUAAUUGUCUAUUGUUCAUGCUAUAAUUGUGUUAUUCGGAAAUCGUAAUACAUGUGUGAAUCCAUAGACCACAACAUGUCCCUAGUGAGCCUCUAGUUGACUAGCUCGUUGAUCAAUAGAUGGUUACGGUUUCCUGACCAUGGACAUUGGAUGUCGUUGAUAAAGGGAUCACAUCAUUAGGAGAAUGAUGUGAUGGACAAGACCCAAUCCUGAGCAUAGCACAAGAUCGUGUAGUUCGUCUGCUAAAGCUUUUCUAAUGUCAAGUAUCAUUUCCUUAGACCAUGAGAUUGUGCAACUCCCGGAUACCGUAGGAAUGCCUUGGGUGUGCCAAACGUCACAACGUAACUGGGUGGCUAUAAAGGUACACUACAGGUAUCCCCGAAAGUGUCUGUUGGGUUGGCACGAAUCGAGACUGGGAUUUGUCACUCCGUAUGACGGAUAGGUAUCUCUGGGCCCACUCGGUAAUGCAUCAUCAUAAUGAGCUCAAUGUGACUAAGUAGUUAGUCACGGGAUCAUGCAUUAUGAAAUGAGUAAAGUGACUGUCCGGUAACGAGAUUGAACGAGGUAUUGGGAUACCGACGAUCGAAUCUCGGGCAAGUAACGUACUGAUUGACAAAGGGAAUUGUAUACAGGAUUGAUUGAAUCCCCGACAUCGUGGUUCAUCCGAUGAGAUCAUCGUGGAACAUGUGGGAGCCAACAUGGGUAUCUAGAUCCCGCUGUUGGUUAUUGGCCAGAGAGCUGUCUCGGUCAUGUCUGCAUGAUUCCUGAACCCGUAGGGUCUACACACUUAAGGUUCGGUGAUGCUAGAGUUGUUAUGGGAAUUAGUGUGCAGUUACCGAAUGUUGUUUGGAGUCUCGGAUGAGAUCCCGGACGUCAUGAGGAGUUUCGGAAUGGUCCGGAGGUAAAGAUUUAUAUAUGGGAAGCCCUAUUUUGGCCACUGGAAAAAUGUUCGGGAUUUUUCGGUAUUGUACCGGGAAGGUUCUAGAAGGUUCCGGAGUGGGGCCCACCUACAUGGGGGACCCACAUGAACGUGGGUAGUGGGGGCAAGGCCCCACACCCCUGGUCAAGGCGCACCAAGAUCCCCCCUUAGGAGGAAUAAGAUCAUAUCCCGAAGGGAUAAGAUCAAGAUCCCUAAAAAGGGGGGAUAACAAUCGGUGGGGAAGGGAAAUGAUGGGAUUUCUUCCCCCCACCUUUGCCAACGCCCCAAUGGACUUGGAGGGCAAGAAACCAGCCCCCUCCACCCCUAUAUAUAGUGGGGAGGCGCAUGGGAGCCGCACCCCUUCCCCUGGCGCAGCCCUCUGCCUCCCCAACACCUCCUCCUCCUCCGUAGUGCUUGGCGAAGCCCUGCCGGAGAACUGCAAGCUCCACCACCACGCCAUCGUGCUGCCGGAGCUCUCCCUCAACUUCUCCUCUCCCCUUGCUGGAUCAAGAAGGAGGAGACGUCCCCGGGCUGUACGUGUGUUGAACGCGGAGGCGCCGUUGUUCGGCGCUUACAUCGGAAUCAACCGCGAUGUGAAUCGCUGCGAGUACGACUCCUUCAUCCGCGUUCUUGUAACGCUUCCGCAUCGCGAUCUUCAAGGGUAUGAAGAUCCACUCCCCUAUCUCUCGUUGCUAGUCUCUCCAUAGAUUGAUCUUGGUGAUGCUCAGAAUUUUUUUAAUUUCUGCAACGAUCCCCAACAAUCACUCAAGGGAGGGUGGACAGGUCGGCCAGAAGGGUUAGUUUGAGAACAGUAGGUUUUCAAAACCCUUUAAAUGACCCCAAUUUUUUCAGUGGCCUUGCAUGACCAAUUUAUGGCUCCAUUCUAAGUUAUUUUGGUCUUCAAGAAAGUUUACAUUUUCUGAAAUUUUCUCGAUAAAAGAAUUCCAAUAAAUGGCCCAACAUGUCACAACUUGCAUACGGUGUUGGAAAUCGCUCAAAUAUGGAAAAAAUUCUACCAUGGGCAUGCCCACCUUCUUGCAAAAGUUGGGUUCAUUUUAAGAAUGUCCAAAAUUUGACCAUGUUCAAAGGAGAGUGUUCGGGUAGGUCAGAAGGGUUUGUUUGGGAGCACCUUGUUUCUCGAAAUCCCUUAAAUGUCCCUAAUUUUUUUCAUGGCCUUGUAUGACCAACUCAAGUCACCUUGCCAAGUUGUCUGGGUUUUCGACAAGUUUUCAUUUUCUGGAGUUUUCUCAGUGUAAAAAGGUCGAUAAAUAUGGCCGGACGUGUUGCAACUUGCAUACGCUGUCGAAAUCGCUCAAAUAUGAUAUGAAUCCUACCAUGGGAAUGCCCACCUUUCUUGCAAAAGCUAGGUUCAUCUUAAGGAUGUCCAAAAAUAGACCAUGUUCAACAAUGAGUGUUCGGGUAGGUCAGAACUCAGAAGGGUCCGUUUGGAAGCACCUUGUUUCUCGACAUCCGUUAAAUGGCCUCAACUUUUUUCAUGGCCUUGUAUGACCAUUCGAAGGCACCAUGCCAAGUUGUUUGGUUUUUUGGAAAUUUUGCAUUUUCUGGAGUUUUCUCGGUUGAAAGAGGUCAAUAAAUGGCAGGACGAGUCGCAACUUGCAUACGGUGUUGAAAUUCAUUCCAACUAGGUAUUCAUGCGUACCAUGGGCAUGCCCACCUAAUUGCUAAAGUUGUGGUCAUUUCAGGGAUGUUCAAAAGUAGACUCAACGGAGGGUGUUCGGGCUGUUUGAAUACAAAUUGUUUUUGGGGUGUUCGGGCUGUUUGAAUACAGGUUGUUUUUGACAAAUUUUCCAUUUCAGGAGUUUUCUCUAUUAAAAAGGGUCGAUAAAAUGGCUGGACGUGUCGCAACAUGCAAACGAUUUUUAAAGUCAUUCAAAUUUGUUAUGGGUGCCUCAUAUGUCUGUGCCUAAGGAUGGCAAUGGAUCGGGUUCGGCUCGGGUUGAACAAUAUCAAAUCCAUAUCCAAAUCCAUGAAGACAGUAUGUGCCCAUCCAUGAAAAAAAUCCAUGGGCGUAAAAUUAUGCCCAUGUCCAAACCCGAUGAAUAUCCAUCGGGUUUGGAUAUCCAUCGGGUUUGGAUAUCCAUCGGCUUCUCUCAACACGUAUCUUACAUUCUUAAGAAGUUGCUUCCCAGUACAAAGGUAUUCUCUUGACAUGCAAGUGGUCCAACUCAGCACGCCAUGUCAUCAAAUAUCAGCCAAUCACAAGUUCGCAACUAUCUCACAGCUCAGCCACAUCAAUAAUUCUUUUAGUUUUUAUUUCAACUAAUGGUGCGGUUUAAUUUCCAUGUAAGACGCAUUUGUUCCUCUUCCUAUUCCGUAACUGACGAGAUAAAUAAGAGGAGAGCCCUCCACUCACCACGACCCAUCAAAAAGCUGGAUCGCGCCUGCACUGGGCUGUCCGCGCCGCCAUGCCGGUCACAACCUAUUGCACACAGGGUCGCCUAUCUCCCCUGGCCGCCCGUGCCGGCUAAGCCGGCCGCACAACCGCCAAUAGCGCACAUAGGAAUCAAUGCUCCUCCGCCACUGCCGCCACCUCGCCGCGACCCCAGGCCACCGUACGCCUCAUGGUCUGCUGCAUGUACAAACUCGUAGUAGGCCAGCUUAUUGGCCCAUCUGCUAAUACAUGCCAAAAUAAAUGCCCACUAUGGCACGACGUUGGAUUCCUACCUUCUAUCUUGCAUGUCCCUGUUCGGCUGUUGACUCUGCCUAAUCGGCUCCUCUUCCCCACAAUCUCCUUUCCUGCAAAUUGCCAGAAACGAACGGCCGCACCACACAAUAACACAAAUGCGGAGGAGGUAACUGAACCGCUCGCUUAUCCUUUAAAUAUCAGCCUGGAGUGCACAAGUGUGUAUGAAUCUUACUUUCUGAAAGAAGAGAAUCGUCUUCCACCACAACUGGACUCAGAUCUUUGAUUACACUUCCCAACAUGUACAUGCUGAUUGAUUGGGUCCCUCUCUAGCCCUCUUUUCUUUGUCUAAUCCAAUAUUUUAUCUGAUUUCUUAUUUUGUAAGAUUUGGCCACAGGUUGCUCGAUGAUUUGUUGCAGAUUGCGAUGGUUAUUUGUGCUUUCUUCCUGCAUAGGUUUCUUACCACUUGAGUUAGUAGAUAAUCAUCCCAUCUGUAAAAUUUAUUAUCUGAACUUGAUGAACGCAUGACAUGCAUCUUAUAUUUGUUUCACUACAUUACAAAUCACAUUCAUAUGAUCCCCUUCACUCCAUGCAAUGCAUUGGUUGGAACAAAUCAUCUACUACAACCCAGGACGAAAUCUCAUUAUCCCUUCUAUUCAAGUAAGUCAUAAUUGCCACUCAAUCAAGAAGAUAGGCUUGGAUGAAUUUAGGUAGGCAUAUAUGUGAGGCAACUAUUUUGUUUUCACAAUUUCAUUUUCCUGUCUUCUACACAGGGUGGACAUACUGGUAUCGCGUACAGAUCAGCAGAGAAAUGGUGACAGACCCAUCCGCUUGCUGCACAUUCAUUGCUGCGGCAUCUCGAUCAUUCUACAAGACACGCGCCACUAAGCUUCGCCGAUUUGGAGCAGCAAUUUACUGGAGCGCAUGCGAGUUGCCAAGGACAUCUUCUGUCCUCUGUUACACGUCCAGGUUUCCACAUCACUUUCUUUUAGCAUAUCUUGAUAAUGUCACUUAGAUCAUUAUUACUUAGUAGAUGCACCCUAAUUUUUGUGAUCCUUUAGUUUUGGUGGACCUAAACAUCGCGAGUUGGAACGAUCAGAAAACCAUGCCCAUUGUUAUCACUUUUUCCCUCCUUCAGAUAUUGAGACCAGUACUAAUUUCAGUGCUUCACUUUUGUCAUUCAAAAGCUUGGCUUCAGGAAUUUAGAGAGAAGGACAUUUAGUGGCUCAUUUGCAGGUGCUUUCCGAUUCAGUCAUUGGUUAUGGAGUUCAUUUCACAUACGUAUUGUGUUCUUAUCACCAAUAUUCUAUUUACGACAUGUUCUAAGGCAUCAUUUAAUCUUUGUGAACAUCACGCUAGAUUACAUAGGUCGUUGACUUUAAAUUAUAUCUUUUUUGUUGUUUCUUUAUAAGACAAUAUAGUUGUAGCAAAUGGUCCCGCAGCAACGUGCGGGGCAUCUUCUAGUACAUAAGACAUAGCACAACAUUCACAUAAGCUCUCAAAUUCUCACAAAGUGACAUAGCACAAGUGCAUGACAUCAAAUAAGCUCUUAGAUUUUCACAAAAUGACAUAGUACAAGUGCAGAUCGCCACAUAACCUCUCAAAUUCUCACAAAAUAACAUAACAUCAAAUAAGCAUAACUACCAUUCUAAACAUUGGAUGUCAUGUUGAACAAAAUUUCUGAAACCCAAGUGACCAACCAUAGAUAGAGGGUACUCAUGAACACAAAUCAUUAGUGGAAGCUCUUUCCUGGCAACAUCUUGAUCAAAAAUAAUAUUCUCCAAAUUGGCGUUUCCAUCAUCAACCUUUCUCAACCUUAACUUUUGUUGCUUUGGGCCUAUUGGUGCAUGCCUAGCACCACAAGAGCUCAUGUGACUCUUCAAAUCUAAAGUGCCACUGGUUCCAUCAUGAGAAGCUAUUGACCUAUACAUGUAAAAGAAAAUCUCCAGUUCAGUUAAAGAGAGCGAUGGAACAUAAUGUCUGAACUAUACAGAUUUGGAAAGAUUGUGAUCUCUAAAUUGUAGUGAAUGGUAACUACAAACCGAAACUAUUUUUUUAUAUCUCUUCUUUUAGGGAAUAAUGUAGAUCUGCCCAGAUUACAAGUCAGAUUCUAAUGGAUCUUAAUGAUUCGUAGCUCUCUAGAUUGAAAUACACUAACGUGGUAAAACCUAAUUGCUAAUUAACAUGCACAGCUACAGAUCACGCCAUGUUCCAUAUCUGAAAAAUGCUCAUUUGGUAACCAACGAAAACUACCUAACUCUAUAAAUCUCUUCUAAUUGGUACAGUAAACUACAAGAAAUACUUAAUUUGUAGACAUGCAUGAGAAUGAUUCAUCGAAAAUUACUACCGCUCCAGUUAGUACUGUAAACUUCAAGAAAUACUUAAUUUGCAGACAUACACGAGCGGGAUUCAUGGAACAAAAAUAUUACUAUGCUCCAAUUAUUACUGUAUAACCUGAAAAAAAAACUUAAUUUGCAGACAUACAUGAGAGGUAUUCAGGGGAAUUUUUUGACUACUUCUCCAUUUACUACUGUAAAUUGAAACAAAUAAUUUGCAGACAUACAUGCGGAUUCAGGGAACAAGCAGGAACACCACACAGAAAAACUUACCCUGAGACUCUCAGAGGAUUCGGGGAUUUUGGGAACGAGUAGGAACACCACACAUAGAAAAAUUACUACUGCUCCAGUUGCUACAUGCUCAUGUUGGACACCCACGUACAGGAACACACACAUACAUGAGAGGAUUCAGGAAACAGCAAAACUUACGCUGAAUGCCGACUAUUCGGUGUGUCCAUCACCUUCUCAGCAAGGUCAUGAUUCACUUCUUGGUAUGCGCCCGUCUCCCUACACUCACGUGCUGCCAUGCUCCUAGUCCGGCGCGGAGCGGUACUCGUGCGUCGCGCUGCUCUGCAUCCCAGUUCAGAGACUUGCGCGGGCUCGCCGCCGUACCCGUGCGAGAAUCCGAGACGGGGGGUCGAGGGAAUAUGGAGUUGGGCUCCACUGGACAAGGGCGUUGGAUGCUGAAGUGCUGCGCGCCUACACCAUAUGUAGAGGUAAAGGCUGGUGGCGCCGACGACUGCAUCUAGAGAAGCGGGAGGAUAAGUCAAGGCGAGGAAGAUGAAGCUUAAUGACAAGUCGUUUAACGAGCAUAUAGUUUUUCUAAUUUCACUGAUUUUGUUAUUUUCAAUUUAUGUCAUUAUCAAUCGACAUGAAUAUUUUAUUAUGUCCUGACAUUUUUUAAUAUUGCCAAUUUUGGCAUUUCAAACUGUGUAUGGAAAUUUAUUUUACAAAGUUGAACACUUUUUUGGAAAUUGUUAAAAUUUUUGAACAACCCAUUAAAAUUUUGAACACAAAUUGCAAACCACGUACUUCUUUAGAAGUUCAUCAACUUUUUUUAAACACAAACUUUAUUAAAUUUGUGAACAAAAAUUCAAAAACAAGAACAUGUAUUGAAAUUUAUUAACAUUUUUAAAAUUGUGUACAGUAUUUGAAAACAAGAUUUUUUUUUUGGUAUUUCAAAUAUUUUUUGAACAGGUGAAAAAAUAAUAAUAAAGCUCAAAAAGAAAAAAUGAAUAAACAAAAAAAGAAGAAAAAAAAGAGAAAAAGCUUAAGCCUCGUCCACCGUUCUCCUGAUCGAAGCACGCUCUUUUUUUCACCCAUGGUGUCAAGGCCUUUAACCAAACUACCACUUAGUUCUUAAUCUUGAGCGUUCCAUCCUUUUCACCAACAGUUGUUAGCUCAAUUGGGAGCUGCGUUGCCCCAGCACCUGGAGGGCGGUAUAUCGGGCUAGCAACCCAAUAUACAUACUGCCUAUCAGUAUAGAAUGAAAAAAUCUUCUCCGUUGUAUUAUGAAGGGGUAUACAAAGAUCUUCUCCGUUGAUGUGUUUAGAAGGGUUGUACCAAAGUAGAAGUGCGCCAGCACUAUGCUCUCCGCAUCCCGGGCCAGUGUGAUGGACGGGUCCGAUCUGUUUGUUAAUUGCAUCUGUAUUUUGAGUGAACAUAGGAAUUUAUGGGAAACGAUGUCUUGGAAUGCAUGUGUAACAAGGCUUAAAAAUGCACUCAAAUAUGACUAUAUUGUUUCUGAAAUGCAGUUUGUUUGCACUGAAAUACACUGCACUAGAAUAUUUCAUCCAUAUAUGUGCGGCAAGACAAUCAUGUCGGCGGCCAAGAGCGUGUUGGAGCUGUUGAAAAGUUAGUCAAUUUCAGUAAAUAAUUUAAGAGUAAAAUAAUUAUUGGCAUGCAUAGCUCUAUCGUAUUACAUGAGCAUGACAACAUAAACAACAACAUCACAACAACCAUAACUAGAGCUUGGAUAAGAUCACGAUGCACAUACUGAUCGUUUGCAGACAAAGUAGCGGUGACUGCUGCAGAGGCGAUGUCGUUGAUGACAACCUUGGUGGAGACCGGUCAAGCAGACGACGGCAGAGAUGAUAGUAUGCAAUGCUGUCCGACUUGAAAGGAAGUCGACUCGUGUGUGACGAACGUGGGCCGUCGUGUGUAGCACUUCCCGAAAUCUUUAGCCGAGAGCAGCGAAGGGAUGAGUGUUGCGGAGACCUGAUCUCCAGCUCGCCGUUGUGUAUUUGGUGAUGGUCGGUAAGUCAUAUAUAUAGGAUAACCCACACGGUGUCAUGUCACGAUCAAGAUCUAAACUGACUAGGUUUCCAAAACUUAAUAAUGGUCAAGAAACCCAUGCCUAGCCCGGCGAGGCAAAGUGAGCAGAUGCGUGUGGUGUUCUUUUUCUCUCCUCAUGCAUAUCACUUAGUGGAGUGGGGAGGAUCCAUUAUCUAAGUUGAUUUCACAUCACCUGCACUCUCGAGGCGGGACUAAAAAUUGCACCUCCAAUUGCCAUUUAUUCCUGGGCUUUAUAAAUUUAUUUGAGUUUUUUUUGAAAAUGCACAUGGAUCAAGCCCGUUAAUUUAAGUUUCUAAUAACAUGAGCUGCAGUGAACAAACAGUGGAGAGGAUAAUCGUCAAGGCGAUGGUGUCCGGGAUCGCUCGCCCACGCGGUGCGGCCCGGCUGUGCCGCUACGGGCGUGCCGCAGGACGCGGAUACCGGCGUGUCCUUGCUGGCACAGCAAAGAGACAAUGUUGAUGACCAACAUCGUGCAACACAAGGUGUAGGGACUGGAGGUGCGGGCAGGGGACGGGAGGUGGCUCGCCGUGCUGCCAGAUCCGACGACCUUCACCUUCGUGGGCAGCAAGAUGUUGACGGUAAGACAAAAGCUGAUCGCCAUCUCGCUCACGAUUGCAGCCCUCAUGUCCAGAUGUGCGUAAAUCGGGCCUGAGAGUGACACUUUUGCCGCUCAGGUACUGGAGCGCGAAGGUCUCUUCCGCCUGAGCCAAUGGCCAUGUUGGUAGCUAAGUCAGGCCAGAGAGAUAUAUCAUGUUAACCAACAGGACUGCUUUGUCGUAAGACAAUUCCUGGUGUCUUUCAAGCCUACACAGUUCGUGUAAAUAUAUGACGACUGGCGCUUUCCACUCUUGGAUGGUUGGAAGCAUCUGGAUAUGUUCAUAUUGACAGAAAUUGGACUUGGAACCAAGUCUCUCGAGAACUCGAUAUUUAUCGAUUGAGUAUAUGUGACGUGAAGGUGCCUCGCUGGCCCACCGCAUUACAUGGUUUGUGUGCACUUCUGGUACUAUGUUAGCACAUGGGGUGCUCUUCUCUUACCAACUUUGAUUUUCCUUUCAUCUGUAUGCCUGAUAAAACCAUAUAUUGACUAUGCCAUAUGCUCACAUCGGUUGCAUUCCUUCCAACCAUUUCCAACCAGAUCCUGGCACAAUUGAAAAGCGAGACCAAACAUCUAGAAUUUUAUUCUAGACAUCGAAUAUGUUGUAAAAUUAUUACUAGGUAUUCCACUAAGACACAGCUAAAUUACAUAGCAUGACAUCCGUAGACGAGACCAAUACUCAAAGGCGUGAGAGCAUGAGCAGGUUUAUUUCAAUCACAAGGACAAAGCACAGUUUGAGCUUCAAUAAGACUAGUUCAAAGGAAAAACUUUAGCACCUUAAACUUUAAUCCCAAGGGCCCAUAAUCCAUGCUGUGAGACAGCAUUGCUUGCUUCAGCGUCAUGCAAUUUCUGGCAAAAAUAACUUGCCCAAUGCUCAGCUAAUCAUCACGCAAGAUGUCGUGAUGAAGCGAUUACUCUGUAGUAUCAGUUUGGGCAUAGAGGACUCAAAAACAUAAUUGGUGGGGAUACGGUGUUUUGUGGGAAAUUUUAUGGUACAUCAUACCACGGCUUUGGGUGGGCAGUAUUAAUUUAAUCCAAUGGUUGAUGUAUAGGGCAGUUUAGUCAAUCUAUCUAUCUAUCUAUUAUAUACAUAAAACAGAAGUAAAACGAGGCAUCACGUUCAUCCACAUAUGCUAAUAUUAUUUUCACGUCCGUGGUAAGGAAGCCGGAUUGUGUUGAAUCUUUUUUGGGUGCAGUGAGGAAAAAAAUACUAGAGAUUUGAGUUGGAAGAAAAUUUGUGUUUUAAAUUCUUUACAAUUUGAAGAUUUAAAAUUUAAAUAAUAAACUUUAUAAAACAAACAUUCCCUACGAUAGUGAAGUAUAUUGUCGACGCCACACAAUAAGAGCAGACAAAAAAAUUGUAUGACAUCAAGAUAACUAUCUAAAAAACAUUCCAUAGGAAGGCUCAUCAAUAUCUACUCUUCACCAUAAUCGACUGGAAAAUCAUACACACUUGAAUAAAUUUUGAAAGGGGGAUGGGAGUCAUGGGCUGAAUACCAGCGCACAAUUGCAUGAGUGGCUAAGCUAUAGGGAAUAGAUGUCUAUUUUUUAGUUGAACUAUAUCGGUGUUGACUGAUAAAAUUUAAAAAACUGCGCCACCAACUAUAACUCGACAUCUCUCACUAUCAUGGCUCGGAGUGUUAUAGAAGUGGCUGCUCAGAGAGAAAAUUAAAUCCUAUAUACCAAGAAUACAUUACAAAUGCCUAAAUUUUUUCUCACCAUAACUUAAUCAUAUUCACAUGAAUUACUUAUGAAAGCAAUAUGAAUCAUAACUGAAUAUAGCGAUGCACAAUACUAUAUUGCUUUUUGUGCUAUAGGUUCUAAACAACUAUUUUGUCCAUUUACAUUAUAAUGUUGUUGAAUAAUUAAAUUUAAAAAACUACUACAGUAAAAAUAUAUCUUUUUCUCAAUAUGUAUUAUUACGUCGAUUGAAGCGACAAAAACUGGUUGACUAGGACGUGUCAAAGUUAAUCAUUCCAGAAUUAAUUUGGAGCAGCAAAUGUUGAAUGGACCAAAAAAUGAGGAUCUAAGUUUGCUUCACAGGAUCCCGUCAAACAAAAAGUUCGAUUGUACAGGAUAACAUUUGUUUCUACAACUUUUCAAAGAAACACAACAAACCAUGAACUCUAAUCUAUUGGGAAAACCUUCAGAAAAUCUAAGUAUCUCCUUUCGUUCUCUAUCUAUAAUCUCUUCAACUAAACAACCCUAAUUAGAAAAUUUCUUCAUUUUUGUUUGUGGCGCGUCAUCUUAGAAAUUCAUCUUUCAUCAGAAUGCAUCUAAUUAUAAAUUUGUGUUUUACCAAUAUCCAUAUAAAUUUGGAUCGAUGAUUUCCCGGUAGUUCCAUGUCAAGGGUAAUAAGUUGAUUCCGAUCGGCAGGAUAAUAUUGCUAUGACAAAAAUAAUGAACAAACUAUGUCGAGAGUGAGUGAUAGAGAAUGUUUUACAGAUCUUUAAUUAGUAUACGCCAAUGAUUACUUCUAUAUCUGACCAAACUAUACUGGAAAUUAAAAAGGGAGCAUAUGAAAAUAUCUUAAGGCAACACAUUGCACAAAUGAUUGUUAAACUGCAUGAAAGUAAAAGCAGUUCGAAACAUUAUAAUUUACCAUACAAUGAGCUAAGAUAUAGGAUGCAAUAUUUUAAAUAGGCAUAUGAUGAUCCUUAGGAAGCAACUCAUACAACUAAGAAAGAUUGGCACUAUGGUUGUGUGCAUCGCUUGAUACAGAGGCCCGGGGUUCAAACUCCUUUUCGGAAAAAAAGAUUGCCACUAAGUCUAAUAUUUAAUACAAGAUACAAAUAGUGUCUCAAUCAUUCUUAUAUAUUGAGGGUGAAUCAACGGUAAUGUAGUGAUGGAUUAAAUAAAAAAUAACCUAUAUGGAACAUGUAUCUAACUAACAUAUAACUUUAGUAUUCGCAUGGUGUAUUUAGGAUACAAUGUUUCUCUGACAUUUUAAAUGUUUGCCAAAUGGACUACUAACACAAUAGCAUACAAAUGCGCGGGUCACCCUGCUAGUUCUUAUUAAUAUGGAAUUUCUUAUCAAUCGUUAUCUUCCUCCCCACAUGGGCACCAAUUAUGUCCAUCUCCCUCUCACUGCAUCAUGGGCUACUCGGCUGCUUCAUAAUCCCUGGCCGGUCGCUAGCUCGUCCCCGCCGCUCGUCCCCAAUACAUACGCAGACGCAGUGGCACCAUGCCCCUCGCCGCCAGCUGUGCUCCUCCUCACCAUGACCAUGAAGCAGUCUAGGUAUUUAGCGCCUACUUGCAGCUAGCGUAGCCACCCACAUGAGCUAGCUCAUGCUUCCAUGGCCGGCUCUGCUUCAAUUUUUGAGACACGGAGGCCGACCCAAUCAUGCCAUCGUUUCUUCUAUGCCGGAGCAGGCGACACAAGUUUCAGCAGCAGCUAGCUGGGUGGAUUGGCGACACGUGUACUAGCGUGCCAUAUUUGUGCAGGCUCGACCUCGUCGGCAUUUGGUUGUCCCGUCCUGAGGCACCGCGGGCCAGCACCGGAGGCUGACGGGCAUCAGAGGCUGGUUUGUCUUUUUGAUGGCUGCCCUCUUGCCGACCAGCUCCGCCCCUCUGGAACUCGAAUCUCUACUCGCCGCCGGAACGGCGGUACCAAUCCUGUCCAUCUUUCCUGCAUCAUCGCGACUCUUCAGAUUGUGCCCUUUUUGCAGAGAAUAGAACACAUCUAAGCCAGUAGUAUCGAUUAAUAUUAACCUUUAGAUUGAAUGGUCAAUAUUUAUCUGAUGUACCGUAAACUCUUAUGUGUUGCUGUUGAUUUCUUUUUCAUGUUUUGGUUCUCACACUUGUUCCUUCUCAUCUGUAGGUGCCUCCUGGAGAGUGGAAGGAACCGAGCGAUAUCCUUGGUUUGCGCCAAGGUGCCAGUCACCAUCAGGGACCUCGGGUGCACUUGCAAGACCUUCCCCAACUACUUCGACGUGCUAAGCACCUUCGUCAACAACUACAUCGGAGAAUCUAUGGCGAAUUGCACUUGUACUUUGUAGCAUAUCCAUAGUUUGAGGAAAUUUUGUCUUCGCCUUCUCGCAUGGUGUAUGAGUCUGUAAUACUAGUUUUAUAGCAUGUGCGCCUUACGGUAAAAUGAAUGUAUUGCACACUGUAUUCAUUUUUUUGAAUAAGAAAUAAAUUACUGUUUAGUGAUCUAGAUGUCACGCUAGAAGGAGGAAGCAUUCCCUUGCACGAAGAACAAU
This 146193-nucleotide long non-coding RNA is filed under the name Triticum aestivum (bread wheat). Its description in RNAcentral is "long non-coding RNA (TAES_LNC017396)". The stretch from base 88276 to 88362 matches the Rfam family "MIR1120/MIR1122 microRNA precursor family". Lineage: Eukaryota; Viridiplantae; Streptophyta; Magnoliopsida; Poales; Poaceae. The record is from RNAcentral.